UUUUUUUUUUUUUUCAAUCUCAAUCCCACUUUGGAUCUCUCUAUAAUAUGUACUAAACAUCAAAGAAGAUGAAUGAAAUGCGACAUUUUAUCUGCUUUCUUUAUUUUCACUCAAACCAAAAAAAAAAAAAAAGGAAAGAAAAGAAAAAUGUACUGGAAAUUGAAGCUUGUAACCAAAUUUGGCUUUGCAUACAGUCAUAUAUCUCACUUUAAAAUAUUGAAUACAUUUGAGUUCAUAAAUUAACACACUCACGUAUCAUAAUUUCCUUUUUCAACUAAUAAUUCUCUCUCUCACUCAAUGGGAAGAUGGAACUCCUCAACCUAAAAGUGACCUCAUACUAAUAUCACAGAAUCUGAUAAAGGUCGAAAACUACAUUGUAGCUUGCCUGCUCUACUUGUGGCGAUUAACAACAUGUGGGUAAAGUCCUAACACAUGCUCCGGCAUGAAGUCAUGUCGGGUUAAGAUUCCAACAAUAGGAGGCCUCUGCAAAUAUCGAACAUUCAAAUGCAUGGUUAUUUAAAAUUUUCAAGUGAUUUCUGGAAACUUUAUUAUUUAUUUAUUAAUUUAUUUAUUUUUCAAUAUACCCAAGAGUUCUAGCCUAUAUUAGGUUAUGAGUGUGUGCGCAAGUGAGCAUGUGCAAGACAGAAGAGUCUUACCCCGGGUGUUUUUGGCACAACGCACAAGUGCCUGAGGGCCAGCUGCCGAAAGAGAACAGCUGCUUUAGCUAGCGACAUUGUUUCUACAACUGUGUAUGGAGAUGUAUUAGUAAUGGGAUGGAGAUCAACAAACAUCUCCAUCUCCUCCUCCUUAAUGUCCAAAUCUUCUAGCUUGACCCCCUUCCCAGAUCCUGCUUUGGCAAAAUCAUGUGCCUUGAACCUCCGCAUAAUAUCUGAUCCAGCCAUGGUUUUCUGUUUCGUAAAUUUCUUUCCUUUGAGCAACACAAGAAGAUGAGACCUGAGAACAAGUCCACACAACUCUGGAGCUGGUGUCAGAGGCGGCUCAUCUAUCACUGGGAAACCAUUGUGCCGAGUUAAACGCAGAGCAUGCAUAAUAUUUCCGACUUUUUCAACCCCAGAAAAAGUAAUCAAUGGACCAGAAACAACAUCACUUGCAACCAAAUUCUUCAUGUAUGGUUCCGCGUGGGCUUCCAAAUAAGGCAACCCCUUCAACUUGACAAUCUGGUCGUAGACACCCUGGUUGAAACUAUCAGCCACAGUUUUUGAAAUAAGAAGAACAAGCAUCACCAAUGGGAGCAUCAAUAAAUUAUUAGUAAGUUCAAGAAGUAUAACACAGAGCGAAACUGUCAUUCUCAUGGUGCCACCGAGGAAGGAAGCAGCUCCAAGGAGUGCAAAGAGACCUGUGUCGAGAUCAGAUAGAGCCCCUAGGAGGUUCCCAACAAGGCGUCCAUAAGACGCUCCAGCAAGUAUGACUGGAAUGAAGAGCCCAGAGGGAACAGCAAUGCCAUAGGUGAUAAUGCCGAGGCAGUAUAUAGCAACAAAGAAAACUAGAAGGGUAGAGAGGUGAAAUUCUUUUGAAGUGCCCGAGCUGAACAGGUUGCGGAUUGCAUCAUCAUUUGUGUUGAGAAAGAGAGAAGCAAGGUCAUUGUAGUGGCCAGCUGGACACUGAAAAUUCUUGUAGUUUCCAGAACGACCUACAGUGGGGCAUCUAUCAGCCUCCAGGUAAGAAGGACAAGGAAUGCAAUGUGAAAGCCAAGGCAGGCCGUAAGAACAACAAGACGUCAAAAGUGAAACAGCGGCGACGAGCAGGACCUUGAAGAUAGGCCCUCUCCUGCAAUACAUUCUCAAUAAGCAACGCUACAGCAAAGUUUGUGCACAAAAAUUUGUACUUGUAGCAGCAUAAGUAUGUAAACGUAAUUCAUGACCUCCGUAAUAUCAGUCAGCGUGAAUAUGUAUGAUUAUACACGGCAAUCUUAAUAUAUGUUUGCUUUAGACAAACUGGGAACAUAAGGAAAACUAUUAUACUCCUUAUAAAAGUUGAAAGAAAAUCAGUGACGGUUAUAAAGAUCAAAUACUUAACAGUUUCGCUAUCAGCAUUGUCUGUAUGCACCUGGGUACAGAUCAAUAUAAUGGAAAAAGUUAGGUAGGGCAUACUCGUUGAUAAUGCUAUAUGUACGGAGGACCUUGUCCACAAGGUAAUUGUAGAAGCUUCCAAAAAUGCCCCCAAUAACUCCAAGGAAAAUAACUGCAAGUAAAUCUGCGGAGCUAUAAGAGUUCUUUGCAGAAUUGACAUCGAACAUGAUUAGCCCACCUUGUCCAAACAGUCCACAUCUACCACUCCUACAAAAUUCUAUGAAACCUCUCAACACCACUGCCACUACAGCUGUUGUAAAAAAUGUCCUCCAAAGAAGAGCACUCCGCCACCUGAACAAUUUUAAAUGCAAAAGCAACAUAAAAAGGAAUGAGAUUUAUUUUUUUAUGUGCUUCAACAAUACCUACAUGGAAAUCGGGAAGAGGCAGAAUAUACCAUGAAGCAGCUUCUUCAAGGGCGAAGAGGACCCCACCUACAGGGGCACGGAAAGCACCCGCUACACCAGCAGCUGCACCACAUGUAAUCAAAUCCCUCCGGUCACGAUCAUUUUUGAAGUAUCUGAGCCAUCUCCAGGUCAAAUGGUACUUCUUCGAUCCGCCUUGUCCAAGUAAAUUGGCUAUGCAAGCACCAGUAUGUACCAUAGGUCCUUCCUUACCGACAACAAAUCCAGCAGCAACUCCAAAAAUGGAACCAAAAAUCUGCCAAAUUUAAAUAUGAAUUUAUAGCAAGUUCAUUGUAAAAUCAAAAUGGUAUUAAUUGAUAAAUGGACAGACAGAGAAUGAGCGAGGGAGAGUCUUUUAGUUUCUGACUAACCUUAACAAAGAGGGUACUUGGAGCCAAUAUAGAAUGGGCAUCUAUACCAUUGAGAUAUGCUUUCACCUCGGGUAUACCAGAGCCGGCAGCUGCAGGGGCAAUAUAAGCACAAAGGAUUGCAGCUAAAAUGGCCAAACCCAGGUUGAUACUCGUAUUUGCUACAAAUCCCAUAAAGUGCCUGCACUGAAGUGGAUCUUUUACUAGUUAAUCAAAGUAUUAAAAGCCCAAUAGUUUGCAGUUUCCCAAGCAAAAAUGUUGUAAGCGAAUGAAAAGUCCUUAAACAAGUACAAAAGAAACUUUUCAUGAAGUAGGUGAGGGUUUGAUUAAUUUUUAAAAGCUGAGAUAAUGUUUAGGGGUUGUGAAGCUUACCUAUCAUUAAGCAUGAGAUUGUUGAUAAGCAGAAGUUUAAAACCAGCUAUAUUCUCAACAAAAAAGUUACAGAAAACAGCUGCAAGCCCUGUAAGCACCCCAAUAAGGAGUGCAAGUGUCCACUUGAGGACAACAUACUGAAAUAUCUCAACCUUCCGUCUUGCUCUCCAGUCCUGCUUAAAAAGCUCAUUCUCGACAAUCCUGUGAAAAAUAAAUUAUCAGUUUGAGGCAGAACAAUCAUGAUAAUUCACAAAAUAUUCAGUUUCCUUUCCUUUUCUCCAAUGACCAACGCAACCAAAUAGAAGACAAAACAAGAAGCCCUGAAGAUCUAUACUCGUAGCCUAUGCUUGAAAUAUCCCAAUAGACAACAAUCUAGUCCCAAAUGAGCCACCCAAAAAGGGGGGGGGGGAUAACUUCAAAUACUUGACAAUGACACACACACACACACACGUAACGAAGCAAUAAGAAAAGCAAAUCCAAAACAAGAUCCAACUUGAGAUCCAAAACUUUCUUUCACUUCAUUUCAAACCGUUUUUAGCCAACCAAACUCUUGUCCUAGCAUCUUAAAAACAAAAUACAAACACAAUGAAACAUCCCAAUCGUAAUAUUAUAUUUCCUUCUUUUGCUUAACUUCCUUAGCUACUAAAUAUGUAGGAUCCUCGAUAGCAUACACAAAGAAAUACAAAAAAAGAAUAGCAAAACAAAUCCAAUUCAUAGGAUCCAAAAGUCCAUCUUGCCAACCAUACAUUCAUAACAAAGCAUAUGUCAAUAAAAUUCCCAUACUUUCUAUCAUUUUCCCUUCAUAUUCCCAGAUAGCAAAACAGAAAAUCAGAAUUUGGAAAAAAAAAACGAUAAAGCAAAACAUUGAGCUUGUAUGCAUACUCAUAAUCAAGAGACUCAAUCGGGCAGAUAUUGGCACCAACAAUGGCAAUCUGAGAAGUUGUAUUGGUCCUACACUUCAACAACAAUGGCUCUCUCAAAUUAUGAUCCUCUGACGUUCCUGAUCCCAUUCUCUCAACAAACUUCCUCCUUUCACUUUCAAAACUACCAUUAUGCCCUCCUCCUUCAACCUCUAUAUCAUUCUCCUCCCUCUCUCCUCUAGUCCCAUGAUCCAUUUUCCUUCAAAUCUUUUUUGAUUCCACACCCAAAAGAAUAAAAAAGAAAAUCUCUUUUUUUUUAAUUCAAUGAAUAACAACAAAAAAAAAUCAGUUUUUUUAUCCACAAAAUCACCUUUUUUAUCACUUCUAGACUUCUCUAUUUAUUAAUGUAAAACGCCUAUGGACACGUAUGAUUCCUGUUUCAAAUUAAAACUUUUGAACAAUAAAAAAAGCUUUUUUUUUUUUCCCGUGUAGCGUUGAAACGUAUGAAAAUGAUAGAUUUUCCACAACAAAAAUAAUAAUAUGAAGAAGUUUCAAUUUCAUUAACGCACUUCAACAAAAAGAAUGCGAAUCCUUUAUUUGCUUUCUGCCUUUCGCGGGGAGACCAUCAAAUUCAAUAAUGGCCACGCAAGUUAAAUUUUUUUUUCAAAAAAAAGAAAAUUAUGGUAAGUAAAUGGAAAGUUUAUUUUCGCAUAAUUCGGUCAGCGGACGAUGACAUGUCAGCAUUCCCCAAAUUUAGUUGUCAAGUGUCCACAGAGAGAAACUACAGGUGAGGUGGUGUUAUUCGUAAUAAAUGAAAAAAAAAGAAUGAAAAUAAUUUGUUGGCAAAAAGACAAAAGUUUUUUUUUCGUUAUUACCAAACAAUGCAAGAACAAAAGCACUUCCGUUUGCUUGUGUUUAUAGGCUCUGUUUGGAUUGGCCCACGUUUUGAAGUACAACCUCGGACUUACUCAAUGGUCUUUUUUUUAAAAAAAAUUUGAAGACGUGUGACUUAGGAAUUGCUUGCAUGCGCAUUAUAUUUUUAAAAAAUUAGAAAUGCUCGCAGAGUCGAUGUGACUUAAAACUUUUAUUAAUUUUUUUAUAAGGAUCUGGUUAUGUUGGAUUUCACUUACGGUAGAACACGAAUCUUAAUCACACAUCUAAAAUAAUAAAUAAUAAAUAAUAAAUUAUAAUGAGCAACAACUUCAUGUCACAUGCAAUAGAACUAAUAUUGGUUGACCAUUUUAUUUGAUCUGUCCUCGUAUGGCAUUUGUUGAUUUUUUAAAAAAUAAAUUUUAGGAAUCCAAAGAUGGCUUCAAAAUUUUCGAAUAGAACUUCUUCACAUAGAAAUUUAGCUUUUAAUAAAAGUUUUUUAUCAAAAAAAUUAUGUACUUAAUUAAUUGAUAACUUUUUAAAAUAAUCUUCAAUUUGAUUUUGUUUUGUUUUGUUUUUUGCAAUUCAAAUUUGGCUAUAUUGGAAUAGAAGCCAUAACAAGUUUAUUAAUGCCAAUAAUAUAUAUGUGUGUGUGUGUGUGUGUGUGUGUGUGUUGUAAAAAAAAUUUCUAUUAUAAAUGAUGUCUUAUUUAUUGAUGGACAAUGACAUAUAAAUGUGAUAAUAAAUUUACAAUGAAUGGUGUAUCAUAUCAUUUCAAAUAAACAAUGUGGGAUGCAAUUUAAGAAAGCAAAAUAAUUAAUCUUUGGACAAGGAUAAUUUUAUCUUUAUCCAAAAUCAUUGUCUUUAAUUUAAUAUCUAGUAAUCUUUCCAACGUAUCAAAUUUACACAAACAGAAUUAUUUGGGGUCUACUGAUUUUUUAUAAUUUCUUGACCAUGCAACGGGUACAAAAAGAUGAAAAAAAUUUUUUAUUGUUAUUAGUACAAAAAUAUCAAUUCAAAUUAUUUGACUGAUCAAAAUUUUGGAAUUGAAUAAUUAUUCCUUCCAAAACAAAAAUAAAUAAAUAAAUAAAAACAAAACAAGUUAAGAUGGAAACCAAUCUCAUGAAAGGAAUGAAAAAGAGACUCUAGAUCUAUUGUCUAUUCGUUUUAUGAUGAUUUUAAGAUGAGCAUUAGAAUAAGGAAAUGAAUCACCUAAGAAUGUGAAAAGAAUUAAUAUGACCGUGUUUCUGCUCAAACUUAUUAGCUUUUGUGUCACGUGUUCAUUAAUAAUUUUAUAAAUUUUAAUUAAAUCUACUUCCAAUAAGAGCUUUUGUAAAUUUUUAAUCUUUUAAAAAUUUUGUGAAACUUGUUCAUUAAUUUGUGUAAUCUUUAGAUUUUUUUCCCCUAAUACAAAGGGGAAACCUGCAACGCUAAGCCGAAGCAAAAUACAUCUAACCCGGCUUUCCAUAAUAACCAAAUUCCACCUGAGAAACCAGCCGCCUCAACUCGGUGGGAUCGAUCAUGGCCACUGAAACGAAUAAAUGGUGCGUUUAGGAUUGAGGUUAGGCAAUUGUAUAUUUUAAGCUACAACGUAAAAUAUUUGGUAAAUACUAACUUCUAUAGCUUGGAAGUUAUGUUAAUAUGAUUUUUUACUUGUAUAAUAAAAAAAUCUAUUAUAUCUUUAAUAAUUUUAUUAAAACUAUUAUUUAAAAUUUAUAUUUACUAUAUAUUAUUAAUUUUUAUUUCAUAUUUAUAAUUUUUUUUCAUAAUAAUUAUAGAUUAAAAUAUACAGUACCUCAAUUCUACAGUAGACCAAAGUCAUCAGCUUUAAUUACAGCUGAUUCGGGGCUUGCAAAGAGCCACUGGCAUGAGCCUAUAAUUAUGAACAAGCAUCUUGAAAGUUUGUCGUUAAGGAUUGCGAGGCUCCUCAUCGGGUGUGGGUUUCGAGGGAACCAAAAGUGGAGAGAAUGAUGUUUAGGGUCCAAAGAAGUUGUGGUCAAGGUUGGUUUAGCAAGUUUAGUCAUAGUUGACUUUUUUUUGGGUGUUACGUGAAGUACAUAUCUUUUUGCAUGGAAAUUGUUCGGCGGUCACAACUAUGCACAUUGACCUUUAAAAUCAACAACCAUUCUUCUCAAAGAAGAAAAAAAGAAAAUCUUAAAUCAUACACAUAAUUAUUAAAGAAAAUGUGAUACUAAAUAUUUAAAAAUUCGUUGGGCUCAACUCGAAAGAAAACUAAAUACACCCCGUGCCCUCCCACCCAUAUUUUAAAAGCAUGCAGUACAUAUAUAAAAUAACAUUUUUUUUUUAGUUAUCUAAAGUUCAUUAUAAUUAUGUUAUAAUUGAAAUUAAAAAGUGGUUAUUGUAAAAAAAAAAAAAAACUCUUUUAAAAAGAUAAAAUAACAACUGAAAACGUUAUUCCAAGAGAUAAGGAUGAAAAGUGACUGUUAGCUUGUUUCAUGAUUGGGUUCUUCCACUAGCGGCUGCCGAGGGCCAGGCGUGGCAUACUCAAAGUCAAGUGUUAUCAUAAUUUCAUGGCCAUAUCCAAAAUAAAAUUUUGUAUGAUAUGUCGGUUCUAGUUUCGUCAAAAUGCGUGCUGUAAAAAAAUUCACUCAAGCGUUAAAACUAUAUGACACGAUGUUUAAAGAUCAAUCAAACAAAUGACACGUUGUUUGUUAUUUUGUCAAAUAGAUGUAUGUCAUGCCAUUUUUAUUCCGGUCUAAAAGAAAAUGAAAGAGAUAUCAUUUUUAUUCGGCUGCACAGUGCAUACAUCUUUGUGGCAAAAGUGAUAGCAUGAACAGCAUAAUGUGAUGUUUAUAGAUUCAUCAAUAAAUGACAUGUCGUCCAUGUUUUAAACUGUGCAGCGCUUGUCGUUUAUUUACAUGCAUGUCAUAUAAUUUUUGCUCGAGUAUAUUAUGUAUGAAAUAUUGUGUACACUUUCAUUAUAAAAAUGACCUGUCAUUUAUUACUUAAGUUGAGGUACAAAUUUUAUAUCUCAAUUCGAUAAAUUUAUUGCUGUUGUUUGAAAAAUUGAGCUCAAUAUCACAAGCUAGCACGUCCCAAUUUUACACCUCCACAAUAACUCAAUCCAAGUACAUUAAACAUAUCUCAAUUGUCAACAAAUUCUUAAUUAGGUUGAUCAGGGGCCUCCUCUAGUUAUUUUUUAAAUUGGAGGUUUCAAGUUUGAGAUUCUGAGUCUCCUCAUGCUGAUUAUGGUGGGACUAGCAUUUGUAAUUUCUAAACAAUAAUGCCAUACAAAUUUUGUAUCUCAACCGAUGUGGCAAAUGAUGUGUCACUAUUUAAUUGGUUCAAGUGAUAGAUAAUUACUAAGCAUUAUCAUUUUUAAUUCAAAUAAUAAAUUUUUAUUUAUAACUCAUGAGUUGGAAUACAAAAAUAAGUUUUUUUUUUAACUAAGCAAGCGUAGGAUUUAACUGUGGGCUUUGUGAUGGGCUUUAUCUAUGAAUUAUUUCUUUGGGCUUAGACGGUUUGCAUAGUCCAUAAACAUACAAAAGUAAAUAAAAUGCAUCGACUCGAAAGUGCGAGUAAUAUGAGCACACGGCGCAUUUUAGGCGUCUUCUAAUGUUUGACUGAAUAAAUCAUCUGCAAAGCCCCACCACUUAAACUGCUUCAUCCUCCGCCGCCCCACUCUAUCCACUUCAGCAUCGUAAUGGGCUCCAAUAGCAAUAGCAACAGCAACAGCAGCAGCAACAGUAAUAGGCAUUAAGCAGUUUCCUAAUAAGCCGUUCUUAUCAAAGCACUUUACCAAACAAAGAAGCAGCUUCCAAGUUAAAUACUUCUUUAAAUAUAAAAAAAGGGAAAAAAAAACUAUAUAAUUUAUUGGGGAAAAUCCUGCUAAGGUCCCUCAAUUUGACUUAAAUACUAUUAACAUGUAAAAUAUGUGAAAAAAUCUCUCUAAAAUUUCUCUAGAAGGUUAUGUCCUAGAAAAAUAUUUGGACACGUGUAUUUAAUUCCAUUCACAUUGCCUUCGUUUGAUGAUUUUUUAAACAUUCUAAGUUGUAUUUGACUUUAUUUAAUCGAAGGUACGUAACAUUUGAAAAUGUUCGAGAUAUAAAGAUAUUUAAGCCGAAUACGUAACACAUAAGCGUUAUUUUCCCUCAUGUUUUAAAUAAUAAUAUCAACUAACGCUUCAUUCAUUCACAUUAGUAGUUCAAUAUUGGCAAUGAGAAAUAAAUCAGAAGUCAACUGGUAAAAUUUCUUAAAAUUUAUAAUUCGGUGAAAAAAAAGAUUUAUAUUCGUAAUGCCUAAAUAUAAAUAAUGAAAAUUAUACAACUGAAUAUAUUAAGAGUUUCUGGGCAUAUGAUAUUUCGAAGGAUUGUAAUUAUGUGGUGAAUGCAUGCAUUAUAUAAAUUUAUAUUUAACUAUUAUAAUUUUUGUUUAUUGGUAGAAGAUUUUCUACUAUGUUAAAUCUUAUUAUCUUUCACUUAUUGUUAUUAUGAGAUAAAAAGUUUAGAAGAAAAUUAUGACGCAAAGGCGGUAUUGUGCCACUAUUGCACGCAGUCGUUGAAUUCUAAUAGAUUCAUCUAUCUAAGUAAAUCUAACGACUGGAUGCAACCGUGGUACGGUACUACCUUUGCACUGUAGCCGAACCCAAAAGUUUAUUAAAACAAAAAAAAUUCUUCAUUUAGUAAUAACGAAUUAUUAACAACUUGAACAUCAUUAAUUUUCCUUCCUGUUUUUAUUGAGAACUCUCUGUUUGUUAUAUUACUAUUUUGGCCACUAAAUUGGAACUUGAUGUCAACAUCAUUAGUUUUCUAUUUUCGUCAAUAUAAUCUCGCAUGCUUUUAAAAAAAAAAAUUGACAAAACGGCAAUCAAAUAAUGAUCCUCAAAGAAUAAUUUACACUCUAAAUUAAGUCAUUCAAAUUAAAAAAAAAAAAUUGACAAAACAGCAAUGAUGAUAAUAUUAAUCUCAUCAUUAAUAUUUUUUUUCUUCUAAAUCAUUGAAUUAAUAAAUUUUCAAAAUAAUAUAUAUUAAUAUUUAUUCCUGUUUGUUUCUUACAUUGUGAUUCCCUUCAAGUGAAGUGACUUCGAAGUUGUAGUACAUCGAAGUAUCAUUGUUUCCCCCUUCGGUCCUCUUUCUCUCUCUCUCCAAAUCUCUCACUCAAAAAAACUUCUUCUCUUUAAAUUCCAAAAUCACUCAAAUCGAUUUCGUUUUCAAUCAAAAUCAUCAACCACACCACUUUCUCUUGAAUCCGUCCCUUUUAUCCCACACACAAAUCACAUACAAUUUUUGUUUUCUUUAUUUUUUAUUUUACUUCAUUAUUUUUUUCCCAUAUGGAAUAGUCAAUCUUGAUCCAGUCUUUACCACUCCGGUUGCUUCAGUACCCAUCCUUGGCGAUCCGAACAAGUAUAAAAGUUUUCUCGUUGCUUCGGAGAUUUUGAAUAAAGUGGCGAUCGGUGGAAGGAAUAAAUGGCGAGGAGUAGAGGGGAGAAAGAGGAGCCGGAGAAGUACAUUGGGUUACUUAAACUGGUGCAAAUACUGUCGUUUUUAGUUGUUUUCGCAGCGGGAAUAAUCAUAGGAUUAGCGACGAGUUCACAUAUGAAUCGGUAUUUCACAAGAGAGUCGUUUUUAUUUUCGGAUAGUCGUUAUUCAGCUCCUUCGUCAACUCUCCAAGGGAAUUGCGCGGUGGUCCAAACCUGUGAUGAUAUUGACUACUUAAACAUCGACAAGUUUGUUCGUCCUGCGAAUUUGAGUCAUAGAAUGACUGAUGAGCAGCUCUUUUGGAGGGCUUCGAUGGUGCCUUACAAGGAAGAGUACCCAUUUGAGAGAACUCCAAGAGUAGCCUUUAUGUUUUUGACGAGAGGGCCAUUGCCCUUGUUGCCUCUGUGGGAGAGGUUUUUCAAAGGGCAUGAGAAGUAUUUCUCUAUUUAUGUUCACGCGCUGCCAGGGUACAAGCUCAAUGUCUCUAGUGAUUCUCCCUUUUAUGGGAGGCAAAUCCCUAGUCAGGUAAUUUAUUAUGUUUCUCUUUUGAGAUUUUGUUGUAUUUGUUGAAGAUUUUAUUGAUUUAUGAUAAGGUCCUUUAUGAGUUAUUAUGUUAGUUUGUUAUUUGAGUGAGCUAAGUGAAGUUCAAACUUCGUAGUUGUAGAAUCUCUUUAAGAUUUGAGAAGAAUGGUCGUAGAUUAAAGGUCAAUGUGCAUAGUUGUGAGGACUUACAACCGUGAUAUAUACUCAAUGAAGAGAAUGUUAGUAAUGAACUGUUUUCUUUCUCAUUGAGAAUUUGAAUUUAUGAUAUAUAUUGGGGUGGUCUUUGGAGAGUGUUCAUGAUGUGAAUGUCUUUUAUACGAAGUAUGCUAUAUUAUUUUGCAACAUUAACUUGUGUUGAUUUUGGAAGCUAAAAGAUUUGAAAUAUAUUCUUCUCUGUUUAUAUUAAUAUGAGCUUGCUAAUUCAAUUAGUUGUUAGGCAUUGCAAUCUAUGUACCAAUCUUUGUUUCUAAAAAUUGAAAAUAAAAUCAAUAUCUCUUUCCUGGAAGCCUAUUUAAAGGCUUGGAUGUAGUCUGAUGGACUAUUUUGUUAGACCCUUUUCUAGAGCUGUAGUUCUACACUGAUGCUUAGAACUUUUGAGUAGCUAUCCUACCUCCAGAUAUAGGGAAUUUUAGUGCAGGUGAAACAACCGUGCGACGCUGUCCAAAAACUUAGAUAAUUCCCCAGCCCACGCUUAUAAACUGCUCCAGUUUUAGGAUUGUCUAGACUUGAAAAUAGCCUUACAGAGCUUGUAGUUGGAUGAAUUCGCUACUCAGAUAUCUGAGCUUCUUGGAAAUUUAAAUCAAAUGUUGUAACAGAGAGGGGAGAUCAGUAAGAAAGCAGUUAACAUGCCCAUAGUCAUCACAGGAUGAAUCUGUUGGGGAUACUUAGUUUCGGGUUUAUGUCCUCUUUUAGUCUAUCUAUUGCAUUAUCAUGCUAAACAAGAAUGAGCUCUAGCCAAAGGAAGAAGGAACAGAAGCUGGAAUGGUUCCUACUGGAGUUUCAUUAUUUUUCACUUUUCACAUAUUAGGUUUUUGACUAGAUGUGUUUUAAGUCCAGAUGUUAUGGAUUUUUAUAGAUUCUGGCCUUGGUAAUUCAGAAAAGUGAUAGCAUCAACACGUCGUUUUGAUAUGUUAUCUGAAGUUUCCUUGUAAAACAAGCCUAGCAUAUUUGAUAUACUUGUUUGUGUAUCUGGACCAAUAAUUUGAAGUUUUUCUUUUGCAGAUUCUUUGUGGUAAAUGAAUUAUGAGUCUAAUAAUUCCGGAAUAUUGAUGGUGAAUAUCACCUAACAUGUGAAAUAGAACCUAUGAUUUUAAGAGUAGUCGGAUUAUUGGGCUAAUAAAGAGCACAUAGGUUGUACCCAAACUUGAUGGCAGUGGAAUUGUUAUUUUGAUUUUUAAUACAUACAUAACAAAAGUUUAUACUCUUGAGUUUACCAUGCAUUUUUCUGCUUUAUCUGGUAUGAUUUAAUUGCCUCUUCCAACUUGUCAUAAUCUUAAAAUCAGUGAUUGUUUUCCCUUUCUUCCAUCUAAGCCUAGCUCUGGCAUCUCUCUUUCUCUAGCUCUCUGGUUUAUUUUUGUAUAUCUGUUUUAAUUUUCUGUUUUCUCCUAAUGAACUCUUCUUUUUAUUUAUCUUCAGAAUGUUGGAUGGGGAACUGUGGAAAUGGCUGAUGCCGAGAAACGACUUCUAGCCAAUGCCCUGCUAGACUUCUCAAAUGAGCGAUUUGUUCUUCUGUCUGAGAGCUGUAUCCCAAUCUAUAAUUUCCCAACUGUCUACAAGUAUCUUACAGGUUCUCCAUACAGCUUUGUUGAGUCAUAUGAUGAUCCCUCGCGUUAUGGUCGUGGACGCUACAGCCGUUGGAUGCGUCCUGAUAUCAAGAUCUAUCAAUGGCGAAAAGGGUCCCAAUGGUUUGAGAUGCAACGUAAGGUGGCCAUUUAUAUCAUCUCAGACACCAAGUACCUCAGACUUUUCAGGAAAUACUGUAAGCCUUCUUGCUACCCCGAUGAGCAUUACAUUCCAACUUACCUGAACAUAUUCCACGGAUCACUGAUGGCUAACCGGAGUGUGACUUGGGUUGACUGGUCAAUGUUGGGCCCACACCCAGCGAUGUACAAGAAAGAGAAUAUUACAGAACAAUUUAUACAAUCUCUUAGGAACAGUAAUGGCUCGUUAUGUUUGUACAAUGAGCAGAGAACAUCAAGGUGUUAUCUCUUUGCUAGAAAGUUUGCUCCUAAUACGCUGGAGCCCUUGCUUAAAAUCAGUUCAAAGGUGAUGGAAUUUUGACAAUUGACUAGGCAAUAUUUUUUUUAACUUUUUUAAUACUAUUUAAGCUUUUAAAUUUUCAUGGAGCUUUGCCGCAGCUCGAAUUUUUUGUAGGGUUGGGUUGAUCUGAUUGUUUAUGCCAUAACAAAGUGUACAGGUAAUACUUUUAUUGGCAAAUUUUGAAAGAAACUUUUUUGGAGGAAGAAAGCAUUAAUAUAGAAAAUUUUACAUCAUUUUUCAGAUUUCAUUGUACAAUCUUUGAUACAACCCAUUUGGUGUACUUGGGAUUUUAAGCUUCGUCAAAGGAUUUGAUUUCAUAAAUUGCUAUUGUUUCUGCAGUGCAAGAAUAUGAUUAUCAGGAUCUUCAUCACAAGCAUAAACUACUGAAAUAUGCUGGGAAUUGAUUUCUUUCUUGAUCGGUAACAUUUUUCCACGUUAUUGAUGGAAUGCAGCAACAUUUUUUCUUAGAUGAAUGGCGUCUUCCCCCAACUUUGACAUCGUACCUCAAAGUAGAAAAUGGCAAUUAAUUGGCAUAUAAAUGUCAAAUCAACCAAUCAUAUUUUACUUGUCAUAUCAUUUUGUAUAAGGUUGUUUGUCUAAUAUUUUGUGGCUUCAAUACAGGUUUACUGAUAGAUGUAUCAGAAAGUCAUACUGGGGCCUGAACCACCCAGAUCAACCUGCCCGAAAAUCACCCCAACAAACGCACACGGAGAUACUCGAAUUCUUGACCUAGAUAUCCAUUUAUAUAAAAACUUUUCAUGAAAAGCUAGCUAUGACGAAUUUUUGCAGAAGAUGGAAAAUUUCAGCCUGCCAAGGCCACAUUUUUUAGUGAGGCUAGGCAAAGGUAUUUGACCAUGAUCAGAUUCACACAGAAUUUACACAGAGAAUUAGCUGAAUGAUGAAAAUUUCAUGUUAAGAAGAUCAACCUAAGAAACAAAAACCUGCAAAAGGUCCAAAAACAAGAAAGAAUCACUCUCUAUAUCAAGCGUCAGAACCGGAAAAUAAAGUGACUGAGUUGUUGAAAGCUCAUCAAGAUAAAAUCAUUUUCUCAAUAAACAUGAAAUAUAUCAAGACAAAAGUUCUUAAGAAACAUAAAAUAUAUAGACUGCCCUAAACAUAACGUAUACUACCAGACAGUUUCCAUGGGAUUACCCAUAUGCAUCGAGUGUUUACACAAGGUAUACAGACAAAAAUGAUUACAGCCAAAUGCAUGGGAAAUUAGACGGAACUCAACUUUGACAGCAUCCGUGUAUUUCAUAAAUUCUGAUAAAACAAAAAGAACAAGUUUUAUCAUAUCUUAAAUUCCAGAUAUAUAGCAACCCUACGCAAUAAAAUGUGAGGAAUAAGUUAACCGAUGCCUAUAAAUAUUUUUUUUUUAAAAAAGCUACACUUACAAGCUGAGCACAUAAGUUUGAAGUAACAACAUACCAUUGCAUAAGAAAUUCUUAAUCAAUUAAGACAUCUGUAAUAAAUGUGUGAGAUCCAAGACAGAAGAAUAAUUAAUCUGUCACUUCACAUAGUUGCAAAACAUCUAUAUGAAGAGAGAAUUUCUUAGCAAAAACUACCUCAUUAUUACACUUGAUCAAAUUUUGCCAUUUUAGAACUGCAGCUGAAAAUGAUACUCAACAUACAACAAUGACGCAGCAAUUUGCUUGACCAACAAAGCAUAGCCUUUAGAAACCAGGCCAUUCCAUCUGUAACUUCAUGUACAUAAGAAUCAAGCUGUUGCCCGUUGGUGGUUUUCCUGCCAUUCAGGGGGUCCUGAUGGAUUCUGAUCUUCUUGAGGAGAUCCAACUGGUGGCUGCUCAGCUGCUUGAGACCAUGACUGCUGCUGUGCUGAUGUUUGAGGUUGCCAUGAUUGUUGCUGACCAGCCGUUUGUGAGGGUGCUGAUGGUGGUUGUCCUGUCCACUGAGCCAUUUUAUUUGGCUGAUGCCCUGACAUUUGCUGCCAUCCAAAGUGCUGCUGUUCACCCAUUCUAUUGUAUCCAGAAGGCUGCUGUCCUCCCAUUUGAUUGGAUCCAAAACCCUGCUGUCCCCACUUUUGAUAAGAUCCUUGAGGUUGCUGUCUUUCCAUUUGAUUGGGGCCUACAGACUGCUGUCCCAACAUCUGCGCGGGUCCUGGAGACUGCUGUCCCAACAUCUGCACGGGUCCUGACGACUGCCGUCCCAACAUCUGCGCGGGUCCUGGAGACUGCUGUCCCAACAUCUGCACGGGUCCUGACGACUGCUGUCCCGACAUCUGACUGGGUCCUGAAGACUGCUGUCCCAUCCUUUGAAAGGGUGAAAAUAGCUGCUCUCCUGCCAUUUUAUUAGGUCCAAAAGACUGCUGCCCCAUCAUUUGGUUUGAUCCAAAUUGCUGAUAUCCUGACAUUUGAGUAGGCCUGAAAGACUGCUGUCCCAUCAUUUGGUUUGAUGUAAAGUGUUGCUGUCCAGCCAUCUGAUUAGGGCCAAAAGACUGCUGCCCCAUCAUUUGAUACGAUCCAAAGUGCUGCUGUCCUGCCAUUUGAUUAGGUCCUAAAGACUGCUGUCCGGCCAUUUGAUUUGAUCCAAACUGCCGCUCUCCGGCCAUUCUAUUGUCUGCUGAAUACUGCUGUCCAGUCAUUUGAGGUGGUCCACUCGUUCGAGGGGGUGGAACAGGUGCAGCAUAUCCCCACCUAUCUGCAUUCAAAACUCUUUCGAUCUCCUCACCUCGACCAGCUUUCCCAAAAGUCUCGCGUACAAAAUCUUGCAGAGCAGGGGUAAUACCAACACCGUACUUCAUCAUUUGAUCAACUAUAUCCUUGCUCAUGUCAAAUAAACCUUCAUUGCACAACCCCCGGACCACAACAUCAUAUAUCAAGAAGUCGGGUUUAGGAUCUUUCUCUCCCAUUUUUGUUAAAAUUGGCGCACAUUCUGCAACCUUACCCUUGGUUAUUAACUCAUUAAACACCUUAGUCCCAAAACUCACAACCACGCGCAAACCGGACUCUACCAUCCUGUUAAACAAUUCCAAAGCAUCAUCAAUUCUCUCCACCUUCAAAUAUGCGUCAAUCAACGUCUUAAAAGUCGUUACGUCAGGCGACAAAGACUUUGUGGAUAUUUCUCUUAACAGCUUCUCUGCCUCGUCCAACAUCUCAUUCUCACAGUACCUAGCAAUAAUAUUAUUAUAUCCCGCAACAUCCAUUGCAAAAGGCUUGGAUUUUGGGUGUGUUCCUGCUUUCUUAAAUGUCUCAAUAGCUUCUGAAAACUUCCCAUGCUUAAAGCACUCAUCGACCAUGAUAUUAAAUGUAUCUGAAUUCACCGCCUGAAUAUUGGGUGGCUGAUGAUUAUCCAACAUCUGUUCAAACAAAGCUUGCGCCUCUUCUUUCUUCUCAUGCUUUAACAAAACCUCCAAAAGUGUAUUACAAGUGGCUGGAGUCAUCCUAAAAUUCCUCUCCAUCAAAGAUUUGUAUGACUGCAUCGCCUCCUUAUCUUUCCCCUGAUUAAACCACCGCUCCAUAAAUGUUGCAUUCACAACCCCAUCAUAAACCAAACACCUUUGUUUCAACUCAUCAAACAACUCGUUCGCCUUCUCCAAGUUCCCCAAAUUCAGAAACCCAGAUAUCAAAUUAUUAUAAACCAAUGAAUCCGCUCCUAACUGUCUACUCAACAUGUCCCUCAAUAAAUCCACAGCCUCUCCUAUUCUCCCAGCAUCAACAAACCCUUUUGUCAAAUGCCUAUAAGUAUUAGAACUAGGACCAACCGGCGCCGUUUCAAUAAUCCUUCUAAAAACAUUCAUCCCCUCAUCCACUUUCCCCUCAUCACAAUAAGUAUUAAUCAAAUUAUUAUAAGACACAAUAUUAGGCACAAUAUCAGCUUGAUCGAAAAAAUACUUAAAGAGAGCAACAGCAUCAUUAUACCGUUUCGCCCGAUACAUAGCCGCUAUGAUCGCAUUACAAGUGAACACAGUAGGACGAAUCCUGGAGAAAACAGCCUGGCGGGCCAAGUAGGAGGCGGCAUCGAGGUCUCCCGCACGGAUGAGGGACUGAACGCGAUUGUGGAGGUUGAGACGGGGGCCAACGAGGGCCGAGGUGGUGUCGGGGAGGCGAGGCGCAUUAGGGUCACGCGGUGGAGGCUGAGUUGGGUUGGGGCGUAUGGCGUGGAGAGGCGGCUCGAUGCGAAGCCGGCGUUUGCGGCGACGGCGUUCAGCUGCGGCUUCUUCGGCGGAGGAGAAGGCGUAGCCGCGUGCGGAAAUGGGAUUAAGGUUAAGGUUUGGGGAAUUGGGGUUAAGGGCAAGGUUGUGGAACUGGUGGAGGAGAGAGAAGGAGAGUCGUUGGUGGUGACGAUUGCUACUGCGGAGGAGGAGGCGGAGGAGGGGCAUUUUGGUAAAAUGUGCCUUAAACCCUAGAGAUUUUGAUUUGGAGUAGAAGAGAAAUGGCUUAAACCCUUGACCAUAGAGAUUGUUUCUAGAAAUGUGCUACCAGUCAAGAGAUUAGAGAAAAUAACUGUAUGAAUUUUGUGGGUUUUUUUUUUUCAAAUUUUAUAUUUUUUUUAUGAGUGUAUGGGCUUCAAAGAGUGGGUAAACAUAAUGGGCCUUAGAUCCACUUAGAAUAUUGACUCACUAAUUAGAUUAGGGGAUUUUAAAUAUAUAUAUAUUUUUAAGCUAAUUGAAAUUAUAUAUUUUAAGGAAGAUGAUGUAGUGAGCACCAAUGCUCACUAUCUAAUGAACAUUUAAAUAGGUGGUAGAUAAUUUUGUAAUUUCUUGUGAAUAGCAUUAAAAUUUUUAAUUAGUUAAACAAUAUUAUGUCGUAAAAGUGAGCAACUUCACCCACUAAAUCAAAACUUUACAUUUUAAUGAUUUAGUAGGUAGUAUUACUACACAUUAUGGUGAUCUAGUGUGGCACAAAGCACUAUUUUGGUAAAUCAAAACUUUACAUAAUUUACGUUGUGCUGGAAAAUCAUGAUCAUCAAGUAAGCAUGUGGCCUAUGUAGAUUGAUGUACAUAAUAAUAGUGUACACCUUAUCUCAUUAAAAACAUGUCUGUGUGUAAUAUAUUUAAUUUUUUUUUUUCCAUUGCUGUACUUUAAGUUAAAUUUAGCACAUUGGAUUAGAAUUAUCCAUGCAUUAAAGAAAAGAAAAUGAUUGUAAAGAGAAUUGGAAAUACAUGAAGGGGUACGGCAUUGCAUUCAAAAAGAAAAAUUAUAUUUACAAUAAUUCUCAACCCACAAAAUAUAUUUAUUUACAUUGCAUUAGAAUUCGACCACAAAUAAUCACUGAAACACAAAACCAAAGUUAAAAAAAAAAAAAAAAAAUGAAUGAAGCAACUAAAAGGAGAAAUCUGAACGAGUUGCCCCAUUUUUGGCAAAAGAAAUGACCAGCAUUUGCUAUGAAACAGCAGUCAAAAGUCUCAUAUGUCAUCCUAAAAGCUUUAAAAUAAGCAGUUCUGAGUUGUCUGGUGUCAUUACAGAAAGAAUUGUAUGCAAGGUAAUCUGUGCAUGCAUGAAGUAUCUGUGCCUGUGUACAUGUUUGAAGCAAAAUCUUGUUUGAUGCUUCGAAGUAUGCCCUAUAAUAUGUUUAUAGAAUUAAUGACUGGUUUGGUUUGUUGAUUGUCCAUAUGGAUCGACCCAACAUUUGUCGUCCUCUACCGCAUGUUUCCACCUAUUUCUGAAGAUCUGCAUUUCGAUGUAGGACUGUCUUCGGACCUAUAAAGAGAGUUUUGAGUAAAAACAUACCAAGAAUUUGUACGUAUGAAAAUUCAUGCACGUGCAUGGAAAGAGCAAAAUUUGUAGAAUCUACUUUGUAUUGAGCAGAAAAAAGCACUUUACAAAUACAAUAGCAAUGAAGGGAUCUUACCUCAGGCCGAUUAUCAUAUCUACGGGAUUGUGAUGGUGCCUGCAAUUCCACAGAGAACGAAUAUCCAUUAUGUACGGAUAAAGAAUGUGCUGAAAGGCAACUUAAGGUUCAAAAUACAUACCAAUGCAACAGGGUUUGCAAUUUGCUCUAGAUCAUCAGAAGCCUGUCCAACAGUGUUUAACUGCAUGAAGCAGAUGGUAAAAAGUGAGAUAACGGACAUGGGUCAGAGCAUUCUUAUUAUUCUAGCUUAGACAGAUCGUCAAUUUACGAUUAAGAAUUAAAUGUUUUAACAAUAUAAUAUGAGAAUCAACAACUCCUGAACCACUUCAGUCUCACGAUUCUGUUACUGAUGUGAAUUCAAGUACUUGCCUCAGGUUCUGUAGUGACACCAAGUGUAGGAAGACCAAGAUGAACAAUGUACUCAGAAUCAACUACGCCAACAUUUUUUGUUCGAUCACCCUGAAACAUAGUUAAAUGCCAUUAAUACAGCAGAGAGAAUGAGAAAUUGAAGUGAUAGGCUUAUAGAAAAUUACUUGUGCACAAUAGCCAAGUUGUAUAUCCAGGCCCCAUGCGUGGAUCAAGUCAUUCUGAUGGAGACAAAGUAAUUAGAGAACAAUAACUACAAAGUCUGAGCAGUAUGAAGAUUGCAAACAGAAUCUUGAUCUUCUACCUUCCAAAAGAAAACAGUUGCAAGAAGUUUUUAUACCUGAAUCAUAUACCAAGCACAUCUCCAAGCAGCCCUCGAAAACACAGGCGCCAUCAUUUCUACCCAACUGCAUAACGGAAUAAAAUAAUUGACAAUCAUUAGGAUGGAAUAGAUAAGUUAAAAAGGGCCAAAAAAAAAAAGGAAACAUAGAGAAAGUGACCGUUUACCCAAUGCAUGGAGGAGCAGUGCUGUAAUCAUCACACCUUCCACUACCUUUAUACUUGUACAUCCUCCUGUUUGAAAGUUAGUUUGAAAAAGAUGAACUAAUCAAAUUCUUGAAUAGUAAAAUUAUUAUCAAUCGAGGAAAAUGCCAGUACUGUGACGGUUACAAAUCUGCUGUAGACAGAAUUUAACAGCAAUAUCUGGAAUAUAAGCAGGAAAGCACAGCUCCGAAUGCAAGAGAUCACAAGAGAGACAAGGCUAUAAGUAGGACCAGUGAGUUUUGAUAUAAUAACCAAUACGGUCACCAAGGUUUCAGCAAAGAGAAGGUUAAAGCUUACGUGAAAGGGAAUAUUAACUUGAUGAUAAACUAAUUUGACACAAACCUGUGUGCUUUUGAAUUUCUUCGUCGUGCGGUAAUCGGAUGAUGUACCUCUGACUUCACAGGAUCAAGUGCUGGCUGAGAUAUCUCAAGCCCCUCAUCUUUAACAAUUGACAGAUAUCUACAAAAGGUUCAGUACUCUAAAUAUGAGGUCUAGCUAGUUCCAGUAAACACAAAAUACACAAAUAAAUACAGUUUUGUUUUGCAAGAUAAUUAAGAUUUUCAAAAUUUUAUGCAUGAAUUUUAGGUACAGAUUUUUGCUGAUGAUCACUUUAAAAAUAUAAAAGCUAAAAUGAAUCCAUGUCUACUUACCGUCUUGGAUUAAAAUUCUCAACACCAAUGUCUUCAUCCCAGAGGAAUAUAUAAUUAUACUCAGCAACAAUGUCUGGAUGCAAGAAACGUUUUGCAAACCACCUAUUACACCAGAAGGCAUAGUAAAAUUUAAAAAAUUACCCAUGAACAUACACAUGGCCCCCUCGUGUCUAGGAGAACAGUUUUUCUGAUAAAACUUAAAUACCAUUUUGUUUGAUUAGCUGCAGAUACAUGUAUGGCGCGAUCAGCCCACACUAAAUCUUUCCAUUCAUCCACAACACCAUCAUAAUGAAAAAGCAUCACAACAAAAUCUUUCGAAGGAAACUGCAGCAAGAAGAUGGAAAUCAAGCACAGAACUUAUAAGAUAAUUAUGAAAACAAAAGAGACAGCAGAAUAGGGGCCAAGACCUUUCUAACAAUUUGGUCAACUAUCUUCUUUUGCUUAAUUCCAGCUGCAAUGGCUAACAGGUUCAUUGGAGGCCUUUGAUUGUUCUGACACAAAACUAUGUAAUAUAAGCAUUAGGAAGAAAAGAAAAGAAAAAAAUUAUGAAAAUUCAAAUUCAUAGACCUCAGCAACAAACAGCUCAUGACUCACAGGAAAACGGAACUGUGUAUGAGUGAACAGAAUCUUAUUUGCCAUUUACUUAAAAAGCAAUCACAGAUAAAUUAAGUAGAUUUUGACUAUAGGUUAUGAGCUAUUAGAUUCUAAUGAUGGUCAUUCACAAUCUCACAUACAAGUUUUGAUGGGGAGCUCCAUAAAGGCCGCAUUUCCAGAUUUGAUGUUUUGGACACUAUUCCUUCUGGUAAUGCCUCAGUUCCUGGAAGCCUGCAUUGUUGAUUCUAAAUAGAAUAGAUGUGAAAAGAAAAAUGAAAUCAGAAAGGAAUUUAGAUAACUUCACGUGCCACUAGAAUAAUGGACUAAUGGUUAACCUUGCAAGUUUCAGGUUUUGCACUGUACAUGCUAUGAACAAGUCCCCAUCUCAUUAAUCUCUGCAAAAAAAAUUAGGGAAAUUCUACUUAAUUCAGACAUAUCUUGGCAUAUCCAAAUUGAUCCACUGAACAUCAGCAACACAACAACUAGCCCUUUGCCAUUACAAUCUGCAACAUACCAGUCAGCGAGAAUUUUAAUUGAAUAGAAACUCACUUCCUUGUUUUCCUUUGCAACAAAUGAACUGCCAAUGAAGUAAACACUACAAAUCAAAGCAGCGGCGAUGAACAGACUGCAGAGGCAUGACCUACUCGGUGGAUCUGAUAGAGCAGAAAUCUGAAAGGGAGAAGAUCCAUCAAUUAAAUUGAAUAAUUUAACUUUAUUUUUCAUUUUUCACUUUGAAAAAAUGGCUUCAGCUUGACAAUCCUCUUUCUGUAAUCUCCAUAACCAUCCCAUACAGCUGUGAAUGACUUAUAACCCAUUUUUUUCAACAAGAGUUAGACAGUACAUGUGCUCAAUUGAUUUCUUAAUUUUCCUAAUAUUUUCCUUCCAACAAAACAGUGUUUCAAAAAAAGACACUGUAAAAUAAAAAAAGUAAAAAACAAAAAGAAAACCUAUUUAGAUUUUUUUUUUCUUUUUCCCAAACACUAGGUGCCAUUACCAGUGAACAAAAAAUUUUAAGGAAAAAAAGGAAAAUUACAAUAUUCAUUAUUCGAAUUUUCCACUUGAAAUCUACACCGCCAGGCCCUAAGGCUUUUUCCCUCUAACAAAAUAGAGUAAAUUCAGAUAAUUGAAAAAACAAAAGUCCAAUUGGUUACUAGCAAUAAAACAGAAAGAUAAGCAUAUCUCAGCAAUCAAACAGAAUUAAAAAGCACUUCCCAGAAAUGGAAGCAGAAAGCACUUCUCAGCAACAAAACAGAGGAUGAUAUACCACACAUUCCAGCAACCAAAUAGAAGGAAAAAGCACUUCCCAGAAACCAGACAGAAGCAGAAAGCAUUUCCCAGAAACCAAACAAGAAGAAAAGCACUUGCCAGAAACCAAACUGAAGGAAACACUUCUUUUUUUUUUUUCUUUUUUUUUUGUUGGCUUUUAGACAAGCUCUUUGCUUUCCGCUAUAUUCAUAGUAUAAACGAAACAAAUCAAACAAAUAAACAAUCAAUCAAUCAUCAAUAAUCAUAUCUCUCAAGAGUCCUUAUUAACAUGCACACACACUCAAGUAGAAUCAAUAAAAGCAAAAACCAAAAAUAGAGAGAGAGUGGUCUUACAGAAUUGGUCGCCUUCAUCAUAGUGACAGAAGAACUCCCAAGGCAAGAAGCUUAUAGCCAGCUAGACCCAACCAACCAAACAAUUAUGCUUAUAACAACAGAAGCAGGUGCUAAUAAUAAGUACUUAAGGAAAAAAGUGCUUUUUUUAGUUUUUUUUUUUAUAAUUCCAUUUUUAAAAUAAUUUUAUUAACUUUCCUUUCUUUUCAUAUAGAGGAUUAGGAAGAAAAAGUGUACAGGUAAAGAAAAGAAUGAGAGAAAGUUGUUUUAGCAAGUAGAAAGAAAAGGAAUGGAAUCCACAGAAAGAAAAUGGAAAGGCAUCAUUACGUCCCCAAAACGGCGUCGUAACCACAAAUCAUAAUUCAAAAGCAAAAGCUAAUUUAAUUUGUACGGAAAAAGACAGGAUAUUUAAGACAGAGGAAGAGGAAGAGGAAGAGGAAGAGGAAGAGUUGUUGUGUUGUUUAUUGUCAUUUUGACUGCGGUUGCUGACUUGUGCCGUGUGCGUCUCCUCAUGUCGAAAUUGAAUUCUGUUUUGUCGUUUUGAGUUUUGCGAACACUACAAACUGGAAGAUGCCUGAGUUGGUUGUUUCAAUGGGAUGGGAAAUUAUUAUGAACUCCCUGACUUUUAAUGUUUUAGUGAAUAAAAAGAUAAUUUAUCUGUUUAUGUUAAAUAACUCCCUAACCUCUUCAUAGUUGCUUGCUUCGUCUCGUUAAUGUAAAUUAAACUACAUACGGCCGUCUAAAUCUGGUUCAUUAGACUAUAGGGAUUACGAUCAUAUGAUCUUAUUAUGUGAAUAGUGAGAUAAAUUAUCAGAAGAUUUUCCAUCAUAUGAUGUUAUUGUGUAAAUAGUGAGGUAAACCAAACCAAAUAAUGUAAUAUUAUUCUUAGAAACUAAAAAAAUUCAUCACUGACCCACUUAGUGACUUAAUGAAUUUCAUAUUAUGUAAUAAUAUCAUCUAGGAUAAAAUUUUUUUCAGAAUUCUUUUAAAAGUGAAUACCAUUUAUUUGUAAGUGAUAGUCAUUUUAUGUAGAUGUUAGGCUACCUAGUUUAGUUAGUAAAAUCUUUUAAGUUGAAACAAGAUAUUUAGAGUUGAAAUUAUGUUCAAAUAAGAGGAGAGAACAAUUGAAUUAAUAGUUACACUAUGCUUAAAUAAUAAAUAUAAUUAGUUUUAUAGAAUUAAGAUAAUGCUAGUGAAUCACACAUUCUUAACACACCUUCAAUCUCAUUCGCAAAAUAGAAAUUAUUAAUUUGGAUUGUAACUCAUAUAGUAACUUCUCAAAUAUUUUAUUUAAGUUCAUGUUUUAAACCUUUUUUUUUUUCAUUGUGCUUUCGCUAUGUUAAAGUUGCGUUGAGAGCGUGUGAGUAGCAUUUACUCAAGGGAUCUGGGAUCUAUUUGAUGAACAACGAGAUAUUACGUUUUUAUUUGUUAAAAUCAAAAUAGUUGGGGGUCAAUGAUAAAAUUCUUAUUGUUUAAUGGAAAGAGCGUUACACGGGGAGUGUGAAAACGUGGGAAAAUGAAUUAAAUUUGCCUUCGCGGGUGUAAAAUUUAUUUGAUACUCGCUUUAUUUUGAUGACACGUUUAACUUUGGGUAUAAUUAUACAGAGAUCCCCAUUCCUAACAAAAAUACAUUAAAAUCUAAGUAGUUUCAGUAAUCAUCAUUUAAGUUCCAAAUGAUAUUAUUUAGCUUUUAAUUGCCAUUGACAGAGACUGCCACAUCUUUUAAAAUGUCUUUUUUACUCUAACAAAUCCGUAAUUUUUAUCGACUUGGAAAAUUAUUUGGCAUUUAAAUCUUAACCAUCAUGAACUUGGUAAAUUAUACAAAAUUCAAUCAAAUUUAUUUUAGAUUUAUCGACACAUCACAUUUGAUAAAAAUAUCCACUUUCAUUCACAAAUUUAAUUUAAAAAAGAAUUAUUAUCUUUUUCUUUCUUUUGAUCAAGUACAUGUCUAAUGCAUAUUUUUGGGGUUCUAAUUUUUUUUUUAAAUAAAAGAUCUCCAACAAGAUUUUAUAAAUUUAAAGGAUGAUUUCAAUGAAAUUGAAUAAAGUUUAUAGCAGGGAGAGAUUUAUGAAUAGUUUAAAACCACUCUAAUAUAUCUUCAAAAAUCUAAAAGUCAAUAAAGUUGAUGACAUUUAUUUCGGAUUUGGUUGGAUUUUUAAAAUAAUAAAUUUGACAUCUAAUUAAUAUAUUCUAAAAAUUAAUUCUUUUUUUUUUUUCAAUAUAAACACAGUAUUAAAUGUUUAUCUUGUUUUAGUUGGCUGUACUACGAAUGGAUAAGAAUAAAGAGAAAGGAGAUAAUCAUUUCCCACAAUUAUUAGCAAAACAACAAGUCUCUAAUAAUUUUAUUUCCACUUUACGUCAAAAUAUAAGUAUCUUACCUUAAAUGGGUAAAUCCUAUUCAUACGUUUCUUUGUUUUUAAACACUCACGUUCCUUUAAAAAAAAAUUAAAAAAAUUAAAAAAAGAAAAAACACUUCAUGUUCAUACGUUUCUGUUUCAAACUUUUAUGACAAUUAUUGUUAAUUCAUCGAUCAUCACAUUAUUUAAUCCUUCAUACAAUUAUUUUAAAAUAAAUGUCAUAUUAUUAGUGAUACCAGAGUUGAGAUAUAUUUUUCCGACAAAGUUUUGUUGUGAGUUUAACUUUCUCUCUACUGUGUAGCCUUCUGUAAAAUGAUUCCUUGAUUUUGUCAAAAGUUCCCUUUAUAUUCUUUGACCUAUUGUGAAAUAGUAGCCCACUACUUUAGUAAGGACCGCUUAAAAUAUUUUUUUGAGAAAUUUAAAAGUAAUUUUAAAAAAUUAAAAGGUAAUUUUAGUGUUCGAGUAAAUUUUUUUAAAAAAUUAUUUUUAAUAAAAUCGCCUCAUACAACAACAGAUUUUGAAAACUAGAGAAUGAAUAGCUUAUCAAAUUUUAAUUUUGAGAAUCACUUUAUGGGUAAUACAAUUUCAAAUAAAUCAUAAAAAUCUAAAAUUAUCCUUAUUAAUUAGGAAAUAAAAUCAUUAAUUUCAAAGUGAAUAUUAUUAUUAAUUACAUUAAGAUAACUAAAUAGAAAUAAAUUAAUAAUAUAAAAUAUUUAUUGUAGUUAUCAAUUAUUUUAUGUACACAAUAGAAAAUAUUUUUUUAUACAUGUUUAAAUAAAUUUUAUUUAACAUUAUGCCUUAUCUAGACAUUUAAAUUUGUGCAGUAGUUCAACAAUAAAAUUUACUAAACACAUAUUAUUGAUUUUAAAACUCAUAGCACUUUUAAAAUAAAUUUUAUCAAAUGCUUAAUCGAUUCUCUCCACAACUAAUUGUUUAUAUUAGCAAUUAUUUUAAGAGUUACAACAUUACCAAGACCCUGUUCAAACCUCUACAGGCUUCUAGUGACUGAAUAUACGCGUAAUGCAUAUGAUUCUUUUGAAAAUAAUAAGAAUUGUCUUCUCAUAAGUCUAUUAAUAAGAUACUUAUAUUUCUAUUAAAAAAAUACUUGUAAGUCUAUUAACAAAAUACUACUAUUUUCUAUUAACAAGAUACUUAUAAGUCUAUUAACAAAAUAAUUUUAAUACAUCAUUUGACAAUUGUUGGGCUCACCUCGCAACUUUUAAAGCCCUUAAUUUGGAUGGCGAGCGUCUAGUUUUCCCGCGAAAAAUUUUUAGAGACAUUAAUUAAAAUCUACCAAUAACGACAUCGUUUCCAUCAUUUGUGGAGAACUAGCAAGAUUCAUUGCAAUUGACUUGACCAUGUACAAUUAACACAAUCAUCAUGAAGUUCUUUUCUACAAUAAAUUGCUGCUGCUUCAAGCAAAAUUUUAAAAUUAUCAAAUGCUUUUAAUUUUUGAAUUUUUUUAAUAUCGUUGGUUAAUUUUUGAACUUCUAAUAUUGUUAGUUAUAAAUAUUAGCCCUUAACAUUUGCGUGGAAAAUGAAUUGGCUAAGAACUCAAAAUAUUGCAGCAAAUGCUACAUGUACAGAGGUUCUCAAGGUACGUAAUGGGUAUUUAUCUCAAUUAUGCUCAUGAAGAGAGAGAUUUAGUACUAUAUUAGGCGGAAGACUUUCUUUAUUUUCCUUCUACUUUUUUAAUUUAUUUUCAUCUUGGAAAUGUUCUUUUGUUCAGUGCUCCCCAUAGAUUUUCCCCCCUAAUUUCCCCUAUCAUGCAUGCUUUUUCGAAGUCCAUUUCAUCUUACAUUAUUCUAAUUCUUCUUGAUCUCAACUAGCAGUUUGGCCGAAAAAUCUGCCUGUAGUCCAUGAAAUCUAGAAGGACUACAUUAAAAUAGUAUUUACAUUUUGGAUUGGAGUGAGAAUAUUGAAAAAUGUGGAUCCUAAGAUUGGGAGUGUGGAGUGAGAGUGAGAGUAUGUUGUUUACUUACACUGGAAUGAAGAUCAAAAUUCAAUUUAUGUGUUUACUUUGUCUUGGAUUAUGAUUAAACAGUUUUAAAUUACAAUUUUACCAUUAUUUAAAGAAUUAUAGUUUUUAAUUACAAAGUUAAUAAAAAUAUAUUUGAUGAAUAAAUAUUUAUUUAUUGUAUUUGUAAAUUUAUAAUAAUUAUUAAUAUUCUUAAUUAUGUACAUCAAAUUUUUUUAUUAAUUUUAAUUUUAAUUAUGAAAAUUAAAAAUUAUUGAUAAGGGCAUUAUGAAUGAAACAUUUUUACUAUUAACGUAGUACGAAAUUAAUAUUUUCUUAGAAUAAAUUAUUUCUUAUUAUUAAUUAUUAUUAUUAAUAUUAAAUAAAUAUAAUACUAUUAUUUUUAAAUAAAUAUAAUAAUAUUAUAUUUUCAACCAAAGAUAGUAUAUAAUAAUAUUAUUAAUUCUCUAUUAAUAUAAUGAUAUUAUUUUAAAAUAAUUUUAACUUAGAAUCAAUGCAAAUUAUUAUUUAGUUAAAUAUAAUAAUAAUAAUAUUUAUUUUAUUUUAUUAAAUAUAAAGUAUUAAAUUUAAUAAAAGGAGAGUAGAAAAUGAAGAGGUGGGAGUGGAUUCCCACUACUCCAACUUCUCCUCGUGGGAGUCCCACUUCCACUCCCCACUCCAAAAAUAAGUGGGACCCACGGAGUGGGAUUCCCAAUCCACUCUCAAAACUGUUGAUAAACACUUGAGUGGAAGGAAUCUACACUUUUCACUUCCACUCUAAAAGGUAAACACAACAUAAGCAUGCGGUCUGAGCAUAUUCUCUCUACAAAAGUGUUUGUGGUCCUUUACAAGGUUGAGAGGUUUAAAAUCUGCAACAAAACAUUGCAACAUAUGGUAGCUUUAGCCCCAAUGGGUAAGCUUUAUGUCAAUAGAACUUCUGGAGGAAAGUGACGAUGAGAAACUUAAGAAGAUUGAUAGUUAAGAGAAACAUAGUUUUGGUCGCUAGCUUCGAAAUAAUACAUUAUAUUCUAAAAUUGGACAUUUUGUAGUUCAGGUUAUAACCUCCGGAAUAUACCAUGCUCAUCCUAUGCAAUCAUUUUGCAUCAAAUAGUUGUGUUCUUCAAGAUUGGACAUCCUUAUACCUUUAAAUGGUCAAUUAAGCUCACUGAAAGUUGAGAUGGGGGAGAGUGAUCAUGCUGCAACUUUAAAAUGGACACUUGUGUCAGAAACAGUGAGAAACACAUUAUUUUUAACGUGGGAAUAAGCAAACCUGGGAGCGUCAAAAAAGAAAUGCUGAGUAAAGCUGGGAAUGAGCGAAGUUGGGAGAGUAAAAACAUGUUUCUGAAAUGAAGAUUUUUAUUCUGUCCGGUAUUCUCCAUGACGGGAAAAGCCUUCGCUGAAGUGAAAAUUAAAAAAAAAACUAGGUACUGUUUUAUUUCAUAUAAAUGCAUUUUUAUGAGCUUCAGUAACUUUUUUUAUUAUGAGAAAGUAAGCCUUUCUCUCUCUCUCUCUCUCUCUCUCUCUCUCUCUCUCUCUCUCUCUCUCUCUCUCUCUCUCUCUCUCUCUCUCUCUCUCUCUCUCUCUCUCUCUCUCUCUCUCUCUCUCUCUCUCUAUAUAUAUAUAUAUAUAUAUAUAUAUAUAUAUAUUAACUCGAAAUCAUAUACAACACUUCGGCUGGAAAUUCAUCCAACCAAACAACAUCAACCAUUUUUUGAAGAGCCAACUUAGCUAGAGAGUGAGCUAUACCAUUGCAAGAUCUAUUUGUGUGUUAAGCCUUGAAAUUCUGAAAACUCUUCUUAAUUUCCAGAAUUUCAGAGAUCACCCAUAUGAUUUUAGCCAUGCUGUUGACUUUGUUAUUUAUAAGCUCUACUACUUCAUGACAAUCUGAUUCAAGCAAUACAGAGGUUCCCCCCACUCUCAACGCAACCUGCAAUCCCCAUUCCAUAGCUGCAACUUCAGCCAUUGCCACAUUGCCAAAAUAUCUAGAAGUGUUAAUGGCAGCAGCUACACAAUUUUUGUUCCAGUCCCUGAUUACCCCCCCCAGCCUAGCUACAUGUUUCUCAGCAUUCACUGCAGCAUCUACAUUAACCUUUAGCCACCCAUUUGGAAGAGGAUGCCCUUGAUUUUCCUUACCAUCCUUUCUCUGAGUUGGCCUUAACCCAUCAUACUGUCUGGCAUUCUUAAAAGACUCCACUACUGAUUCAGCUCUUGCUAUUAAUCUGGCUGGAGCCUAUUGUUUCCCUUAAAAAAGAUGCUUAUUUCUAGCAUUCCAUAUCACCAAGAGCAGAGCUGCAAUUGACUCCUUCUCCACAUUUUUUUUGCUGCUUUGUCAUUUUUUCCAUCAAUCUAAUUAUAUCAUGGAAUUGACCUUCUGAAGGGCUCCCUUCUGCUUUGUAAAAAUUCUAGGCUUUUUUUGCCAACUUACAACCUGACAGAGCAUGAGCUAUUGUUUCCACUGAAUUGUAGCAAAUUUGACACAAUGGCUCUUGCAAGACUUUUUUCUUUUAAAGAUUUUCAGCCGUGGGAAGCAGGUCGUUUGAGGCUCUCCAUAAGAAAAUUUUUAGCUUCUCAGGAAUAUCUAGUUUCCAAAUUGUAUUCCAAUGAUCCGGAUUCUGGGAAGAGCAACUAGGUAAAUCUGGAAACUUCAUUCCUACUGCUAUUUGAUAACCACUCUUCACUGAGUAUUGGUCUCUUCUGUCAUAGUGCCAAAUAAGUUGGUCAUCUCUUGGUCUGAUCGGAAGGGGAAUUUGCAGGAUUGCUUCUACAUCUUCAAGCCUAAAAGAUUCUUUUAUCACAAUUUCCUUUCAGUGUUGUUCUUCAUCAAUUAAGUCUGUAACUGCAGUGUCUAUCCUCAAUUUUGGGGCUGAAACAGGUCUAAAUGUUGAGGGCUUAGGAAUCCAGUUGCUUGAGUAUACCUGCACCUUCUGCCCACUCCCUAUUCUCCAUGUAGCACCCUUUUGAAUCACAUGCCUUCCCCAUAAUAUACUCCUCCAAAUGAAAGAUGGCUUCGAUCCUAGGCCUGCUGUCAUAAAAUCAAAAUGCUUGAAAUAUUUGGCUUUCAUGACUUUGGCCAUCAAUGAGUUUGGGCUCUGAAUGAUUAUCCAUCCUUGCUUAGCAAUUAAAGCAUGAUUAAAACUUGAGAAGUCUUUGAAACCUAAACCUCCCCUGACUUUUGCUUGACUUAAUUUCUCCUACCAUACCCAAUGAAUUCUCUUCUUCUCUUUAUUUGUCCCCUGUUAGCAUAUAUGAGUAGAAAUGAUGAGAGCACCGUUAACUGUAUAAACAACAGAGCAAGUGAUUCCAGCUCAAGUGCUGACGUGUCACGUUAGUUAUACAUGUUGGCUUCCUUUGUAACAAACUCAUUUCAGUUGUAAAACAUAUUCCAGUAGCUUCAUUAAUCAGUUAGAUAGAUUCCUUUAAGCUACUAUAUAAACCAACUCUUGUAAUCAUUUUGAGUAAUGUUGAUUGAAUAUAAAGUCAUUGAUUCUAGUAUUUUCUCUGUUAUUUUCUUUCUCUUUCUAUCAUUUUCUUAUCUGCCAAACACAUUAACAACAUUUCAAACAUGGUAUCAGAGCCUAUGGCUAACUCAAAUCAAAGUUCACAUUCCUAUAAUUUUGUUACUCCAAUCAAAUUGGAUCACAACAACUUCAUGGUAUGGAGGAAUCAAGUUCUGGCUUCAAUCAAAGGAAACGGUCUGGAAGGUUUCAUCAAUGGAACUAAUCCGUGUCUGGACCAGUAUCUUGAUCAAUUCAGUGAAGCUUUAAGCUCAACACAAGGUGAGUCUAAAUCUAGAACUAAAAACCCUACUUUUGGUGUAUGGAUUAGAACUGAUCAGCUACUUUUAAGCUGGAUGUUCUCAUCUAUUCAAGAAAAUCUACUUACCUUAGUAAUUCAAUGUGUUUCCUCUCAAGAACUUUGGGAAACUCUCACACGCAUGUUGAUCGCUCAAACUCAGGCAAGGAUUAUGCCACUAAAAAUGCAAUUACAAACCUCUAAGAAAUGAUCUAUAUCAAUGAAUGCUUAUUUCUCCAAGAUGAAACGUCUUGCUGAUAGUUUAGCUAUUGCUGGAAAGCCUGUUGAACACAAUGAUCUGAUUACAUAUAUUCUAACUGGCUUAGACUCUCAGGAUUAUGAGUCACUUGUUACUAUUUUGCUUGCUAGAAGUGAUAAAAUGAGUCUAGAUGAAUUGUACUCACUGCUAUUAAGUCAUGAAAUGAGGAUUGAGCAAAAGAAAUGGAAGAUCAGUGCUGAUGUGAUUCAUAAUCUCUCUGCUAACAUUGCUCAAAAUAAUCAAAAUCCUCCAAGAAGUGGAUCUGGCAAUUCUGGUUUUUCGAGAGGAAAUGAAGGGUUUGGUAAUUUUAAUCAAGGAGGAAAUAAUGUCAAUCAUGAGUCAAAUAUAGUGUGCCAAAUUUGUUUCAUUCCAGGUCAUAGUGCUACAAAAUGCAGAAACAUAUUCAAUCCUGCAUUUGUACCUCAGAGGAAUUUCGGUAGAGGUAAUUUCAGACCUGGAUUUGGAAAUUAUGGCAGAGGCUUCAUUCCAAAUAAUUUUGCUCCAAGACCUUUUAAUGGCUUUGGAAGAAAUAAUAAUGGUCAAUAUGCUGGAUCACCAAGGGGUUAUGGUUUUCAAAGUGGAUUUCAAGGUCACGUUACUUAUCAAAAUUCUGAUGUUGCUGGUGCAAACUAUCAAUCAUCCUCUUCCUAUAACUCUCACAACUCUGGUUCUGAUCAUCCAGCAGCUUUUAAUUGCUUCAAUGGAACAACUAAUGCUUCUCAGUUCCAGUCAUCAACAAACUUUCAUACUGCUCCUUCCCCGGAGACUAAGGAAGAUCUGUCCUGGUACAUAGAUAAUGGAGCCUCUACUCACAUCACAGUUGACUCAAGUAAACUCUUUAAUAUGCACCCUUAUUGUGGCACAGAAUCACUUCUUGUUGGAAAUGGAAAUGCAUUAGAAAUUAAACAUAUUAGAUCUGCAGUGCUUGAUACACUGACAACUAAACCUUUACUUCUGAAUAAUAUCUUGCAUGUUCCAAAUAUCACCAAGAAUUUAUUAAGUAUUUCUCAACUUCUAGCUGAUAACAAUGUUAUUGUUGAAUUUGUUGGAACCUUUUGUUUCAUUAAGGCCAGGAAAACAGGAACUCUGUUACUUAAGGGAGUAGCUACUGGAGGCUUGUAUCAGAUACAAAAUUUGUCAAGUGAAGAUUCUCAAGUUUCUUGGUGUCAUAGUCAAAUAAAUAAACUUGUAUCAAUGUUUGCUACUCUCUAUAGUUCAGUCAAUUCUAGUCCCCUUCCUUUUAAAUCAUGUAAUCCAGCAGCUUUAACAAUGUCUGUGUCAUCAGUUGAUGUUGGUUUACUUCACAAGAGACUUGGACAUCCAGCCUCACAUACACUUCAAACUGUUAUUAAGACUUGUAAUUUGUUUGCUGGAAUUAAUAAAACUCCAAAAAUUACCUUCUGUGAUGCCUGUCAGUUUGCCAAGAAUCAUCUUAAACAUUUUGAUUCUGUCAUAACCAAAACAACAGCACCUCUACAGUUGUUAUAUGCUGAUCUUUGGGGUCUUUCACACAUCACUUCUACUCAAGGUUACAACUAUUACUUGUCAAUAUUAGAUGAUUACAGUAGGUUCACUUGGAUUUUUCCUUUAAAAGCCAAGUCUGAUUCAUUACAAGUUUUCACUGAUUUCAAAACCUUCAUUGAGAAACAUCUGGAGAAAAGAAUUAAGACUAUCCAAACAGAUUGGGGAAGGUAAUUCAGAUAAUUUUCUUCAUUAUUAACAGCCUCUGGUAUACGUGUCAGACACCCUUGUCCUCACAUUCACCAUCAAAAUGGUAAAAUAGAGAGAAAACAUAGACACAUUGUUGACAUUGGUCUCACCUUAUUAGCUCAAUCAAAUUUGCCACUCACUUUUUGGUGGAAUGCCUUUCACACGGUUGUAUUUCUCAUAAACAGAUUACCAACUCCAGUUUUGAAUAAUGUCUCAUCCUAUUUCAAACUCUUUCAUCAAACUCAAGAUUACUCAUUUCUCAGAGUUUUUGGCUGUGCUUGUUAGCUUUAUCUUAGACCCUAUAAAAAAAAAAGCUUGAAUUUAGGACUGAUAGAUGUAUCUUCAUGGGAUACAGUCUAAACCAUAAGAGCUAUCAAUGUUUACACUCUUCAGGAAGGGUAUAUAUAUCCAAUCAUGUAGUAUUCAAUGAAAACUCUUGCCCAUACCAGCCAGGUGUUGAUUUUUCUUCUAUUUCAAUGUCUUGUUCAAGUACAAACAAUACAGAGUCCACUCCUUCUAUACAAGUUCUCUCAGCACCUCCUUUAACAACAGAAGUUCCUGCUUUAUCUCCACUUUUAUCACAACAAAUUUCUGACAAUUCCACUUCAGCCUUAUCUCAAUAUUCUUUACCUUCCUCUUCAUCAGAUCACAGUUCACCAAAUAUUUCCUAUCAACAGUCACAAAAUUCAUCUCACUCAAACAUUCCAGUGCCUUUUGCUCAUGCCCAUCAGUUACCUAAUUUUUAGCCACCUGGUCAUCACAUGAUUACCAGGUCCAAAGCUGGAAUUUUUAAACCAAAAGCAUACAUCACUACACUUUUAGCCCAACCAUUUGAACUUAACUCAGUAACUCAAGCACUACAAGAUCUAAAAUGGUUUAAUGCUAUGCAGAAAGAGAUUAAGGCUCUUCAGGCCAAUCAGACUUGGGAUCUAGUUAUUCCUACAGCUUCUGUCAAAGUAGUAGGAAACAAAUGGAUUUUCAUAAUUAAAUACAAUUCAUAUGGGUCAAUCUCAAAGUAUAAGGCAAGAUUUGUUGGAAAGGGGUUUCAUCAAACAUAUGAGAUAUAUUACAGUGAAACUUUCAGCCCAGUAGUUAAGGCUUCAACAGUGAGAGUGGUAUUGAGUUUAGCAGUGAUGAACAACUGGAUGAUAAGGCAAGUUGAUAUUUAUAAUGCCUUUCUCAAUGGCAUUCUUGUUGAAGAUGUAUAUAUGGCCCAACCAGAAGGUUUUGUGGAUCCAGUAAAGCCUCAUCAUAUAUGCAAAUUGAAAAAGGCUCUGUAUGGUCUAAAGCAAGCUCCAAAGGCAUGAUUUGACAGGUUCAAAUGUGCUAUGAUAUCUUAGUGGCAUUUUGAUAAUUCAAAGUCAGAUUCCUCACUAUUUUACAGAUGGGAUGCAGGUGAUAUUCUACUGGUCUUAGUCUAUGUUGAUGACAUUAUCAUUACAGGUUCUAAUCCUAAUAGUGUGUUGAAAGUGAUCUCAAAUAUGCAAGCUAUUUUUGCUCUUAAAGAUUUAGGAGAGCUUAGCUAUUUUCUUAGCAUAGAGGUCACUAGAAAUAAGACAGGCCUUCAAUUAUCUCGGAGCAAAUAAAUAGUUGAUUUGCUGAACAAGUAUAAAAUGAUCACUUAUAGUCCAGUACCAACUCCCAUGAUCACAUCUCAUUCACUUGUUAAAAACUCAGGAGCUAUUAUUUCAAAUGCUUCUCAGUACAGGAGUGUUGUAGGGGCUUUGCAGUAUGUGACUUUAAUCAGGCCAGAAUUAGCUUUUUCAGUUAAUAAAUUGAGUCAAUUCCUCUCAGUUCCAACAGAAGAACAUUGGCAAGCAUGUAAGAGGAUACUUAGAUAUUUGAAGGGAACAAUUCACUAUGGUUUACAAAUUUACUCAACUGGAAGUCCGCAUAUGCAAAUAAACUGUUUCAGCGACUCUGAUUGGGCUUGUGACAGAGAUGAUCGAAAGUCAGUAGCUAGGUAUGCUAUGUUCCUUGGACCUAACCUUGUUUUAUGGUCUUCAAAGAAGCAACACGUUGUUUCCAAGUCAAGUACAGAGUCAGAAUAUAGAGCCUUAGCUCUGACAACAACUGAAGUUAUGUGGAUAAAAGGGUUACUUGCUGAGUUGAAGAUCAAAUUGAUCAUACACCCAUUAUGUGGUGUGACAAUCAGGGAGCAAUAUCUUUGGCUAUGAAUCCAAUAUAUCAUGCCAAGACAAAACACAUUGAGCUAGAUAUACACUUUAUUCGAGAAAAGGUACAAGCUAAUCAAAUUAAAGUUAACUAUGUGCCUAGUGAAGACCAGGCAGCAGACAUAUUCACAAAAGCUUUGGCCUAUGGACAAUUCAAUUAUCUUAGAAGCAAGCUAAACAUAUUUCCUACACAGUUCAGCUUGAGGGGGGAUGUUAGCAUAUGUGAGUAGAAAUGAUGAGAGCAUCGUUAGCUGUAUAAACAACAGAGCAGGUGAUUCUAGCUCAAGUGUUGACGUGUCACGUUAGUUAUACAUGCUGGCUUCCUUUGUAACAAACUCGUUUCAAUUGUAAAACAGAUUCUAGUAGCUUUAUUAAUCAGUUAGAUAGAUUCCUUUAAGCUACUAUAUAAACCAACUCUUGUAAUCAUUUUGAGUAACGUUGAUUGAAUAUAAAGUCAUUGAUUCUAGUAUUUUCUCUGUUAUUUUCUUUCAAUUUCUAUCAUUUUCUUAUCUGCCAAACACAUUAACAACAUUUCAAACAUCCCCCACCAAAAUCUAGCCACCGCUUUUUGAAUGUCCUCGCACAAUUCUAAAGGAAUCUUGAAGACACUUAUAGAGUAAGUUGGGACAGCUUGUGCAACUGCUUUGAUAAGUACCUCUUUGCCCCCACUUGAAAAGAACUUGUGUUGCCAACUUUGGAUCUUGUUCAACACUCUGUGCUUUACAUCUGUGAAGAAACUUUUGGCCUUCUUUCCUAUCAUAGAUGGAAGCCUUAGAUACUUUUCAUGGCGAGACACCACCUCAAGUUAGAAAAUUUCCUUUAUUACCGUGGCUCGAUCAUCUCUUGUAUUAUUGCUGAAAAACAUGGAGGAUUUUUGGUAGUUGAAAAUCUGCCCCGUAGCUCUGCCUUAGCACUCGAACAGCUCCUUAAGAUAGUGACAGUCCUCCAUUGCUGCUCUAACAAAAAUUAGGCUGUCAUUAGCGAAUAAAAGAUGAGAGAUCAUCGUAUCUUUCCCAAAGCAAAGUCCCCGGAUACGCUUUUGUUCCUCUGCUUGCACAAGGAGAUUUGAGAACACCUCUGCACAUAAUAUUAAGAGUAAGGGGAGAGGGGGCAUUCCUGCCGAAGGCCUCAUAGAGGUUGAAUCAGCCUUGAGACCAUUCCAUUGAUUACGAUAGAAAAUGAUGCUGUGGUAAUGCAAUUCAUAAUUAAAUCCACUAAUUUACAGGAGAAGCUUAGCUUUAGCAUUGUGCUAUUCAAAAACUCUAACUCCACUCUAUCAUAAGCCUUACUAAUAUCUAACUUAAGAGAUAUCCACCCAUGCUUUUUUUCUUUUCCAUGCCUAAUCUUAUGCAAACAUUCAUAACCCACAAUGAUAUUAUCGAUAAUCAACCUAUCCAGGAUGAAAUCACUUUGGCAAGGGGAGAUUACAUGAUUAAGCACAUUUUUCAGCCUAUUCACAAUUGCUUUCGCUAUAAUCCUAUAUAUGACAUUGUAUAAGCUUAUAGGUCUGAAAUCGGUCACCCUAUGAGGUUUAAGAAUUUUUGGAAUCAAGACUAUAUGAGUGUGGUUUAAUGAUGCAACCGAACCGUUACCAUUUAGGAUGUGAAGGCAAGUAUGGACCACACCUGAUUUUACAGAUUUCCAUUGCUUUUGGAAGAAAAUUGCUGGUAAUCCGUCUGGGCCCGAGGCUUUGGUUGGGCACAUCUGAGAAAGUGCCGUUGAUACCUCUUCCUCUGUGAGGCUCAUGUCGAGCUGCUCGUUCAUCUCAGCAUUUACUUUUACUUCCAAAUUUGUUAAGGCCGCCUCAAUUUGCAUCUUUGAUGGGCUGGAAGUUGCAAAUAGACUUGUGAAGUAUUCAUGGAAUUCUCUCUCAAUCUUCUCUAUGUCUUCAAUCCAGACAUUCUCCUAAUACAAGAUACCUUUUAUCCGAUUCUUUUUUCUCCUUGCAAAAACUUUAAGGUGAAAGAACCUUGUAUUCUUGUCCCCUUCUCUUAACCAGUCAGCUCAGGAUCUUUGCUUCCAAUACACCUCUUCAUAUAGCAGCAAAUUCACUAUCUGAUUUUCUGUCUUUUUUACCUCAUCUGCCUUUUCAUAAUGCUGAAAAUUUGUCUUCAUGUCAGCUAGAUUUUUCUUUAGAUUUUUUAACUUUUGCUUUUUGCCCUCGAAUUUCUUUUUACUCCAUGGCAACAAGUAGGCCAUUGUGUUCUUAGAAGCCCUUUGAAAAGAGUCUACUGAAUUCCCCUCCCUCUAGCUAUUCUGAUACAUCCACUCCUCAGAAACAAUUCGUUUCAUUCUUCAUAAUGACUCUACAUGUCCUCAUAAUGCAUUAUUUGGUUAACCUUUCUGUUUCAACCCAUAAAUUUUUUCCGUUCUUGUAUCUCCAGCAUAAUAGGGGUGUGGUCCGAUCCCCAGGCAUUCAAAUUUGUUUCAAUUAGAUCAUACAAGCUGCUCUUUCAGUCCUUACUUCCCAAAAACCUAUCAAGCAUUUUCUCCACAAAAUGUGGCAUGAACCUUCUAUUCGACCAAGUGAAAAGAUAUCCCAUAUACCCUAAAUCUUCUAAGUUGCAAUCGUUUAUAGCCUGUUUGAAAUCAACCACCAUACUCAUGUUUCUUUCCCUUCUCCUAAGUUUUUUCAUUUAAAUUGAGGAUCUCAUUAAAAUCCCUGAAACACAGCCAUGGAAAAGCAAACCAACCUGCCAAUCUUCUUAGUAACAUCCAGGUGUGUUUCUUCUGAGAACCUUCUGGAUGGCCAUAAAUCCAUGUACAUCUCCAUUUCAUCCCAUUUGCUCUAUUCAUGACAACGUCAAUGUGGUGGUUUCUAUACGAAGCAAGAUUCACAUCCACUUCAUUGCUCCACAUUAAAGCCACCCCCCCAUUCCAUUCCUGCUUACAUUAAAAUAAUUGUCAAAUCUCAUCUCUUUACUCAUAUUAGUCAUUUGCACAGGUUUCAAUUUCGUUUCACAUAUAAAUAAAAUAUGAGGCUUGUGCUCUCGGAGAAUAUCUUUUAAAGUCAGGAACAUCCGAGUAUUCCCCAAACCUUGAACGUUGCAACUUAUGAUCCUUAUUGUUGUCGACGGGGCUAGAGACCAACCGCAGCCAAUACUUCUUUUCCAGCUACAACUUCUACCUCUGCCACCUCCAUAGCCGUUAUGUCCCGACUUAGUUUUAGUUUUGCUAAGGGGGAAAUACAAGUCACCUGCUUUGAUGAACUCUUGUUUGGACUUGUAAGUUUCAAUUUCUUGCUUUUUGGGCUAGUGGUAGUUUGGGCGUAGUUGGCCCUCUUGGAAUUCAUAUUUAGCCCUUUUUUAUUUGUCUACUUUGUUGUGCUUUGGGCCUAGCUCUUCCAUUUCCUCCAUUUGAACUUGGGCUGUUUUGAAAAUGGGGCACUAUCCACUACUUCUUCUUCCAGAUUCAUUUGCAUUGAGUUGGGUUGCUGUAGUUCUAGGCCCAUAAGCGAGAUUUAGCUCUCCAUUUUUCCCUCCAUAUUUUUGCUUUCGUUUGUAUUUCCUCCCUUUGACACAAUCUUCCAGGUCUUUUCUCAAGUUCCGUUAUGUCUGGCUAUUUUUUGCGCACCAUUUGAUCUUUUUUCAACUCCAUCCCCUAUAUCAUUGAUGGUUUGUCAAUGAUCUCUCCCACUAGCUUUGACUUCGGUGAUGGACUUCUUUUAUUUUCAUGACACUGCGCUGACUCGGACCUAUUUUCUUUUAUCAGAUUUGAUUGUUGAUGAUGAAUGUGCUCUGUAUCCCCCGAGUUUUCCUUUCGUUGUUGUUCACUCCUAUCCUUAUCCUUACCCCUUUGAAACUUUGUUCGGUCUGCUAACGGGAUGGCCUUCAACCAUGCCCCAUAUGCCAGAUUUUCUUUGGGUUGGCCAUUGUAUUGUGCACACUCCCGGUAUUGAUGCCCGAUGAAACCGCAACAAAAGCAAAAAUCUGGUAGCUUCUCAUAGACUACACCCUCCACUAUUUCCUUCCCAUUUUCUUGUUAGAUCCUAACAACCUUCUUCAGCCGCUUCGUGAUGUCUAUCGAGAUUCAGACCCGUAUAUAUUCUCCAAAGCAAUCCACGGUUGCAUCUCUGGCUACAUCUUCUACUCUUCCAAUUUUUGAAGCAAUUUCCCAUAUAGUGUUUGUAUCCAUGCACAUCAAAGGUACAUUAUGUAAUUGAACCCAAAAAGAGACGUGUGAGAAUGCUUGUUCAGCUACAUUUCCUAUCCCCCUUAGUUCCUUUAGUUCCUCCAGCACGAUGAGGGCACGAUCGAAGUGCCAUGGCCCUCCUGUUAGUACCUUUUUUUUGUCCUCUUCUAUUGAGAACUUAAACACGAAGAUUUUUUGCCGCAGAUUUUCUACCUUUACUGACCCCACUGGGCGCCAUGCUUGUUGUAAUGCUCCUUUUACCCCCCUCAUGGCUUAUACCUCUUGUUGUGAGUAUUUUCCCCACCAAGCAGCCCAUUGCUAUCUUGAUUCCUUUUGCCUUCAUGUUUCCCCCGUACAUGACUUUGUCCUCUUUUUCCUCUUCCAGCAUUAUAGCACUACAUUUUCUUAUUAGUUCGUCUGUUUCCAUGGCUAAAAAGGUACUGCUUACCUUGAAUGCCGUAGCAAAGAGCUCACCAACCCCUCACUUCUCUUCCUCUCUUCACUUUAAGAGUUAUGCCUAUAAAAGAUUGAUAAAGAUUGAAGAAAAAACAAAGCUAUAAUGAUGCUCGACUAGCGAGCAUCUCACCGGAUCAAACAAAUCCGAUUUUUAACUCCCAUUCGGUGUUUUCUCAAAACAGAGAGAAAACACUUGAAGAGAGAAAACUAGCAAGAUAACAAAUUGUCUAACUGAGCUUCAGUAACUUGGAUGGCAAUUUCUUUAAACUUUUAUAUUGUCUAUGCGUCGUACAUGAUACUAAUUUUUCACCUAAAUUGGACUUAUUUUAUUUAUUUCGUUUUUUAUAUUCAGAGCAUUAAAAGAUUGUGUACUAAAUCGAGGGAAUAUUUUCUAUCUAGAUGCCAAAUCUCGGGUUGCUACCAUCAAGCCACAGAUAUGAUGGCUUCAGUAGAGCUAUUGCUUCCGAUAGAGGUUUCGACGAGCGAAUGGAAGUGCUGAGUUACGUGAUCCGUGUUUUUUACCGCCUUGUACUAAUAAUGUUGUCUGAGUUGGUCUUUAUUGUGCUUAUUUUUCAUAAGUGUUGCUUUUAACUUGUUUGUUCAUCUUUCUAUAACUAUAAGUUAACACUUCAAAACAACUUGAAGCCAUAUGAUUCAACUAUUGCAACCCUUUCAACUGACUGCAGCAAAGCAACCCUUUGCUGGAAUUCUAUCUCAGAAAAAAGUACUAUGUGCCCUUUGCAUUCACUAUGUCCUUGUGGCUCUGAAAUUAUGUGAAAUUUGAGGAAACAGAACUAAAAUUAGACAGUUAGUGGGGAUGUAAUGAAAAACACUAUUGUUAAGAUCUUCUGGAAGCACAUUUGGCUUAGGAAUUUAUUGACGAAGCUCUUUAGACUUUAUAUUCAUGUAUUAAUUAGUGGUUAAUUAGUUUAAAAAAAUAAAGAAUUUACAUGUCACAAGAACCUUUUCCGUGAUAGCAAGACUUUCUUGGCAACGCCAAUCUAUAAUACAGUGUUGCAUUCCCUUGUUGAAGCUCAGGAAGUAAAUGUUCCCAAUGAAUUAUCUACAGUGUGCAAUUGCGGCUCGAUGAGUUGGAGGUUCAUAUUUAAAUAUAUGAAAUCUUGUGGUAUCCCCCCAAAUGCUGCAACUCACAACAUAAUGAUUGAUUGCUGUAGCAUUAUAAGAUGCUUCAAAUCUGCUUCUGCAAUUGUUUCCAUGAUGGUGCGUGAGGGGUUUUAUCCACAGACAAUGACAUAUACUGCUCUUGUAAAGGUAUCCUUUUACCAUUACAACUGAUGCAUUAGCAUUAGGUCUUAUACUGCGUUAUCUUAUCCCGGUCAAGAAGUUGAAUUGAGAUAAAAAAAAGUUACAAUGACUGGUCUCAUUACUAGUCGUUGAGCAUGUUUUAUCUCAGAUUCUGCUGGAAUAUGGAGAUUUUGAUCAAGCCUUAAUAAAUCUGUUGGAUCAUGUUACCGCAGAAGGGAUUCAACUAGAUGUUACCGUGGUUUCCACAACAUUGCAAUCGAAGCAUUGUAGGUGCUAAGAAGAAUUUGGCACUUUAGACUAAAAGGGAUCAGAAUUUGAGGAUUUCAUCCUUGCUGAAGAUUCGGAAACUGUGUUACGAAGACUCCAAUUCUUCAAAGAUUGCAAUCAGAAUCUUACAUUUACAGUUGCUCUUUAGCUGUAAAGAUGGUGUGCUACACUUGGGUCCCAACUUCUUGGUCACCUGAUCAAAGCCUUUGGGCAAGAAGACUCUCAACUAACUCUGACACUAGACAAAAAUGAGUCUGCUUGAUCGAUUAGGGAUGGUAGGUAUGAUUUCUUUCACCAAUAAACGCACCCAACCCCGUAAACAAUUUUGUUUUCUAGAGCAUUUUUAUUAUGAGAAGUUUUAGGCUCCGUACAGUAGUAGUAUAGGCUUCAAACAGAAAUUCCCAGCAAUCUUACACUAGGUAAUUGUUUCCGUACCAUUUAUUUGCUAUGCUUUCUUAACUACUAGGUCGGUUAAUCUUAUAAAUCAAAGUUUUUUAUUACACUUUUCUGAUUUGGUGUUACGAGAUGCAAGUUGGUAAAUGUAAUGAAAAUCCAUGUAAUGAUUUUUUUAUUUUUUUCACCAAGUUUGUACGUAGUACUAAUUGGUUAAAGUCGUAACAAUUUGUCGAUACAAUCUUUCUUGUACAUAAAACUUUUACAUUUGUGCCAAAUUGUCAUCACAGUUACUUCUAUCUAUAAAGAAAGCUUGUGAUACUAUAAAAAGGUUGUUGAAGCACAUAAUCUGUUUCAUGAGGUCUUAGUAGCAAUAGUUGAGGUUAAUUGCAAAUGCUAAGAUUGGGUCACACUCAAAAAAUUACUCUUAUACGAUCAUUAAAUACCACUCGCUUAGGAGGACUAUACAUUAUUAUAUAGAAAGAAAAUUUUUAAAAGGUUUUUUUUAAUAAUAUUAGAGAUCUCAACUAUUAUUUCAGAAUUUAAGUUUCAACUAAUGUGACGAAAUUUCUAUAAUCGGCAUAUCAUAUUUGUCAAUAAUAUUUCAUUAUUAUUAUUAUUAUUAUUAUUAAAUCACCCUUUAUGAUAAAUAUAGGAAAAGGACACUUACACCUUAAAGUUUGAAAAAAUAGUCAUAUAGACUUCCGAAUAAGGGACACAAAAAUCCCCUUUAACUAUAAUACCCUUAAUGGAUAAUGAAUAAAAAAUUUGAUUUUAAAUUUUAAUAAAUAUAUAUAAUUUAAAUAGUUUAAUUUGUCUAGUAGACAAAUAAUAUUAGAAAAUUUCUUAAUAUAUAAAAUGAUUUUUAAAAUUUAAAUUAUUAUGUUUAUUUUAAUAAUAUAUUUGUAUUUAUUAUAAAAUUUUUAAUUAAAUCUUUGGGUUAAACAUAUUUUUUAAUUAAUAAAAUACAUCUUAUGUAUUAAUAAUAUAAAAUUAUUUUAUACAAUAUCUAAUUUAAUUUAUAUUUUUAUAUCUUUAUUUUAAUAUUACGUUUCUAUUUAUUAUAAAAUUUAGUGUAAUAUAGUAUAAGAUUGUAAAGUAUUAAAAUAUUUUGAAUAUUUAAAUUGUUUAAAAUGUAUAUAUUAUUACAUUUAUUUUGAUAUUAUAUUUCUAUCUAUUAUAAAACAUUUGAAUCAUUUUUUUGAGUUAAUAGAGUCAAAGGGUAUGUUAGUUAAAAGGAGGUCUUAAUGUCCCUUAUUGGGAAUAUGAGGGUCUAAAUGACCAUUUUUCCAAAUUUUAGGCGUGUAAAUGUCCUUUUUUUUUUAUAAAUAUUGAUAACCAUUAUCUUGCGAUUCAAAUGCCCGUGUUGUAGUUAUAAACGCCCUAACAUUACUUAUCCAAACUUUUAAUCCAACGCAGACACACUCUAAAUGCGAAAAAAAAGAAAAGAAAUCUGCAACCUUUUGUAUGUCAUGCAUAAACUCUUUAUGCAUAACAUCUAUAUGGUGCACUCCAAUGGACUGAUGAUGAAUUUCUCAAUACUUAAAUGGUUGUAUUUAGGGCCAGUUUCAUAAUAUUGUAGUUUUUAAAAUAAUUACAGUUAGCCGUAUUAUAGAAAUAAUCAAUUGUAAAAGAAAUCAGUUAUAUAUUUGGUAAAAUUAAUUUUGAAAAGUACUAUGAAUUUUAAAAGUAGUUGUAUGUAUUUAGUAAAUUUUACUAUUAAACUAUUGUAAGAAUAUAAAUUACUAUAUUGGACAUAAUGUUAAAUACGAUUUAUUUGAACAUUCAUAAAUAUGUACAUAAAAUAUUUGUUAUUGCGUACAUAUAAUAAUUGAUAAUCAAAAUAAAUAUUUUAUAUUAUUCAUUUUAUUUUUUAUUUUGUUAUCAAUAUAAUUGAUAAUAAUAAUCUAAAGUUAAGGAUUGUAUUUCCUAAUUGAUAAGAAUAGUUUUGAAUUUUUACAAUACAUAUAAGGAUAAAUAUGAAAUUUUAUUAAGUAUAAAAAUGAUUCAAAAAAUCAAAAUUUAAAAAGCUAUUCCUUCAACUUUUCAAAAUCUACUAUAAGAUGGAGUGAUUUUAAUAAAAUGAUUUCUAAAAAAAAUUAUCAAACACCAAAAUUAAUUUUUAGACUUUUAAAAUUACUUUUGAGUAGGGGUGGACAAACAGUUCGGUUUUUUCCGAACUGAACUGAACCUAAACCAAACCUAAAAAAUUCAGUUCGGUUCAGUUCGAUUCUAUGAGUAAAAACCAAAUGGUUUUAAAAUUAUGGAACCGAUUGGUUUUUGUUCGGUUCGAUUAAAAAACCGAACCGAACCGAAAACCAAUCGAUUCAAUUUGAUUUAAUUAUAAAUAAUUUAUUUAAUUGAAAAUAUAUAAACCAAAAACAAAUCUCUCAAAUCUGAAAUCCCUAACUUUCGGUUUUUGCAACCCAUUGCCUCCCUCUCCUCUCCCACUCAUCUCUCACGCCUCCCUCCGUCGCCUCCAACCCGCGCGUUUCUCCCUCUCCACACGACGCUCCUCCCUCUCCUCUCCCACGCCUCCCUCCGUCGCCUCCAACUCGCACAUUUCUCCCUCUCGACAUGGCGCUCCUCCCACUCCUCUCCCACGCCUCCCUCCGUUGCCUCCAAUCUACGUGUUUCUCCCUCUCCACACGACGUAGAACUUCAGAUCAGCCCCUCUCGGCUUCUUUCUCGUAAGCGUCUCUCCCUCACGUCAGCUCAGCCCCUCUCUUCCUCGCGUGCACGGCUUCCUAGCAUAGCCCCUCCCCUCAAGCACGGUGACGCCGUCGUUUAAUUCCUAGAUUUGAUGCAUGUUUUUUAUGACUUUGGUUUUGGCCUUGUUAUAACAGGUAUUAUUGUUGGGUGUAAAUUAUAUAAUUAGUUGAAUAUGGGCUGACUUAGGCUGUGUAAAUAGAACUAUGAGCAACUUUGUUGCCAAUAUUUUGAUAAAGAAACUAAGCGUUGUAAAUGGUAGAAAAAAGUUGCUUUCUUUUGUUGGGGCCGUGUCUGUUUAUUAAGUUAUUCGAUUGUUUGAAUAAUAGAAAGUGUUCUAAAUGUGAUAAGUUUUCUAUGUUGGACAAGUGGAACAUCAAGUCUCCUUAAUUCUGAUUGUAAUGAAGUGUUCAAAGAUGAUAAUUAAUGUGGAAUAUUCCGAAAAGACACUGAUUGAAGCAUAUUUGGUAACACAUGACAUUAUUUGAAGUUAGUUUGGAAGGGAGUUUGCUUAGUUUGGAAGGGAGUUUGUUGCGUUGUGGAGAAGAAACAUCAGUUGAAGCAUAUAAAGAGACACCGGGAAGUUGAUAAAAUUAGGAACCUAAUUUUUUUCCACACCCCCUCCGCCCCUUUCGCCACUAUACAAUCAAAUAUAGUUGAAAAAUCCGAACCAAACCGAACCGAAUUUAGGAACCGAACCGAACCGAACUGAAUUAUUUCGGUUCGGUUCCUAUAUUCGGUUCGAGUUUGGUUCACACUCUUAAGACUCGAUCGGUCCGAACCGAACCGAAUCGGAAAAUGCCCACCCCUACUUUUGAGCCUCCUAAAAGCAAUCCCAAACAGGAAUUUAGUUAGCUUGAUUAGUUACAAAUUUGAGACCUAAUUAUUAGAAUAUUAUUGUAUUUAGUAGGGUGAAGGAUGCCAGUGAGUUGCUUGUUUUUGACAAACUGAAGAACACUUUGCAAGUAGUAUGUCAAGUGGUAUUUAUUUAUUGGAUAUACUAUAUACCAAUACCAAAUGAAUGAGUAUCCUCCUUCGAGAUGUACAAAAUUAAAGUACUAUCAGAGAAGUGUAGAGUUAUAGAUCCAUCCAUCCAUACAUUUUUAAUAGUUACCACUAAUUUAAAAAAGGGAUUAGAAUUCAAUGCUGAAUUGAGUCUGAAUCAAUGGUUCAAACUUAUUUUGAUUUUAUACUUUUUCAUUUCACCAUGUUGAUCAUUUACUAAUUUAGUGUUCAACAAAAAUUCAGCUUAACACUAAAUUUAUGUCAUUAAAAAAAAUUAAAAAAAUUGCAAUUGUACGUGGUUUUAUUUUGUGGGAAUCAUAUGUUUUCACAGUGAAAAAUUCUAUGCACUGUACCAAUAAAUUCCAUCUUAAUCCCACAAAGGCAAAUUCUUGGGGCAAGUUUGUUAUUAGUUCAAAAUUUAGGAUAAUCAAUUUUUAAUUACUCUUAUAGGGAUGGUAAAAUGGCUCGGAUCGUCCCAACCUAUUUAAGAUUCUACCCAAGCUUACGAGCUUAGGUCUAGCCCAUUAUGUGAGGGCCUGAGUAUGAGGCUAAAAUUUGCAGGCCAGUAAUGUGUGGUGUUGAGGCAUUGAAGCCCUGAAGCCUGAGCUUAGGCUCAGCUUACUAAUUACCCAUUUUUUAAAUUUAAAAUAUUAAAAAAAUAUAAAAAUAAAAUAUCAUGGUAUUUGUGUAUUGAUGUUAAGUGAAUUAUGAUUUAUUGUGAGGUUGUGAUGUUAUUAUUCCCUAAUGUUUAUCGGAAUGUGACGGUAAUUGUGUUAUUUUGGUAAUUUUUUAUGUUGCACACUUGAAAUUACAUAUAUAAGUUGUAAAUUUUUGCAAACUCACUUUACUGGGAGUUUUAAGUCGUUUUUCUUUUAAAAUAAAUGUUGAAACAUUAAAAAGUUCAAAAUGAAUUCAGAGGCCCAGCCCAAAGUCGGUCAAAAAUUGGACAAGCGUAUAGAGCACCAGGUAAGGAUGGCAAUGGAUUGGAUCUGACCCAAGAUCUACGUGAUCCAAAUUCAAUCGGAUCGGAUUUGGGUCGGUUUAAAAUGAAUUUGUAUUGGAUUUGGAUAUCGAUGUGCAGAUCUAAGACGGAUCCGGAGUAGGCCUGGAUAUAUUUUAAUAUCUAAAUCUAUAUCCAUAUCCACCCAUCUUUUUAUUUUGUUUUAUUUUAAAAGUUUCUUAACAAUUGUGGAAUUAUAAUGAUAAUAAAUUUUGUUCAUAGCAUAUUUGUUGUUUUGGUGUAAAAGUAUAGGCUACAAUAUUUAUUAUAUUUUUGAGAAAAAUUAUAUAAUAUAUUUGUUAUCAAUACAUUUUAGCCUUCAAUUUUCAUUCUAAAAAUUAUUAAUUUUUUAUUGCUGAGUUUUAAAUUUCAUGAUGGAUCUAGAGCAGAUUUAGAAUUUUUUUUUUGAAUUUAAAAAAAAUAUAGAUAUUUAUUUCUUUUUUGGAUCUGGAUAUGGAAGAAAAAUAUGGAUUCAUGACGGAUUUGUAGCAGAUACAGAUCUUAAUUUUUAUUAUGGAUCUGAAUCUGGAGUAGGGUAGAUUCAACUCAUAUCUGCCCCAUUGCCAUCCCUAACACUAGGUAAGACUUGACCUAGCCCAUCCAUUUCCCACUUUUUGUUGGAGUAGUGGGGUUUAGUACUCUUAUCAUUAAUCUUUAGCAACAACGACAUCAUAUACAAAUGCGAAUUUCGAUAAUACAGUAAGUGUGUCUCUAUAUAUAUGUUUAUAUAUAUAAUAUUUUUUUAGUGAGAAUAUUUUUACUUUGUUAAAGUGAGAAUUACCAUUAAAAUAUUUAAAAAAUAUAAAUUUUAAUAUAUUAGCGGUUGCUUUUUUUUUGUUACUGUAUUGAACUCUAUAUAUAUAUUUUUAUUUAUUAAUGACAUUCUCACAUUAUUAAAAUGAAGAUAUCCCCAUUAGUUAGUAUAUAUAUAUACAUACAUAUUUUUUUUUUCUAAUGAAAGUUCCUACACUUUAUUAAAGUAUUGAAAUGACUUUUAAAACAUUGUAAAUGAAUUUUAAAACAAAAAAAAAAAUAUAAUGGUUCAAGAGACAUAAUUUUAGAGAGAGGAUCGGAAGCCCACAUUUUCAAUAGAAGUUUUAACACAAAAUCUUAACCAUUAAAUUGUAAUCAACCUAAAGGUUUAAAGUGAGCUGACAAUCAUGAAUUUUCUUAUUUUAAAAACAAAAAGAAUAAUGGUUGAAGACAUACAAUUUUAAACACAAAUUUAAAUAUAAUUUUCUAACUAUUAGAUUAAAGUCUUAAUAAAGAUGAGUUAACGGAGGGUUAAGAUUGGAAGACAUGAAAUUAUUAAUUUCAUUGGCAGUAUUGUCUCUUAUACAUUGCUUUGGAUUGCGACACCUAAUGCGAGAAUGAUGUGGAAUUUAUUAAUUAAGUAACGCUGAUCUUGAAUGAUUGGUAUGGACUUUAGCUGUAUACGAUGUUGAGCCAUGGGGCCCAGCAAGCUCCCACGUUAUUCUCGCAAAUUGUACUAUAGCUAGCUCUUAGUUAAUUUUCAAAAAAUUAUGCCACGUGAGCCAUUAAAAAAUAUUUCAGAAAAAUGAAAAACCACCGCGCUUUGGCGGUUCUGGCCACAUUUUCCAAAUUAUUAUUAUUUUUUUUUUUAAAGAAAAGACUAUUAUUGAUAUUGCUUAUUACUUUCACUACGCCCCCACAAUGCGCCCGCCUUGGCACAGUCGGCUACUGCUUUAUCUAUAAAUACAUGCAUGUAUGCUAUAUCAAACCAGAAGCAAGAACUCGCAAAAGCAACUGAAUUACUCUUUAAGUUUUGAUUCCGGAAGCAGAGAUCUUUCCAGAUAUGAAGAAUAUGGAAACAACCAGCGCAGGUUUUUAGGCCAGCUUUACUUUCAUUUGAAUAUCAUUCAUAAUUCUUAUUUUAAUACAUGCAUUUGUUAAUAUAUUUUUAAUAUAAAAUUUACAGGUAAUGAUGAUUGGUUGGAGGGUGUGCCAUCGAUGAUUGCUGCCAGUAUUGUUGAUGAUAACACUGCGAAUGAUGUCAAUCUCGAUCUUCUUACUGUCCCUCAAUAUGGGAGAAAUAUUGAUCAAACCGGUUAAAUGCAAGCAAUAUUAUUCUUUUGUGUUAUGCUUAUUUAAAUAAAAAGAUGGGUACUGUUAUUACCUAUCAAUGUGUGAGUGUUUGCUUAUUCAGUUUUACUGAAUAAGAUAUCUUGAUAUGUAUAAGAGUUUUUCUUUAUUUACUAUCUUGUGUGGUGUCUUUCUAAAAAAGUAAAUUAGUGAAUAAAAUUGUUGUGUUUGUUAAUGUGUUGAUUAAAUUAGCCUGUCCAUAUAUAUGUGCUUAAUUAUGUUCUCUUUUCUUUCUUUUUUUUUUCCCUUAAAUUAACGAACACCACAUGUUGGUUAGCUAAUUAUUGCGCAGCUAUAGCGGGUGACUUAGAUCGCCUAAAGAAUGUCUAUAUUUCCUAAAUGGCGUGUAACAUCAUUAUAUGCUAAGCAUCGAUCUUAAAUGUUCUAUCAGUUCUUUGUUAUAUGAGAAUCGAGAUCUCUUCGUGCUAAAGAUAUAUUUGGGGUUUAAUUAAAAGCUUGAUGUCAAAAACCAAAAUUUCAUUCUCUACAUAUACUAUUCCAUGAUAUUGUAUCAAGCCAAAACAAAAACUCGCAAAAGCAACUUACUUAGUUAUACCUUUCGAGUUUUGAUUCCGAUUCACCAAUCUAAGGGUUUAAAGUAAGCUGACAUGAAUUUUCUUGUUUUUGAAACAGAAAGAAUAAUGGUUCAAGAGAUAUAAUUUUAAACACAAGUUUAGAUAUAAUUUUCUAACCAUAAUUUUUUAACUACUAGAUUAAAGAUGAGUUAAUGGAGGGUCAAGAUUAGAUGAUAUGAAAUUAUUAACUUCAUUCGCAUUAUUUUCUCUUAUAUACCGGUUUUUGAUUGCGACACCUCGUACGAGAAUCAUGUGAAAUUUAAGGUACAUUUGGUAUCAUUUACAUUUUUUAUUUUUCAUUUUAUAAAAACACAAAAUAAAAAAAUGCGUCCUAACCAAAUAAGAUCAGUUUUCAUUUUCCAACAAAAAUGAAAUCAUUUUAUUUUUCACUUUAACAAAGAAAAGUAAAAAACAACAUUUUAACAUUUUUUUUUUAUUUUUGUUUUUUUGGGGUCCACUAACAUUGUGAUGUUCAUGCUUUAUUUGUCAACAAUACUGCAUGGGUCUCACAAUCCACUCACGUUGUUAAUAUUAUAAUUUAACUUUUUUUUAUAAUAUGCUAAUAAGUUUUAAAAAAUACUACGCCCAUAUUAUUUUAAUUCUUUACUAAUAAUAAUUUGUGUUUUAACAAAUUUCAAAUUACUAUAAUUAUAUAUCAUCUAUAAUUUAUGAGUAUAAAUUAUCCAAUAAUAUAAUUAAAUAAGUUUUUAAAUGAUGGAAAUCUAUAUUAUAAAUUAUGUCCUUUUAUAACUAUUUUAGUUGUUUAUGUUGUUUGUUAAAAUUAACAUCUAUAAUAAUAAUGAAAGACCAUCCAAAAUAAUUAGAAAUUGAAAAAGGUUUCAUUAAAUUAUGUUGCCAUUCUCUGUUAUUGUCACUAAAUUUUCAAAUAAACAACUAAAUACAUCUUUACUAUUUUUUAUUUUUAUAUAUAAUUUUAAGGACUCGCUUAUGUUGCAACAGUUGCAACAUACCAGAAUUUUUGUCUUUUUGUGACUUCAGCUCCUCACUCUCACUGUCACAUUUAAUGGAAAAGUAGCAUGUAAGGAUGUGUCUAUUUGGUAAUUAACGUUAUAAUCCCUAUAUUUUUAAAAAUUCAAAAACAUUAAAGAGUUACAAAUUUUACUGCAUAAGUCCAAAUUGUCUCAAAAUUGUAAAUAAUUAGACAAUUAAAAUUUGGAGAAAUUUCAUUAACAUUUUCAUUGUUAAAAAUACAAAAUAAAUAAAAAAUUAGUAAAUUUAAUUUUUGAAUAAAAUUAAAAUAUUAAAAAUUAAUUCAAAAAUCAUUCCCAAUUUCUUCAUCUCAUCCAUCUCAUGUAUCACGAACUGGAAUCGAAAGUAAUUAAAAAAAAUAAUCAUGGAAUGAAAUAAUAGAUAUCGUCAGUUCAAGUUAGAAAAACAUUAACCAAUUAUUCUUUUCAUUAGCUUAAGCCAUUAAUUUGGUUUAGUACAUGGAGGGUAGAACUUCAACGUAAAAUAAAAAAAAAUGUAAUUCCAGAUUAUUAAUUUAAGUUUCAACCCAAAUUAUAGUGAAAUUUCCCAAUUACUACUAUUUUUUUAUGAUAUUAGUAUGUCAGUGUUUAAUAUUCAAAAUAAUAAGAAUAUGUUUAACAUAUUAACAUUUGCAAAAGAGUAGAAGAAUAAAAUUCAUAAUUAUGAUACUUCGAUUCUAAUCAAAUUAUAUUGGUAUGAAUUAAUUCAAUAAGCCUAUACACCCAAAUAAGCUAAAUAAUAGGAGCUUUACUAUUCCUAAGUUAUACAUUGUAGAUUAUUAUAACUUUGUUAAUUAAUAUAACAUUCUCAAACAGCUAAUUAAAACUCUUUUGCCAAUUAAAGUUGGUAGAAAAAAUCGAAUCCCAAUCGGAAUCCCAAAUCCCGUUCCAAAUGGUACAUGAUACGGUAUAUGACUUAAAAAAAUUAAAAUAAAAAAGAAUUUGAGAUUAAAUUUAUUCUCAUUAAAACUCGGGAUUAGUUAGGACUUCAAUCGGGAUCCCGAUGAAAUCCUAAUUAUAUCAAAUUGUUUUAAUUUUCUAAUUUAAUUAAAAUGUUAAAAAAAAAUUCCAAAAUUUGGCCAAAGCCCAAACUCAAUGCUUGCUUUUGUACUUCUUUAGGCUAAUUAUUAAUAGCGUAAGAUUUAUAUUUUUUUAGUCAUUAGAUUAUUUUAAUUAAAAUAAUCAUUAAGCAAAUAAUAAUAAUAAUAAUAAUAAUAAUAAUAAUAAUAAUAAGGAAAAAAUUGGGCCACCUAUGGAGUGGAGGGAAAGAAUGAGAGAGGAAAAUAAAAUUAUAAUUAAAAAUAAGAAGAAAAGCAAGGAGUCAAAUGAAAUUUACCACAUAAAAAGACAAAAGUUGUGGUACCUGCACAUGUCGCAAAGUAGCUAAAUCCUAAUUUUAAAACAAUCAACCAAAUAUAUUUUUAAAUUCAUAAAAAAUAAAACAUUCUUAUCCUACAAAGUAAAUUCAAAAACAUCAUUUAAAAAAUAAUACAAACAUAUCACAUCUUAAUACUGUAGAUAAAUGUAAUCUUGUUGAUUUUGAUUUUUUUUUUUUUAACCAGUUACACACAGCAACAAUAAUGGAUCCCACCAAUAGAUAUUAUUGCUGUGUGUAAGUGUAUAUUAUGUUAAGCGUAUCACAUGGGAUUUUUUUUUUAUAGACAGACCACGUGCAACUCGUGGCUUGUUGAUUUUGAUGCAGAUCUUGAAUGAUUUGUGUUCGCCGUCUACGAACUUGAGCCACGGGGCCCAGCAAGCUCCCACGAGAUGCACGUGAGCCAUUAAAAAAUAUUUCAGAAAAAUGAAAACCACCGCGCUUUGGCGGUUCUGGCCACAUUUUCCAAAUUUAUUUAUUUUUUUUGAAAGAGAAGACUAUUAUUGAUAUUGCCUAUUAGUUCAACCACGUCCACACAAUGCACCAACCUCACUGUCGGCAACUGCAUUACCCAUCUAUAUAUACGUGCAUGUUAUAUCAAACCAGAAGCAAGAACUCGCAAAAGCAUCUGAAUUACUCUCGAGUUUUGAUUCCGGAAGCAGAGAGAUCUUUUCAGAUAUGAAGAUUGUGGAAACAACCUGCGCAGGUUUUUAGGCCAGCUUUACUUUCAUUUGAAUAAUAUUCAUAAUUCUUAUUUUAAUACAUGCAUUUGUUAAUAUAUUUUUAAUAUAAAAUUUACAGGUAAUGACGAUUGUUUGGAGGGUCGGAUAUGGAAUUUGGCCAGUAUUGUUGAUGAUAAUAUUGCGAAUGACGUCAAUCUCGAUUUUCUCGCUGUGCCUCAAUACGGGAGAAACAUUGACCAAACUGGUUAAGGGCAAAUAAUAUUACUUUUUUUGUGUUAUGCUUAUUUAAAUAAAAAGAUGGGUACUGUUAUUACCUAUCAAUGUGUGAGUAUUUGUUUAUUCAGUUCUACUGAAUAAGAUAUCUUGAUAUGUAUAAAAGUUUUUCUUUAUUUACUAUCUUUGUGUGGUGUCUUCCUGGAAAAGGAAAUUACUGAAUAAAAUUAUUGCGUCUGUUAUAAAGUGUUGAUUAAAUUAGCCUGUCCAUAUUUAAUUAUGUUCUCUUUUUCUUUUGUUUUCUUUAAAUUAACGAACACCACAUGUUGGUUAGCUAAUUAUUGCGCAGCUAUAGCGGGUGACUUAGAUCGUCUAAAGAAUGUCUGUAUUUCCUAAAUGGCGUGUAACAUCAUUAUAUGCUAAGCAUCGAUCUUAAAUGUUCUAUCAGUUCUUUGUUAUAUGAGAAUCGAGAUCUCUUUGUGCUAAAGAUAUAUUUGGGGUUUAAUUAAAAGCUUGAUGUGAAAAACCAAAAUUUCAUUCUCUACAUAUACCAUUCCAUGAUAUUGUAUCAAGCCAAAACAAAAACUCGCAAAAGCAACUUAGUUAGUUAUACCUUUUGAGUUUUGAUUCUGAUUCACCAAAAGCUAACUAGCAGAUAUGUUUUCUAAUUUGAAGAAUAUGAAAACUCUUUUCGAAGGUUUAAUUUUAGGCCAGCUUCUUCUGUUGAAUAUCAUUUUAGAUACUUAUUUUUGUUAGGAAAUUGAUGGGUGAAGCAGACACGCAGCUAAAGUGAAAUUGAAAGAAAAUAAAGAACAAUCACAAAAAAUGGACACAAGAAAUUACGUGGUUAGGCUUUUAGCGUACGUCCACGGGCGAAGACAGAAGAAAAAUAUUUUACUAGUGAAAAGGAGUUACAAAUAUUGUAGUAUUUUAGCUCACUUCCAAAACCCAAUACACUCAAACUCUCAAAAUACUAAAAUAAGAGCUUAUAAUUUCAAGCUCUCUAAACUCUCUCUAAAUACAAGACAACUCUUUUCAAAAUUGGAUAAGCAAAUGAGGGAAUGUGUCCCUCUAUUUAUAGCUAAAAUCUUAGCUACUAUUCACAUAUUUUUUUUAAAUUAUUUAUUAUUGUUCAAAAUUUCAAAAUUCAAAGUUAGAAUAGUUUGAAUAUCUAGAAUUCUGAAUUUGAUAUUCAAAGUUUGAAUAUCUAGAAGUUUGAAUUUGAUAUUCAAAGUUUGAAUAUCAAGACACCCAAUCUUGACAUUCUCCCACUUGAAGAUUUGAUUGAGAACCAAUCAAUCUCCACACCAUCCUUUCUGCUUCGCCAUUAUCAUGUUGCUUACGUUUCUGCUAGGCCACAAGAGGAUCUACUCCAGACAAACUUAUCAGUAUUUAUCGGCUUGGUCAAAACAUCUGCUAGGUUCUCAUUCGUAUGGAUUUUCUGUAAAUCCACAUUUCCGUCUUCCACUACUUUUCGAACGAAGUGAUACUGAACUCCUAUGUGCUUUGUCCUGGAAUAAAAGACUGGAUUUCUUACAAUGUAUAAGGCACUCUGACUGUCACAAAACACAGAAAGAUACCAACUGUCAAGAUUGAGUGUCUUGAUAUUCAAACUUUGAAUAUCAAAUUCAAACUUCUAGAUAUUCAAACUUUGAAUAUCAAAUUCAAAAUUCUAGAUAUUCAAAGUUUGAAUAUCAAACUUUGAAUUUUGAAAUUUUGAACAAUAAUAAAUAAUUUAAAAAAAUACGUGAAUAGUAGCCAAGAUUUUGGCUAUAAAUAGAGGGGCUCAUUCCCUCAUUUGCUUAUUCAAUUUUGAAAAGAGUUUUCUUGUAUUUAGAGAGAGUUUAGAGAGCUUGAAAUUAUAAGCUCUUGUUUUAGUGUUUUGAGAGUUUGGGUGUAUUGAAGUUUUGGAAGUGAGCUAAAAUACUACAAUACUUGUAACUCUUUUUCACUAAUAAAAUAUUUUCCUUCUGUCUUCGCCCGUGGACGUAAGCUAAAAGCCGAACCACGUAAUUUCUGGUGUCCAUUUUUUGUGAUUGUUCUUUAUUUUCUUCCAAUUUUACUUUAGUUGCAUGUUUGCUUUACCCAUCAAUUUCCUAACAGUGGUAUCAAAGCUAUUGGUUGUAAUUUGGAGUCAGAUACUGUUCAUGUAAGGGGUACUAUUAACGUAUACGGUACUGUUUAUGUAUACGAUAUUAUUCACGUAUAUGGUACUAUUCACAAGAAACGGUGGGAGCGAUACAAGAAUUUUACGGUGUAAAACAGGGAAUAGUGGUGUGAGUAAAGCAACUGUGUGGUUUUGUACAUGCCAAAGAAAUGUAGGAAGAGGGCAGCUACUGAACCUCAAAAACGCAGCAGGAAAUUUUUUGUCAAUUGCUCGGUUUGUGGUGGCUCAAACCACAAUCUAAGAUCUUGUCCAUUGAGAAAUACAGCGAUGACAGACCGUGUACCAAGUGGUCCAGGUGAGGGCUCCAGUGCUGGAUCAAAGAAAAGGAAAACUGCAAGUACUACUGGAACAAACAAAACAAAAGGUUGAAUUUGGUUGAAUUUCUCUUCUUGUAUUUCAUAGUUCAUAAUUGCAUUUAUAGAAGCUUAAUUUAUUUUUAAUUUUGUAAUGUAGGAAGGGCUGUAGGUGUCAGCUUAUCCCCAGGUGAAGGCUCCAGUGCUAGAUCAAAGAAAAGGAAAACUGCAAGUACUGCUGGAACAAACAAAACAAAAGGUUGAAUUUGGUUGAAUUUCUCUUCUUGUAUUUCAUAGUUCAUAACUGCAUUUUAUAGAAGCUUAAUUUAUUUUUAAUUUUGUAAUGUAUGAAGGGCUGUAGGUGUCAGCUUAUCCCCAGGUGAGGGCUCCAGUGCUGGAUCAAAGAAAAGAAAAACUGGAAGUACUGCUGGACCAAACAGAAAAAAAGGUUGAACUUGGUUGAAUUUCUUUUCUUGUAUUUCAUAGUUCAUAACUGCAUAUAUAGAAGCUUAAUUUAAUUUAAAUUUUGUAAUGUAGGAAGGGCUGUAGGUGUCAGCUUAUCCCAAGUCAACCAAUCUCAAAAUCCUUCACAAGCUUCAGCCGUAUCAGGUGCUUUGUAAUGAGUUCGAUGCUCAAUUUCAGUUUCCUUAAACUAUAUUGUUUAUCUUAUUUCAACUAAACUUAAUUAUGCUCUUGCAUGAGCCAAACCAGAUUUUUUAAAUGUGUUUUAUUUGUUGGAACAUGUAUUAGAAGAGAUUCUAAUUUGUCAUUUCAAUAUUUUGGAUGUCUCUACUGGAAUAUUACUAUUGAAGAUACAUUAUUUAUUGGAUGUGUUUUGUUGAAGAUAUAUUUUAUUUAUUGGAUGUGUUCUGUUAAAGAAAAUUUAUUUCGUGGAUGUGUUUUGUUUAGAUGAUGGUUGUUUUAACUGGAUUUUACAGCCCAAUUCCAAAUUAUUAUUGAUUACUUUCUCGUGAACACAGUUACAAAUACACAUAAUAACACAAUUAGAAUAUAUUUAAGCUUUCCCUCAAUGAUUUUCAGCCUCUUUUUUAUUUUCACAACCUCGUCAGCCAGCUUUGAGUUUUGCUCAUAUGACAUCUCCUCAUUAGUAUUAGGAUAUAUGAGAGAUUCAGUAGUGGGCCAUUCCCAAAAAUCACAAUGCUUCGCUCCACAAUGCUUCCACUUGCAUGACCAAAACAUUGCAUUAGGAUUUUGCAAUGUAGUUGACACCAUAGCCACUGCCUACACACCACACUUGCAAUAUUUUGGCUGGCAUUUCACUUUUUUGUAUCUUUUGAAUUCAUUGACAACAGAACUUGAUGCUUCACUGGAGGCCAUUUUCAAAUGAGAGUAUUUUUUUUAUUGUAUUUGAAGGGAAUGUUAGGUGUGUGGUGAAAGAGAGUAGGGUGUGCUGCUGGUUUUUGGUUAUAAAGGGAUGGCAAAGUUUUUAUUUGUUGCAAGGAAAUGUGUUGCUGAUAUAGCUCAUUAUAUAGCCAAAAAAUAUAACAGUUAUUGUCUCUAACAGAUCUAUUUUUCUUUGCUUGGUUUGUGGGGUAUUUAUGUCUUUAUGCAAUUUUUUGAGUUUUAAGGGCAUAUUUGUCAUUUCGCAACAAUUCUGUUAGUUUGCAAACGGUGGCUAACAGAAUAGUGGUGGGUAGAUACAUUUUGGCAUUUUUGGAUGGAUGAGUGAUACACCUUAAAAGUGUUGUAGUAUGUUUGAUAAAGGUGCAUCUUUAGAGUACACGAAUGAUAAUUUCCCUUUAAAUAACUGAUAAUUAUUUCAAAGUAUUUGACUUAAAACAAUUUAAUGAAAGCUUUCAUUUUUGAGACAAUUUAUAACACAAGUUUUUAAUAAAUAUAGUUUUGUUAUAAAUAAUUUUAAAGAAUGAUUUUUACUUAACAAAAUAUUGUAAUAGACUAAACAAAUCAGUUUCAUAUACUUUUCUUUCAACAUAAUACAUACCUUGAAUCAAAAGUAAUUUAAUAGUAAAAUACACGUAUUAUGCAUUAAUUUACUUAUAUCGAUCCUCAGCAAUGAAAAGAAUGGCAACCUCAACCACGAGCUCACUCUCAUCCUUAAACAUCAAGACACAUUCAUAUCAAUAUUAUUAAUCAUUGUGGCCUUGAUAUAAAACCAGCAUAUUGAAGCCUAAUCAUUAGGGGUGGGCAAACAGUUUGGUUUUUUCCAAACCGAACCGAACCAAGUUCGGUUUUAAGUGCAAAAAUCAAAUGGUUUGGAAAUUUAUGAACCGAUUGGUUUGUACUUGGUUCGGCUCAAAAUCGAACCAAACCGACAAACCAAUUGGUUCUUUCACUUAAUACUAAAUAAUAUUUAAAAUAAAAAACAUAAAUAAGUCAAAUAUAAAUCUAAACCCUAAAAUUUGUCACACAUGUGCCCCAAUACAACACACCAUCUUUCUCACACCAGCCGACACACACACACCUCUACACUCUCACUUCAUCUUUCACACACACACAUACCCCCUCAGCAUCUCUCUCACUUUUGUCGACACACACCCUAUCCACCAUCGUCACUUAUUAAUCAGCCUGUCUUCGUUGUCGCCGCACUCAUGUCAGCUUGUCAUCAUCACCAUCGCGGUCAUGUCAGCUUGUCGUCAUCACCGUAGCUUACCUGUCGCAGUUCGUCCCGUCGCCCUUAUGUUAGCCUUGCCUCUUGUUUGUCACGCUUCUAUCGUGGGUAGCCUGUCGAUGCUAUCGCGCCGGUGGAGUUGUGUAACUUGUGUUGACUUAUUUAUUUAUUCAUUAAUUAUUUCUUAAAUUAAAUUGAUUUUGAUGAAAAGAUUUGGAAGCAAAUGGAAAUUUCAGUUUUACAAUUACACAUUAUCUGAAACAUCCCCAUAGAUUUCAUGAAGUUCAUGGAGGGGCUGUUGUUUUCAAUUGAAUCGAUUUUAGGUAUGCUCAAUAAUCCAUUUCACACCUCUUUUCCUUAAUCUUGUGAGUUGGACUUUAUAAAUUUGAGUCUAAUUUGUUGGGUAUUUUAUAAAUAAAUGGUUGAAUGAGUCAAGAUUUGCUUAUUUUCUUUUGGUUUUAGUCACUUCGAUGUCUAAUUAUUAGAAUUCAAUACAACCUUCGAUCUAAAAUCAAUGAGCAGUAGUGACCAACAAAAGGGCUUCAUGAUCCAGAUCUAAGCUAACUAGAACCAAAUCACACAGAACUGAACCGAAUCGAAUUUUCGGUUCAGUUUUGAAAUUCGGUUCCAAUUUUAAAGAACUGAUCAGUUUCAAUUUGGUUCGGGUCUUGGCCUAAACCGAACCAAACCGGAUAAUGCCCAGCCCUACUAAUCAUAGGUGCUAAAAGAAACGAUAAAAAUGUGUAGCAUUUCAUAUAAAAAUUCAAAAAAAUGAAUGAAGGUCAGAAACAUAUUGCAAAAAGAAUUUUACAUGCAAAUAUCCACACUGACUAGCAGUGAUAAAAAUAAAGGUAGCUGAAUUAGAAAAUUCGUAAAAUAUUUAAUAAAACUCAUAAAAAUUAGAUCACUUGAUUUUACAAUAGUAGAAACAUCAAGAAACAAUAUAUCAAAUUUCUAGAAUUUUUGAAGAUAUAAAACUAUUUUAAACGAAUUUAUAUUAAGAGACCGGCAAACCUGUCCAGAAACUUUCAGGAUUGCGUUUUGCAUCUCAAAAAUUCGUAACUUAAUGCUCACUCAAUGAAAAUUAGUGGAAUAAACUUUAGAUCAUAGAGAAUUCAUAAUAUUAUAGGAAUAUAAAUUUUAUAGGUCACUCUUAAGCCUUUUAGCAGACUAAAGUAAUUUUUGCCAUAGCAAUCGCAAUUCUAGAAAGCAGUUUCCAAAACUGUAGCAGCCCAACAUAAUGAUUAUUAAUAAUUUUUAUACACAACCAAAAAGUACGAAAUUAAACAUGCAGUAAUUAGACAUAAUGACGAUUAAAAUAAAAAAAUCAACAUAAUUUUCAAGGAUCAUUUGGAGAGUCAGACAAAUCAGCAAAAUCAGAUGUGCUGCUGAAAAUUAGAAUUUUCGAGUGCCACUGUUCCAAAUUCAAAAAUUCACAAUAAAUUGAUUACUUAGAAUCUCUUUGCACAAAAUAUCUCAUUAAAAACUUUAGGAUGUCUAGGUUAAUUUUAACAUUCGUGCAGAAAUUGAAUGAAAAACUAAGAGAAAACAGUAAUAAAAUCACAACACUCAUGCCUCAUAAUGCCUGUCUAGUCAUUCUUGAUAAAAAGAACAAUGCAUGCAUUCAUUAUCAAACACUUAAGAUUAGAGAACAUGUACUAGAGAAAGAUAAUUAACUCAAGACUUAACUUCAAAUGCGCAUAAAAGAAAACUAAAAACUUUAGAAUUCUUUGCUUUUAUAUGCUUAUUAGGUUAAAAAGUUUUAAUCGUAGGGAGAUAAGAAGAGUUUAAGUUUUAUAAAAAUAUUUGUUUUUAUAAAAAAUACAUUAUACGAUAAAGAUGAUAAUCUUUUUAAUUUAUUUUAGAAAAAUAAAUUAAUAAAAAUAGAUAAAUAAAAAUAGUUAUGCCUUUUCUUAAAUAAUGCUAAUUAAAAUAAAAUCACUCAAGCAAAAGAUAAACCGGUGAAUGGAUAAGCAUAAUUAAAUUCAAACAUACAUGGAACAGGUGUUAUAGUUAUGGAUUCAGACACGUUUCCACAUAAUUUGUUAUUUAAUUCUUGGUGAUACAACAUAAUUCAUCCUAAGUUUUAGGUGAUAGUUUUCACCAAAAUUUUUUUUUGUUUCAACAAAAAAUACAUUCGUUCUUUGUUGUGUUACUUUACUGAACUUGUUGGCACUUGGCACUUUGCAAUUCUUCUUGUUUUUGUCGUUGCAGCUUUUGUACUAAACUUUGCAGGAUAACCUGAACGUGCUUUUAAGAUAUUUGCUAAAAUGAGAAAAUUAAAACUGAGGCCAGAUAGCAGGACUUACGAGCUGCAGUUUUCAUUAUUCGGUAAUGUGAAUGCCCCAUAUGAAGAGGGCAAUAUGCUCUUAAUGGUUUACUCUGCAAAAAGGAUAAAUGCCUUAGAAAUGGAUAUGGCUUUAGAAAUGGAUAUGGCAAGGAACAAUAUUCAGUGCAGUUGUUUAUCAAUGAAAAACUUGGUAAAUUCCUGCCUUAUAUUUUCUACUCCUUAAACUAGAAUGUCGUUUUUUGUUGUUUUAUAUAUAUUUUUUCUAAUGGUGACUGAAAAAAGCUUUUUUAAGUAUUGGAUUAAGAGAUAUCAUGUUCCUUAGUGUCCUCUGAAAUAAUUUGGCCUUUGGACAGUAGUCUUCCUUUUGUGGAACUCUAUCUCAGCAGAAAUACCAUAUGCCCUCUGGAUAACCAUGUCCUUGUGGCUCUGAAAUUAUGUGAAACUUGGCGAAACAGAACUAAAAUUAGACAGUUUGUGGGGAUGUAAUGAAAAACGUUGUUGCUAAGCCUUUUUACGAGCUUAUGACAUUAUUGUUGUGUCUGUUAAUAAAUAAAUUAAUAAAUAAAAUUGUUGUGUUGUUAGUGUGUUGAUUAAGUUAGCCUGUCCAUAUAUAUUUGCUUAACUAUGCUGACUUUUCUUGAAUUUUUUCCUAGAUUAAUGAACUCUGCAUGUUGGUUAGCAAAUUAUUGCGCAGCUAGCAAGUGAAAUUGGACUGUCAAAAGAAUGUCUAUGUUUCCUAAAUGGCGUGUAACAUCAUGACAGAAACAUCAAUCUUAAAUAUUUUAUCAGUUCUUUGUUAUAUUAGAAUGGAGAUAUUUUUGUGGUCGAGAUAUAAAGUGGAACAGUUUGGGGUUUAAUUGAAAGUCUUGAUGUGAAAAGCCAAAAUUUCAGUUUCCAUAUAUGUUAUUACAUGUAUACGAUAUCAAACCAUAAGCAAGAACUCGCAAAAUUAAAGAAUUAGUGACUUCUGAGUUUUGAUUCUAAUUCGAAGAGUAUGAAAACUCCUUGGCGCAGGUUUUAGGCCAGCUUUUGUUGAAUAUCAUUUUAAAUUCUUAUUUUAGUAUAUACAUUUAUGAAUGAAUUUUUUAUUAUAAUUUUUUUUAUGAGAAUAUCAUUUAUAUAUCCACCAUAUGGCAUGAUGAUAAAUAUUGCAAAUGAGAAUCUUAAUGCUUUUGUUGUCCCUCAAAAGGAUAUGCAAUCUUGUUUUCUAUCAAAGCAUCUAAGUUAUUAAAAAAAGAAAAAAUUGUGUUGUAUUAUGAGGUUAGAAAAAUUAGUAAAGGUAACAAUUUAAGUUGUGUUAUAAUAGACUUUGGUCUGGGAUAAUUUAAUAAUUUUUGAUUGAACACUCUGUUUUUAUUAUGCUGUUUGUUAGGUACCUAAUCAAGCUUGAUCUACAACUAUCUUUGAUGAAUCUUGAUCCACUUAACAAGUAAUGAAUCAAGAUUAAAUAAACCAACCAAUUAAGAAACUUGGUGAAGCGGUAACAAGGAUCACCCCAUGAUUACAAACAGAUUGCACCAAAAGCACAAUCCAGGCUUUUAAUUUGGCUCUCGCCUAACUCUACAUCAAUAAAACUGAUUUACCAGAAUUCCAGCCCUUAGAUUCUGAAUCAACAACUGUGGACGUUCUUACGAGGAAACAAAUGGUAUUCACAAUCUGGAACUGCUUAUUCACAAUAUGGGUUUCAACAAAGGAAGUCUAUAGCUAUGGACGAGAAUAGAACCCGCACAUGUUGGAUUCAAAAUCCGCUGCCUUGAUCAACUUGGCUACAUCUGUCCCUCCACUAUUUACACAAUUUUGAAAUACAAAUAUCUCGGAUUCAACCAUUCAUCAUUAUUUUUUUUGAUCUUAUCAGGUUUCAACUUCAAUAUUUACACACAUCAAUUAAGUGUCUGAUACACAAUAUUUCUGAAGCCAUCUAUCAGUCUCCCAAAUAACAUGCAUGAUACUCUCGCGUGCAGCAUAGGCAUGAUUCUCAAAGGGAAGAAUGACCAGGCGACAAGAAACACCAUGUCCUUUCAGAGCAUCAAACAAUCUUUCAGACUGCAUCAUGUGCAAGUGAAAAUGCAAAAAUUAAUUGAGCUACUGAAGAUAUUGGAUUAUUAAUUGGUUUAUAUGCAGAAAAAGAAGAGGAGAGGAAGAUUUAAGAUGAAGCUUGCAAAUGACCUGCAAGGGAAAUAGUCCAAGUUUAUCGUCACAUUCUCCAUUGAUAAGCAAGAUUGGCUUCUCAAUUUUAUUUGCAGACAUGAAAGGGCUCAUCUCUAAUAAGUGUUAGUAGCCUUCCAAAGAGUUCUGAACUCAUUCUACACGAGAGUCAUAAAUGCAUCAAAUUAAGUGAGAAACAGAACAGUAUUUUGGUAAACGUCUAUGGUUAUGCUGCUACUUAAUUGCUAGGAUAGCUACCUGGAAACCAAAAGGUGUAAGUGUCAUCUUGUAACUUCCAGAACGAGCAAUUCCACAAUAAAAGAGAUAGGGGGGCGUGUGCUAAUAGGUUAGCCGUCAUCAAUCCGCCAUAGGAAAGACCUCCAACAGCAAUUUUGCUUGGAUGAGCCACCUGAACAACAAGCGCAGCACCAGAAAAAGUAAGUUUCAUUACCUAUAAACCCAUAAAUAAUCAGGGAGUCAUACUUAAAUGCAGAUGCCUUACGAAAAAUUGAUCAUGACGGAGUUAAAGGACAAAAAUAAAAAAAUAAAAAAGAAUUCGAAUCAGUGUUUUUCUUUGUCUUUUAAGUCUUAUCUGCAAUCUAAAUUCAUCUGGACAUCCGCAUCGAAUCGCUACUCUAUAGUCAGGACUUAUUUAAGCAGUAAUAUUGAUAGAGAGGAUCAAAAUUCAAAAGGCCUACUCCACGUCGAACAACUUCUUCAACGGCAGCCUCUGCACUUGAAACCAAUUGCUCCACAAACCUAAUCACUAAAUCGGUUUAAUGGUGCAGCUUUAACCCUUAUAAUAGAAAACAUGAUCACAACUAUUGAACCCCAUUUAAAUAUGUGGUGCGAGUAUCAAAUACCGAUCAUUUGGCUCCUCAUCACCUUCGCCAAUAAUAGGAACUGAAGGUCCAGCGAAAACAGCAAACCUGCAGGAUAAGGACUUUACUAUAACUACUCGAUCUAGCUUCUUCAUGUAAAAAGCAUGAAAAAGGUUGUGAAAUAGGAACAGCAAACCAAAAGAAAGUGGAAUUAAUGAUACCUCCUAGCCAGAAAUAUUAGGGAUGAUGUUGGAGUCAUUCCUGAAAAUUCAUUGGGAGAGCCACGAACUUGUCCAGCAGCAUCUUUGCUUCUAAAUUCUCCAGGGUAAGCCCAGAAUAGACAUGGAAGAGGGCCAUCUUUUGAUGGAUCAUACCCCGUUGGCAAGUAUAAUUUUGCUGUAAGUUGAACCCCAUCCUUUCUCUGGUAUUUGAUCAGCUCUUUCUGCAAUGUUGAUAACAGAGGAUAUGGGUGAGGAAAAUCUGUAAUCUGACGACAUUUCUUAUGUGGCCAGCUCUGGAUCCAAUACUGGGUAAUUUCGGUUUUUGACUCUUUGGAAGUCAGUAUCUUCAACUGAUUAAGAUUUACAUCCCCUACACUCUGGUCUAAAUUUAAAGCAACUGCAGUCUCAUAAUACUUUUCCUUGUCGCUCUCCCUUAUUCGUUCUUUGCUGCCUGUAUUUCUGGUACAUUUUGGUUUAAGUUAGUAUGUUGAGCAAACCAUGCUUCAAAUUCAAAAAGAAGAUUUUAAAGAGCUUACUUACAUGUUAAACAAAGCAAGAAAGGGGAUAUCCCCUUCUGGUGUAGCACCUCUUCCAUUGAGUAAAAUGUAAGUCCCUUGAUCAUUUUCUUUCUUUAUCUUUGAAAACACACUAGUCCCGGUGGAUGAUUUUCUCAUCAUGGGUAAACCCGGAUCCGAAUACACAUCUUCCGAUGACCGAUCAAACAAUAUGCGUGGAGCUGUAUCUUUAGAUCCAGGAGAUAUUAGCCAGGUUCUUGUUUGCGUUGUUUUAAACCAAGUUUCUUGAACCAGGGCCAGUGAGUCAUCACACCAAGAAACGCCUCUGUGAUGAUAUGCCAAUAUCACAUACAACAACAAUAAGUAUGUUUGCGAAGCAAGUAAGCUCUAACUUUGUUAUAUAUAAUUAACUAGAGCCUCAUUCUAACAAGUAAAAUCUUUCCAGAGAUAUUUAUGCAGAGUCAGAGAAUCUCUUCAUUAAAAAACAGAACAAUCAUGAUUCAUGCCUGAAGCGAAGAUCAAGUUUGUGUAAGAUUUCUGGUUCUUCACCUUCUACAGGCUCUGCUGGCUGUGUGUAAAUUAUAUCACGUGGACUAACUUCAACUUUUGCAGCACCUCCAUCCUGUGUCUCUACCCUAAGAUCACCCAAUUGGGUCCGAUGGUUAGGAUUUUACAGUCUACUAAGACCAAUACAUAUGCGCACACAAUGUUUGAAUUCAAAAUUACAACAUACCAGUACAAUGUAGAUGGCCUGUCUGCUCUCCAACUGAUCAAUCGCAUUCCUUCUCGAACACUAUUGUAAGCAAUGGGAAUAUUUUCGACAAGGGGCAAUUCACAAAGCUGUCUUACAAAUUUCCCAUCAGCUGUCCACACUUGCACCUUUUGUGGAAACUUUGUAUAAGAUACCGUAAAAGAAUAUGGCCUGUCGAUUGAAGUGAUCAAAAUGUAUUUCUGAUCCGGGGAUGGUUCCACUGCUGUGUAUAUGGCUGGAGGUCCAAAUUCUUUCACCGUGCCAUCCAAAGUAGCCAAAACAAGUUGUGUGGUGGUAUAGUGUUCAAACAAAUACUCAUCAAACUCAUCCUUAAGCAGACCCUCAGUAUAUCUAUUUUGAAUAACAUUUUGUUGCUCAUUAGAUUGUAUCUUGGGGCCAAAUGGAACCAAAGAUUUCUUUGGUGAGUCUCCACGUGAUAAAGGGAUUGUGUAAACUAACAAAACAGAGCUAUUUACCCAAACAAAACUCCCAAAAACUGCAUUUAGACACAUAUCAGGUGACUCAAACAAUGGUUUAGCUUUCCCAGUUUCGACAUCAGCAACCCAAAUUCUAAGCUUUCCAUCCUCACCAUCAUCAUCAUGAUCAAGUCGGACGCUUAAGGCUAAAUGCUUUCCAUCUGGUGACCAGGUGACAAAAUUGAUCUUUGCACCAUCAGGGAGUCCGUGUACCGCCUUUUCUGGGCCAAGGCUAUCAUCAGGCAAUAUCAGAUGUAUCCCAAGACCGGUGUAGAAUGGUAUUCUACUCUUGGUAUUGCAUCUCCCAUCGAUUCGAAUACCAGCCAACUUAUCUUCUGGCCUUGCUAGCUCCACCAACGGAGGCAAAGCACUCCGCUUCAGAAACAAUAUUUUAUCCCUUCGCUGCGAAAAGGACAGUACCGGAAGUGAUGGAGCAUCCACUAUUUCUCUAAGCUCUGCUGGAGGAAGCUGAUAUCUACCUCCACCCUGUGCAUUCUCUACAUCAAAUGAAAAUUCACUCACUCAAUUCGCCAAUAACACAAAAUUAGCAUGCAUGCCGAGUGAUAUAAAAUGGCAAUUGGGGGUACUAUGUACAGUCAAUUUCCAUCCAAAAUACGAAAGCUUAACGUUACCAGUACACAAAAUCAUUCAAAUUUUGUAAAUCCUUAGGAUUGUAAAAAAUACCUGUACCUGCACUAGCGGUUUCCAUUGUCGUCAAUGCCUCAAAACAGAAGUCUUCUAGUUGAGCGACUUCCUGCUUCUGAUUUGAUAUAGCAUUCGGUAGCCAAUAGAGCCAAGGAGGAUAUGAGACCGUGGCACUACUUCAAGAAGGAAAAUAAUUAGUGAAGCAUUUGACUAUUUUAGGAAAAAUUGAUACUUUUGCGGUGCUAAUGAAAAUAUAGUAAAUUGAGAUUUUGUUGAUAUGCAGUAAGAGGAAAAUAGCAAGUGAUCGAACUAAACUCCAACAAAGGAGUGACAAGAACUCACCCAAAAUAAUGACACCGUUUUAGGUAGGGAUGGCAAUGGGGUGGGCUUGGGGUGGGGAGGCCUAUCCCAUUUUCCACCCUGUUAGAAAUUUUUGCCUCCAUUCCCUACCUCAUUUCUCAAUAAAUUUAGUGGGAUGGGGAUGGAGAAUCCCUAUGUGGGGAAUGAUUUUUUCAUCCCCACCUCAUUCCUCAUUUAUCUAUUUUAUAAUAUGUAUAAAUAUAUUAUUUUAGUAAGUUAAAAAUUAGAGACUUAAAAUAAAAUCAUCAUCAUAUUAUAAAGUAUUUAAAUUCUUUUAAAAAAAUAUCUAAAAGUUUGAAAUAAUAUCUUAAAAUGAUAUUAAAAGUGAAAAAUAUUUAAAGAGCGUAGCACCUUAAAAGAGAAAAGAAAAUAUAACAAUGUUUCAAAGUUGAAAAAUAUUAUAGAAUUUUCUUUCAUUCAUAUCUUAUUUAUAUUGCAUAAAAAUUAAAAAAAAUUAUUAAUUGACAUUAUAAUUGAUAAAAUAAAAAUUAUUAAAUAAGAAUUAAAAACAUAUUUAUAUAUAAUGGGGAUUGGGGUGGGGGUGGGGUGGGGAGUACAAAACCAAACCCCACCCCAUUAAGAAUUUGAGGAUUAUUUUCCCCCCACUCCCCACCCCAUUCCCCAAAAAUUAUUCAAAAUUUUUUUUAUUUGGGAUGGGGCUCCAUGGGGCCCCAAACCCGUGGAGUAUUUUGCCAUCCCUAGUUUUAGGUGUGUUUUUUACCCCAUUUUGUGAGGACCCAUUUGAUACAAAUACUUGAAACUGCAUGCAUGUCGAAAAAGCUUAUUCAUAAAUGACACGAAUACCAGCUCCAGCGUUUUCCAUUUUUCUUCAAUUACCAGAACACAAGUCUUGUGGUGGAGCGCGUGCUUGCUUCUGGUUUGAUAUGAUACCUAUCAGCUAGUAUAACAAUGACAUGAUUUAUAUUAAUGGUUCCAUAUAAAAAGCAUUAAAAGCAAUAAAACGACAAGAUAAUUAUUUAUAUUCCUUUCCCUCUCUCAAUAACCGAUGAAAUUCUCCUCUAUUUCUCAUCUGCUAUCUCUCACUUUGUUGAAUUAAUUCACAAAUUUAUUAAAUAUUAACUCCUAAGAAUCUCAAAUUUAAAUCUUCAAAUUUUAGACGUGGUAACAUCACAGAGAAGUAAAAUUUCCACAAACACUUGGAUAAACCAAUAAUUCAUUUGUUAGGCAUGCAACGAUGACUUUGGCACUCAAUGAUUUUAUUGACAAUAUUUAGUAAGAUAUGUUAUUUUAAAUUUUUAAUCUUCCCUCCUUCCACGACUACGGAUAUCUGUAUGUAGGGAUGGGCAUAAACCCACAACCCAUGGGUUUACCCAAACCCAAACCAAAUAAAAUGGUUUGGGUUGGAUAAAUCAUGAAAUGGGUUAAAUUUGGGUUUUUAUGAAAGAAACCAUUUUACAAUGGUUUGGGUAUGUUUUACCCAUGGGUCAUGAACAAAUUCAAGAUAACAUAUUAAUAAAAAAUAAAUUAAACAAAAUAAAAGGAUAAAUCAAUAUUUUAAUAAUAAUUUUUUAUUAAAAUUAUUAUUAUAUAAUAAUUAUACUACUAAUAAUUAUUAUUAUAUAGUAAUUAUACUACUACUAAUUAUUAUUAUAUAAUAAUAAUAGAAGUGCUGCAUAGGGCAAAUACAUAUGCAAUUGGUUGUACAAUACACUAUUAUAUAACAAUUUUUUACGGUCUCAACUUGAGUUAAAAGACUAAAUUAACAUUUUAAUAAAUUACUCAAACAAUAUUUUUAUGAAAUCCUCUAAUAUAAUUUUAUAAUCCUAUUUGUAUUGUAACUUACUAAAAUUAAAAAUGUAAUUGAUUAUAAGAUUUUAUCAAAUAAAAUAUGAUUCUAUUGUUAUUUUUUAAUUAAAUUUAAACCUAAUUAGAUUUCAUGUCUAAUUUUUCUUAUUGCAUUUAAAAUUUUGGUAUUUUUUCUAAUUACAAUAAAUUUUAGAUUUAUUUCUCGGAAGAUUUAAAUUUAUAAAAUUAAAUAAUUUAAUUUUGAUGGAUUGCUUUGAUACUUGAGUUGAGAUAUCUUAUCUUACUUUAAUUUGUAUUGACAUUGUUAGAAUUUAUGUUGUAAUAUGGUUAAUAUUUAAGAACAAAGUUAUUGUAAAAUCCAUUAUUCAUAAUUUUUAUCCACUACAUUUUUUUGUAUUUUAAUAUUAAUUUAAUAAUCAAUAUUAAUUAAUAGUUAUUAUAAUUUGAUAUAGUUAAAUUUAUUAAAAUAAAAAAUAUUUUAAUUAUAAAAUUCAAACCAAACCUAGAUGAGUAGGUUUGAGUUGGAUUAAAAAUAUUUGGGUUGGUUUGGGUUGAACCCAAAAUUUUAUAGUUUGAUUUGGAUUGACUUAAAACUCAACCCAACACAAACCAACCCAUGCCCACCCCUAAUGUAUGUAUGUAUGUAUGUAUGUAUGUAUAUAUGUAUCUAUAGCCGUUGACAUAUGCUAAGUUACAUAUAAUAUAACUUAUAGUAAGUUAAAAUUAGCCACUUAAUAUUAAAAAAUGGUAGUAUGUGAUUCAAAUGGCGGGUUAUGAGUAACAAUUUUUUAGUUUACUGUAAGUUACAUAUAUAAUGUAACUUAACAAGACCUUAUGUAGGUACGUGUGUGUGUGUGUGUGUGUGUGUGUGUGUGUGUGUGUGUGUGUGUGUGUGUGUGUGUGUGUGUGUGUGUGUGUGUGUGUGUGUGGAGGGCUGCUUUUCAUAACUUUCAUCUUAGCCAUUGGGGCUCGUGAUUCAGCAGUUAGAGUUCGCAGGUUCGAGUCUUAACAUUAAUAUUGAACUGUAAAAGCUAGAUAAGAGACGAAAUCAAAUACAAAGUCGGAAGGUGCCCAGCUCCGAACUUUUUGAAAAUUCAUGAAAUGCAAGGUAAACUAAAAAGUUUUCAAGGAAAUCUCCAACUUAUGAUAUAUUUUGAGGAUCUCCAAACUAAAAUUGGUUUCGUCACCGAGCUUAUGAUAUGUUUUUUUCGUGAAGUUACUAAAAAACUAUUCGUAAUUUUUCGUUGUAUUUUUUUGGUCUUAUUUUCAUAAAUUUUCAUUAAAAAGUAAAAAAAAAAAAAAAAAACGAAUCUACCAAAACCUACUAUAAUGAUGGGAAAAAAAUCCAUUAUUUUAGGUAGUCUUGAAAUGAAAAAAUUAUAAUUCCCAAUUUAAUUUUUUAUUAAACAAUUCCUAAUUAAUUUUAAAGAAAGAAACUUAAAUAAUGAUGAAAUUUUAGUAGAAAAGCAAUUGUAUUAUCUUAAUUAACAAACAAUGUGUUCCCUAUUGAUAUUAUUGAUUAUAAUUUGCAUAAUUCAGCUUUGCUGACAAGUUAUUUCGAAUUAUAUAGUUAAUUAGUGAGCCACGAUUCUCCCAUAUAAAACAUUAACCGCUGAUCAGUUAGGUAUAUCUCCCAUGUAUUGUUUUCCUUUCGAUACCUUUUGAAAAAGGGAGUCCCUAUGUUACAAUUAAUGUAACAUACACACUCAACAACAACCACACAAAUGAUGGGCCCACACAAUUUGUGUGGUUGUUGUUGAGUGUGUAUGUUACAUUAAUUGUAACAUAACAUUUACCUUUGAAAAAUAUAUAUAUAUAUUUCGGAAGAUUAUUAGGGCACGUGUCAGUUGCCACUAAUUUGUCUAGUAAUGAACUGAUUAGACCAUCGAGUCAAAAAGCAUUGUUUGUCCUAUUAUCGAGUCACUGACAUUAUUGAAUCAUCAUCUACAAUAAUUGGGUGCUACCGCUUGUGAUUCACUCAAUCUUAACUUGAGUCUUGAGCCGUUGAUCUGGCCGUUUAUGCCGAACAUGCAUUUGUUUGUUUUGCUGCGUCGCAAUCGGCCAUGCACGUUGCUUAUUUGAUCUACGGUUUAGCACCACCCACGUAAUCUAAUUUUACUUACUGAUUUGUUUUGCUACGUCAGAAUCACCCACGUUGGCACCAUCGGCUACUUAAAUCUAUAUACACAGCCACUAGGCUUUAGGGUGCGUUUGAGAUUGAGGUGUUGUAGCUUUUAAGCUACAGCUGCUGUGAAAAAAAAGCUGUAAUUAUAAAACAAAAGUUAAUAAUAUAUAGUAAAUAUAAAUUUUAAAUAAUAAUGUUGAUAAAAUUAUUAAAGAUAUAAUAAAUUUUAUAUUAUACAAGUGAAAAAUCAUAUCAACAUAUCUUAAAAGCUACAACAGCUAGUGUUUACCAAACACUUUAGUGCUGUAACUUUUAAGCUACAGCUGCCCAACCUCAAUCCCAAACGUACCCUAAAGUCUAGUGAUUAAAAUCCAAAUCUCACAAUUGUGAGGUUAUAGGUUCGAACCCCACAAUGCAUUGUAGAAAUUUAAUUUCCUUUCUCAAUUUGAAAGAAGACAGUCUUUUUCCUUUUUGAAAUGUAAGUGAAGUAGACGUUCCUCAAAUAUUAGAAAUGAUAAAAAUCUAGGCGAUUCUUCAUAAAAAUUAAUGUAAACUAGUCCCAAUAACAGUCUGAUUUGUAAACAUUAGUUGCAAUAUCUUAUAGUAUGAGUUAUACUCUUGAACAAUAAUCUCAUAUAAUUAAACAAAAAAUCGAUGUACACACCGGUGUCAGAUCAAACCAGUAGAAAAAAGUAUCCACUCAAGCUCAAACUAUACAUCUACUUUUGAUUACGAAGUUAGCAGAGAUCUUUUCUGAUUAAUUUUGAAUAAUAUGGAAACUCCUUGCUAGGCAGGUUAAUAUUUAGGCCAUGCAUGUUCAGUUAAAUAUAAUUUAUAAUUCUUAUUUAACAUGUGCCUUUUUGAAUAAUUAAUUAAGUUCGUUAAUAUGAUUUUUUAGCCAAUAACGAUUGGUCGGAGGGAGUAGCACUUGCCAGCAUUGUUGAUUAUGAGAUAGCAACUCAUGAUCUUGAUUUUCUUGCUGUCCUUGAGUACGCGAGGAAUCCUUACCACACUGAUUAAAUACAGUACUGUUACUCUUGUUGAAUCAAACAAAAUUUUAACGGCAAAGUUUGAUUCAACAAGAAUUUUUUUUCAAAAAAAAUUUGUAACUUAGAUGUAAUUUUUUAUAUUUUUUUCUAUUUAAAAAAUUAAAAAUAAUUGAGUAGGGACAAAAAUAUAUUUUGCAACUAAUUUUAGGGAUAGAAACGUCAUUUUAUAACUAUUAUAGGAGGUAGAAAUGUCAUUUUAUAAUUAAUUUUAAGGGCAAAAAUGUUAUUUUGUAAUUAAUUUACUGUUCCCGUUAACUUUAAUGGUGAAGUUAACGGAUUUUCACCUACUUGAGUAUUUUUUAAAAAUGUGUAACCUUUUUGAAAUUUGUCAAAAAAUGUGUCACCUAGGGGUAAUUAACCUUUUUUUAUUCCAAAAAUUAUCUCAAAUGAUGUGACAUUCAUAAAUUGGUUGGUGAGCAUAAUUGGAUCUUGUAAAGAAUUAUCAACCAGUCAAUGAAUGACAUAUCAUUUAGGAUGAAAUUUGGGAUAAAAAAAAAAUUUGAGGAUGUCUAUCAUUACUCUAGUAAGAUGAGACAUUUUAGCGAAUGUCCUAGUAGUUGCCUAAAGAGUAGAGUUUCUAAAACCCCUUUUAAACUCUUAAGAAACCCCACUUUUCAUUUUUUCUAAUCUCUUUCAUUUAUGAAAUUACAAAAAAGGACAUAAAAUUAUCUUAAAUUUUAAUUGGAUUUCCCUAUCAUUUAGAAUAAAUUUUGUAGACAUGUUUUCGUAAUAAAAUUGUUGUUAAUAAAUAAUUUAUUUCUCCAUUAUUUUGAUUUUAUCAACAAAAUUAAUUAUAUCAUAUAAUAGGAUUAACAAAUAGUUAAGAUUCAUGAUUUGUAAAGAUAUUUCAGCAUAAUCAAAUUCGUAUUCGUCGUUUUAGUAACUCUUAGUAACAAUAGAACUAUUAUUACAAAAAUGGGGUGAUACAAGGAUAUUAAAAGUGUUGGAAAAGCAUUAAUCUUGCCCAAAUUGUUCUAGGGUUGAAUCGGAGUGUCUAUAUUGCCACUUACUAGAGAGAGGGAAAUAAAAUUUCAGAAGACCACCAUGCUAUUGGUAGUUCUGGCGACAUUUUGCAAAAGAAAUUCUAGAAGAAAUUUAAUGUUCUAUGAGGUGGUUUGAGAGAUCAAUUAAGGUGAUUCAGGAGGUGAAUUGAUUGGAGAGCUCAGUGGUGCUCACAAGAGUUAAUUUUGAGAGUUGACAUGAUUAGGAGGAGCUUAAAAGAGCUCAUGGGAUAGUUUUGUUGAGCUUAAAGAUAACUCUAGAAAGCUUAUCUAUGGAGCUCAAUAGAGCUCAUUGGAUAACUCACGUGAACUCAUAUAUGAAAUAUGAUAUGGACAUUAAAACCAUCGUAAUAAGGACAAAAUAAGUAUAAACAAUAAAGAACACACAAACUUUUACGUUGUUCGGCCUUUUGGCCUAUGUCUACAUGAGUAAUCAUCUCCAAUUUACUAUGUAUGUGAAGUAUUACAUGAUUUACUUUACAAUAUCAACAAAACCUUAUUAAAAAUUGUUUAUGCUGAACAAUAACAUGAAGAAGACAUGGGUUUUAUGGAGAUUAAAAAGUUUUUUAGGAGAAAAAUAAGGGAAAAGCUUCUUUGAAAGAUGAAAUGGCAAAAGUUUUCCAUGGAGGUCUAAAAAAUAGAGGAAGAAAAAGAAGAUGAAGUAGCCUCUCAAGCAAGAAAUCAGAUCUGGAAAUAAUCCAUUUUGUCUAUUGUCUUGAGCUAAAUUUAUAGGAUAGAUGACCUAGGGACAUUUUCACUUUUUCUACCGCAUGGAGAUUUUCUAUAUGUGUUGUCUUCUUCAAGUGGGGCCAUUUUCUUCAUUUUCCUUUGUUCACUUGAUAGUGACCAAAUAAGCUUGAUGAGCAAGUAAUUCCUUUAUUUCUCAUGUGAUCCUUACUCCUUGCCAUGUGGCAGAAGCUAGUGCAUUGGUCUGGUAGUGUGCACUAUUCACGUACUGGCUCUAACCAUCAAAAUUUAUGUUUCGAUAAUAUCCCUUGAUAUUAGGCAUAUUGAUCAAAACUUUCAUUUUCCUUAAAAGCUUAUCUUUUAACCUUUGAGAGUUUAUUGGCUCACGUUAGCACCCAAAAUUCUCUUCAAACAGAAAGUAUUAGUUUCUGUUUGGGGGAAAAAUAAGAAAGAUAGCAGAACGCCACGUGUCGACGAAUAGAAUAACUUCAGUGCAAUCCGAGGUACCCGACAUGAUUAGAGGCACCCCGCAAGAUUAGAGGUACCUGCCAUGAUUUGAGGUACUCGGCACGGUCAGAGGUACCCCGCAUAACUCCAGAGUAACUCGAGGUACCCCGCAUAAAUUGGGAUACCUCGUAUAAUUCGAGGUACCCGGAAUAACUCCAGCAUAAUUCAAGGUACCCAGAAUAACUCCAACAUAAUUCAAGGUACUCGGAAUAACUCAAGGUACCCAGCAUGAUUAGAGGUACCCCCGCGUGAUUAGAGGUACCCCGCGUGAUUAGAGGUACCCCGCACAGUUAGAGGUACCCGACGUAAUUAGAGGUACCCGGCUUGAUUAGAGGUACCCCGCAUGAUUAGAGGUACCCGACGUGAUUAGAGGUACCCGGCGUGAUUAGAGGUACCCCGCGUGAUUAGAGGUACCCGGCGUAAUUAGAGGUACCGGGCUUGAUUAGAGGUACCCGGCUUGAUUAGAGGUACCCGGCUUGAUUAGAGGUACCCCGCACAAUUAGAGAUACCCGGCGUAAUUAGAAGUACCCGGCUUGAUUAGAGGCACCCCGCAUAAUUAGAUGUACCCAGCGUAAUUAGAGGUACCCGGCUUGAUUAGAGGUACCCUGCACAAUUAAAGGUACCCAACAUAAUUAGAGAUACUCCACUUCACUCCAAAUUAACUCGAGGUACCCCACAUGGAUCGGGGUACCCCAUAUAACUUGAGGUACCCGACAGGUCAGACUCAAGAGAAUCCUCUAAAAAAGUCCGCCAUAGGAAAUAUCUUCAUAUCUCUAAGGAUAAUAUUUGAUUUUGUCAGAAUUAGGAAUCAAAAACGUCGUACCAAAAGGGGGGGGGGGGGACAACCGCCUGCUACCUCUGCCAAAAGUGAAGGACAUUGUCUCAAGGACAGUGGUCCUCAGCCGCCUACCCGACAACUACUGCAGAGGUACCCUGGACCACUCUCCAGCGUGCGCCACGUCUCCAAAGGAUGAGAUAUGCCGCGAACAUGCACAUAACGGCCCCAAAAUCAUAAAAGGUAAAAAGACGUUAGCCAAAAAGGGUACGCCACGUGGCAGCUGAGGUACUCCAUAUAUAAAUGUGCCUAUGUUUUAUUCUUGAAAGGGCUCUGACUCACCAUUAACACUAACACUCCAAAAAAUAGGUUUUCUUCAACCUUAAACCCUAAUUUACAGAGGGCUAGCCAGCUCUCUUUACCAUAAAAGCUUGAGUUUGCUAACUUGAGUGUCGGAGUGUGAACGCCGGGGUACCCCGACUUCACCUCUAACCUCUAUUUCACUGUUUUGUAGGCGUGAAGCUCAUUUUGAAGGAUAUCUCUCUUGGUUUUGACCUUUCACCAUUGUUGCCACUCUCUCUCCCCUUUUCACCUCCCCCGGAUUUCAGAUACACCGCACACAACAAACUAGUGAGGUACCCCGUCUCCCCCAAAAAUACAAAUUCAUUGUUCUAGAUUGGUUUGGCUUUUCCUACCCCAAAAUCUAUCGAAAACAGUUUCCUUUAAAAGAGAUAAUAUUUUAUCAUCAUAUCAUCAUUUAUAAGACGUUGUCAUCAAAGGUUAAUUAAUUAAUCAUCAUUUUGGCAUUCUGGCCACAUUUGAUCGGUAUCCAAUGCUACUGGCGUCGACAGUCAAUAAUUUGUUGGCAAUAUUUGUAAGACAAAUUAUUUUAAUCUUAAUUACCACCAAUCGCGAACGAUAGCUGUAUUUGUAAAAGUUUUGUAUCUUUGCUUCAUUAUCAUUUGGCAGGUUGAGGACCACCUCCAAUAACCAGCUUUUUUUUGUUUUUUUAAUGGUUCAAUAAUUGAAACAUAUAAAAAUGAGAACAUAUCAUGCAUCCAGAAAGUAUGGAUAGAAUCGAUAUAUCAGUGUUAGUAGAAAAACUUCAGCCAGGCAUCAAAUGAUAAAUUCAGCUAGCAUUUUCAGAUGUGCCUCAGUAUUUUCAAAUUCUUGUUUAAUUGUUAUAUUUUGAGUUAAGUAUUCACUUAAUUCUUAUAUUUUGAAAAAUAUCUCAAGAUACUUUUACUAUUAAAUAUGUGUCAUUCUUGACCUAUUUUUUUUAAUACUUUUACAAUAAUACCCUUGCAACAAUCGUCUUAGUGAUAUUAAUGGUAAGAAAAUAGGUCAAUUUGCCAUAUUACACUAAAAUUAAAUAAAAAUUAAAGUAAAUUUUUAUUAUUAUUUCAACCUAAAGUAAAAUAAAGAUUUAAAUAAAGGUCUUAAUUAUUAUUUUAUUUUUAAGAUUAAUUGUAACUUACAUUUUUAAUAGAUAAUUAUUAGCAAGACAACAAGGUUUCAAAUGUAGCUUUAAGUUAGCUGGUAUUAAUUAAUUUAUAAAUAAUUAUUAGAAAGAUUGUUGCAAGAGUUUUGAAAAAAUAUUAUUUCUUUUAGAUUGAUAAUUAUUGGUAAUUUUGUUUCAUUACAAGACAAAGCACAUAUGAGUACAAUAUCAUUUCGUUUGAGAAGUAGUGGAAGAUGUUUUUAUCAUUUCGUUCGAGAAGUAGUGGAAGAUGUUUUGACCAAGCCAAUAAAUGCCGACAAGUUUAUCUGGAGUAUAUCCUCUUGUGGCCUAGUAAAGACGUAAGCAACAUGACAAUGGCGAAAUAGAAAUGAUGGUGUGAAGAUUGAUUGGUUCCCAAUUUAAUCUCCAAGUGGGAGAAUGUCAAAAAGUAAAGCAAUGGGGACUAUUAGUGCCCUACCGCAAAGGCAAAAGAAAGAAGACAAAAAAGGAAGAAGAAAAAAAAAAAAGAAAGAGAAGGAAGAAAAAGGGGUGCCACACCAAAGAAGGAAAAGAAAAAAAAAUUAAUAAAUAAUAAAAUAAUAGUGCACAGUAGCCAAAAUUUGGCUAUAAAAAGGGUCACUACAAGAAAAAGUACCUACGAUGACAGGCAAAAACUGUCAUAGUAGGGGGUGGAUAACAGUUGUUCAUACCGUCAUUGUAGCCAGCGUCAAGAAUUGAUGACAUAAUAAUAUCAAUCAUAACCUAUGAUGGAUAUAGUCAGUCACACAACCAUCAUAACUUUAAUUAGAGGGAAAUAUAAUAAUUUUGAAUUUGGGUUGCCUUUUUUGAAUUUCGUGCGCUAUUUUUUAAAUUUUGGCAGAAAAUGUUCAAUUUGCAGCGAAAAUGGAAAUGAUAAUUAAUUGAUUUUUUUCAAUUAAUUGGAAAUUUGAAAUUAUAAUUAAUAAAAAUAACUAUUUUGUUUGUACCAUGAAAUUAUUAUCAUUUUAAUAAAAAUCCUACAAUUGAUUUAGAAAUUAAUAUUUCAUAAUUUAGCUAAUUAAUUAGAUUAUUAAAAUUAAUUGCAAUUAAAAAUUCAUUGACAAAGAAAACAAAAUAAAUAACAUUGGCUAAUUAUUGAUAAUUGUGAACAAACAUAAUUUAUCCAAAUACAAGUGACAAGUCCAACAUAAAUAGAAGAGUAUUGUAACAACAUAAAAACUAAAUUCCUGCAACAUGUACAAGACUAAUGUACCAUGAUCGGUUCAUUUCCAGCAACAAAAGGAAGCCAACAACAUAGUCAUUUAGAGCAACACAAGGAAAGCCAAGAACACAGUUCAUUUCCAGCAACACAAGAUGAAGCCAACAACACUGAUCAGACUAAGAAAAUCCAUUCUAACAGUUUGGUGAAGCAUACAACAAAUACCAAUAUAAGAAGAAGCUAAAUGUGCAAAGUUGCCUCAAUAUUCAGGACCUGUUUUUGCAUCAAAUAAAAAAGGCAGCGAACUCCAGCAGUACCCACCAUCUUCAUCAAAUUCCAACAUAGCAAGUGUAAGAAGCUAGGUAACUGCACAAGUAAAAUAUAACAAAUUCAAAGUCCGUGACAACUUAUAUAGAUUAGAAUACUAAGCAAUAGAAUAAUAGCUAGCAAAGUUUGUUUUCAAUGAACAAAAGUUUGGUAAAUUAAUUUGUUUCAUCAAUGAACUCAAUAUAACAACAUAAUAGGUAAGGCUUACCUCACAUAGUAGCAAGUAAUUCAAAAACAUGGUUUGCCCACUCAAUACGAACUUCAUCUAAUUCAGCAUCAGAAUAUGUUGUCUUUCCAUUGAAUUGUAAAAAAGUAUCUAUGCACUAUGUAAGUGAACUACAAAAACAGAGCAUUAGUUGCCCAAAGUUACCUACCUAAAUUACAAGCUUUAACUUUGUAGCCUGUUAAAGCUUUCUGCCACCUUCUCAAGUAUUAACCUCAACCUUGGAAUUGCCAAAAAGACUACUCAAAACAUAAAAGAUCAAAGAAAUAAUAAUCAAUCACACUACCAUUAAACAAAGUCAUAAGAAGUUAUUGAGAAAUCGAGGGGUUUUACCUAAAAACAAAAGGAAGCCCAUUGUCUUCUGCCAAAAAGACUACUCAAAACAACCAGAUUUUUAUCCCCCACACCAGUUCUACUCUCCCUAAAUCAUAAAAGGAGAAAAAUCAGUGGUUGGACUACAAUGGUGAGUCAAGAGUUCUGAGAUAGCAUAAGAAUAGCUCACAAUGGCUUCAAACUUACACCAACUAUAGAAAGGAGAGUAAAUUAACAUACAUAUAAAGCAAUUUAAGGUAGACUUAUAAUUUUGAUGGAUUUGAGGCUGCCAAGCUUGGAUAAUUUAACAUGCAAGAAUGUUUCUAAAGCCUUGGCAAGAUAUGUUUCAAAUUGACAUUGAAACUAAAGAAAUUGAAGCUCAAUUGGUGAAAUCAGAAAAGCUUUUUAAACUUUGUAUCAGGUUCUGUUUCUUUUUCUCAAAUGGUGGAUAAUGGCAAUGUCUUUUGCCUCCAUUUCUUACACAUGAGCAUGACAAGCAAACAUAUUGUUUAAGCUAUUUAGUUAAGUAAUAGAGAAAAUAGGCUUUUAAAAAUGGCUAAAUAUAUAAUAUUGGGCUUAAACUUAAGAGUUAAUAAAAUCACAGUUAAAGGAAUAUGGGAUGUUACAGUUAGCUUAUGCACAUUCUACAUCAAACUACAAGACAAUGACAAGUGGUACUCUCUAAACUCACUUUUCAUUCCUUUCUAUUUGAUGGAUAAAUGUAUUAUCAAAAUUAAAAAAAAAUUGAACUGGAUAAUGUAAUCAUCUGAUUUGUGCAUCAACCAUUUAACAAGUUAAUUUCUAAACCCAGAAAUCUGAAUAACUUGCAUUAAUGUAAGCUCAAGAAGUAUUAUACACUUACAGGUCUAAUCAACAUCCAACAAACAGCUACCUAAUCACUUACAAGUUUUCAAAUUUUCAGUUCAAACAAUGCACAGAUCAACAACAACAAUUGAAUUCUUAAGCUUGUACUUUAUGUCAAUCUCUCAACUGAUUAUUUCCCAAAGAAUGAAUCAAUGUUAAAAGUAGCACCAUGCCUGAGUGGUUAAACUAACAACUAAACAUAUAAUCACUAAAAGAUUGGCUACCUAUUAGCAUAAAAAGAACAAAUAUUAAAGCUUCUGCUUACUUCAUGGUUCUUGCAUUCUUCAAGCUCUUCCUUAAGUUCUUCAAACCAUAUAUCAUCGCUACCAAAAACAACAACAGAUUCAAUUAAAAACAAAUUGAAUUCACAAAAUAACCUUCUAAAAAGAACAAGAAUUUGGUUUAUCAAGAAUCAACUCUUUCUUAAAAAUGGCAUAAAUUUCUUGAUCUUUAUUCUAAAUGUCCAAUAGAGAUCAGACCUCAAAGUAAUUAAACAAAUACUUCCACAUAUUUACUCGUAUCUUCCUCAAAAGUCAAGUCCCCAUCAAAUGCUUCUAAAUUGAAAAUAUUUUUCGAAGUCUCAUUUUUAUAAAAACAUACAAAUACAGAAAAUCAACAAAAAUAAACAAAAAUUAAAGGUAAUGAUGAAUUUCAUACCAAUGAACUGAUGAUUUCACAAUGCAAAGAAAUCAGUUCUUCAGUUAGGGCUUUGCUGGUGAAAUAGAUAGGUACAAUAGAAAUUGUUAGGGUUUAUCAACAAAUCCGAAGCAGAAGCAAUGACAAUGGCAGAAACUAGGACUUCAAAUAUCUCUAGCGCAGAGUAGAAAUUGCGUUCAAACGAAAGGGUGAAAUCUUUGACAAAAGCAGGUUUCGGCAGAGCUCGAACGACGAAUGAGUGAGAAUGGCAGAUGAACGACAUCGAAAAUAGCGGCGAGAAUGGUAGGCAAUGAGAAUGACUUCGAAUGAUUAUGGUUUGUUGUGGGUUUGUCAUGGGUUUCUUCAUUUUCUCUUAAUUUGUCGAAGUCUUUUGUGUGUUUUGAGUGUGAGAAAUUCUCUCACACUUAAAAUGAGUUAUCUCUUUAAAAUUGUGCAUUUUAUGUUUUUUUUUCCCCAAAAGUCACAACUUUUAUUCAGAAUUAUAAAUUUUAUAUUCGACAAAGAGACGUUGUCGUUUUGCUUGCAAACAAAAGAAACGACUGUGUUUCCUUUUAAUAUUAAUUUUUUGUAAUAAAAUAAUUUUAAAAAAUAUAGUCAAACCCGAAUAACUGAAGUCAAAAUUAAAUAUCAGUCAUAAAUUCUUGAUAGUUAAAAAAUCUAUCAUGAGUCUAUCCUAAGUUUUUGAUAGACGAAAUUUAUAUCACAAUUAUGUCAUAAUUGCAUGAUAAAAAUAAAAUUUAACACAAAUCCAUCAUUAUAGGUCUCCAGAUAAAAAAUUGUCACAUAAGGAACUGUCAUUGUAGGCCUUUUUUCUUGUAGUGGGUGGCUCCCCUCAUUUGUUAUCAUUGAAUUCUCUUCAAUUUUUCUUCUUUAUUUAGAGAGUAGUGAUUUGAGAGUUUGCGUGUAUUAGGGUUUUGAGUAGUGAGAUAAAAUAUUACAAUACUUGUAACUCUUUUUUUUAUUAGUAAAUAUUUUCCUUCUGUCUUUGCCCGUGGAUGUAGGCUAAAAGCCGAACCACGUAAUUUCUUGUGUCCCUGGGUGAUUAUGUUUCUCAAUAUUUCUCAAUUUCACUUUGAUUGCGUGUCUGUUUCACCCAUCAAUUUCCCAACAUUAGCUAAUUCUUGCAGCUAGAAAGUUAUUCCUCAUCAUAAUUUAUUGAAUAUACAAUAUAAAUUUAUAAUUCCAUCCUUUAAAAUAGUCAUGUUGUUUAGAAGGUUAUCAGCAUGAUUUUGAACUGUAAUCACUAUCAAUUUGUUAAAUAAUGUGAAGUUACAAAAAUUUAAUCUCUGAAUGUGAAGUCAAAAACCUCCAUCAUCGUAACAUUAUCAGCUUGUGAAGAAGGGGAAACAUACUUGGAUAACUUUAAUAUUCUUUCUGUUGACAAGUAAUAAAAAUUUAACACUUCUGUAUUCGAAUUUUGCUUACCUUGGAGGGAAAGGGAUUUGAGUUGCCAUUAAAAAUUACAGUAUUUUGGUCCUUUAAAAGUAAAGCACGUUCGUAAAAUACACCUACGAAAAUGGUAAUCGUCUUAAUAAUUUUUUUUUUAAAAAAAAAAUCUAUCACUCUUGAGUGCAACAAAUUACCCAAUCCCAAAACCUUCUGAUAGAGAUUAAGAGAAAAUAAAAAUAGAAAUAGAAAAAGAGUACUAGCCAGAUUCUUCAACAAUGCUAUAAUACUUCUAAAGUAAAAAAUAUGCUUCUCUUUCGUUGUCUAUAUUUGCAUCUCCAGGUGAAAUUUGUAACUAGCUGAGGACAUUUUUAUUUUUAUAGGAUGGAAGAACCUGGAAUUUACUUGGAGAAAAUAUUGUAGUGGGGUAUUCCAAAGGUAUAGUUAUACAUGUAGCAUUGGGAGUCGAUGGCCAGAGUUCAUUUGAUGGAAUUAGCCCUUCAAUGGGUAGUCGAUAUAAACCAGAUGGCCAAUAUAGUCAUGCUGCCUAUUUUAGCAAUCUUAUUUAUUAUGAUAUCAAUUUUGGGCCUAAUGAAGCUGCAAGUAACAAUAAUGUAGGAUACUGUACAUAUGCCAUUAAUUGUUUCGGUUACAAAUUGCAACAGUUUCUGGACCAUCUUCUGGUUAUAAUUUUCUUUUUAGAGGAUCUGGAGGAAAUUGUAAGUAAAUUAGUAAAAUGUAAAUUUUUUGUUAUAGAUAUUGUAUGAUUGUUGGUAUAGUAAUAAAUAUGAUCUAUGUUUUGGGCUGUUAGGUGGUUUCUUAUAAUUCUAUCCUAAAAUUUUAUUUUAAAUUAUUUUAUCGUCAUUAAUUGAUUGGUGAAACAAUGUAAUUAAUUUACUUAAUAAAAAGUCAUCAACUUGGUGAGGGAAUUCCCCAGUAUUUGAAAGAGAAUGAUAAAAAUCUCAUGAUGAUUUUAGAGAUCCUUUAUAUGAUGAUCUUGAUCAUUCUCUAUUAAAACAAUUAAGACCAUACUGUCCAAAAUGAAGAUCGUCUAGUAAGAAGAUUCUUGCCAUUGUGUUCAAUUGUGUGAUUGAUUUGUAUAAAUUUGACUUUUAAACAAUUGAAAAGUCAAAUGGAAACACAUGGCUUGCUUUUCAAUUCGAUGGCCACAAAAAAUUGACAACUUAGAGGAGUUGCAGCCGCAUGUAUGCAUUUGUCAAAAAUGAAAAAAAUUGAUUGCGGAUUUCUAAGACUUUUAAGUGUGAUAAUUAAAUGCAUGCAUGGUGAGCUCUGCUAUAAAUAGCAAGUCAUUUCUUGCGAGUGAGCUAUUAGAAAGUUUAGGAGAGCAUUUCUUUGGGUACUUAGUUGGGUUCUGCACUAUUUAUAGAUAUGUGAGCGAAUGUGUCUUGAAGAUAUUAUUCCUUUCAAGAGUGUAUGAGAGUACUGGGUGUGUUUAGGUAGUUGGAAAGGUUUUGUUAUUCAAAUUUAUACUCUAUUAAUUGUUAGUGAAACAAUUAUUCUUCUUGCCUCUGUGGACAUAGGCUUUAUUGCCAAAUCACAUGAAAUUCUUGUAUCCUUUAUUUUUUUCUGUGCAUAUUUAGUGCGUAUUAAUUUCAUAUUUGCGCAAAGUGGUAUUAGACCACAAGAGAUGAUGCUUUCACAUCACAACAAGUGGUAUUAGAGUCGAUUGUUCGUACUUAGGUUACACAUCAUUGUUCACGUAUACGUAAUAUUCAUGAAUAUGGUGGAGCAAAUGGCUCAUAUUUGAGAGAAACAAUGGUUUUUUAGUAGUGCAAAUUUGUGCAUGCAAAGGAAAGUUCUAGCAAAAGGGCUUAGUGCCUAUGAAGUCUGAAUUUUGAGUGCGAUUGAUGUGACCCCUCUAGUCUUUCAUUAGAACUUUCCUAAUGCAUUUUUCACGCGACAAACAUAAAAUAGACUAUUUCUCUCAAGUGUGAAUUGUUGUUGAAAUGGUAGAGAAUAUCAAUGAGAGAUCUAACUUUAAUUAUUCCCAAAGUUGUUUGUACAAGUUCGAAAUUGAAGGAGUACUCCUAGAGGGAAGACUUGUCACCUUGUCAUGUAGCAAUGGUUGUAGGAAGCCAGGAGAUCAAUUAUGAAAAAAUAUUGAUAGGAACACUUCGGCAUGCAAAGCAUGGAGUUAUGGAUUCCCUAAUCCAAAUUUAUCUUGAUGUUGAUGUGAAUGAUACAAAACAUAAAUAUGAUGAACACAUUUUCAGAUCGUGUGAAUGAGAAGGAUUUUUUUAUCAAAUUAAGUCUUCCUUGUUCAGAGAAGUAAAAUGCAUGGUUCAAGAUGAUGAGUGCGUGAUUGUUUUGUAGCGUACUUUGGAGGAUAAGUACUUCUGAGAUGUCAAAAAAUAACAUUCAUGCAAUGAACAAAGUGUAUGGCUUCCAAAUAAAGCAUGAGUUGUUAAUGCACAUGCAUGUAUCAAAAUUGUUUGAAGAAUCUUGACGAAGAGAUCGGGGUUGAAGUCAAGGCUAAGAUUCUUCUGCACUCACUUUUAGAAGAAGACAACCAUUUUAAUACUAUGCUGUUGUAUAAAAAGAGCAUGAUUGUCUUCAAAGAUGUUAGCAUAGCAUUAAUUGAUUUAGAGAUUCAGAAUAAGCAUCGUCUGAAGCUAUGAUGAGCAGAUGAUGGAUGAUGAAAAUAAAAAUGGAUGAAGCAUUGUGGAUAGAAUUCUUGAACUAUAUCUAGAAGUAAAGUAGCCCAAGAUGAGUGUUGUUUUCUCUUAUAACCAAUAGUAACAAACAUGGGAUUUGACGCUAGCUAUUAAAUGAGUAUUAUGCUUAUGGUACAUGUGGUAAGUUCAAACAAAUGGAUUUUUGACACCAGAGCAACCUAUCAUUUCUGUUCAUUCAAGGAAUUGUUCAUGGAUUUUCGUGAAUCUAGAAUGGUUAUGAUUAAGAGUGAUCAAGCUUCUCACAAAAUGAAGGUGGGAAUAAUUUGGGUCAAGGUGUUCAAUGAAGUGAUCAGAAAAUUUUUAUAAGAUGUUUGGCAUGUUCCUGCUAUAAAAAAGUAGGUAAUUUCUAUAGGUGCUUUAAGGCUACACGGUUACCACCGAAAAUGACACAAUAAAUUUCACACACAGGGCUAUAGAGAUUCUACAAAAAAAGGCCAGUGCCCCACCUUAUAUUAUUGGAAGCGAAGUACAAGUGAUAAUGUGAAUAUUUUUUUGUUGGUGCACAAUGACACCAUCAAGCUAGGGGUGUUCAGAAUCCAAUCCGAUCCGCUAAAUCCGUCUGAUCCGCUCAAUCCGAUCCGUAUAAAUCCGAUCCGUGGAUUGGUGGAUUUGAUAUGGAUUGAAAAUUAAAAAAUCUGCAGUCGAUGGAUUAGAUAUGGAUUUACUUCUGUAAAUCCGCAGAAAUCCGUGAAUCCGCCAAAAAAUAUAUAUAUAUAUAAUUAAAAAAUUAUUAUAAAUAUAAUUAAAAAAAUUAUAAAUGUGACAUUACAUAGUUACAUAAGCACUAUAACAUAUCUUAGCCAUUACCCACUAAUAAUAUAAAAUGAAAAAUAAUUAAAUAAUCAAAUAUACAAAUAUAACUUGUAAAAAUUGUAAAACAAAAUAAAAGCAAAGUCACACGCCCUAGCAAAAGCAAAGUAACAUAACCCCAAGUCACCAACAAUUUGUAAAGUCACCCAAAAGUAAAGUAACAUGAUACCAAGUCACCAACAAUUUGUAAAUAAAAAACCCUAAGCUUCCCCGCCGUCACACACACUAGCAACACUCAAUACUGGUUGGAUACACUCUCGACACGGAUUUGAAGGACAUCGGCCGCAUGAUUCUAGCGAGAGCAAGCCAUCUUCUUCCCCAAGUCCAUCGAGCCACUUCACAUUCACUGGUUCCAGCUGAACAAUUUCACUAUCACAACCUUCAAGAUCGCAACCCGUACGGCUUCUCCUGGUUCCCAUCGUGGACGGCUCCGUAAUCACCACUUUUCGACAGGUGCAACAGCCCUGGUGAAGGAUCAGACUGUGUUUGGUUUCCGAAACUUUGUCAUUUCAAUUAAUUGUGAUUUUAUUUGAACAAUUAAUUUCGGUGUUAUAUUAACGUAUUAUUGUAACUUUAUUUGAACAAUUAAGCUUGGUGUGUUAUAUUUUGAAAUUUUGAACGUAUUAUUGUGGCUUUAUUUAAAUAAUUAGUCUCGAUGUGUUAUAUUUUAAAACUUUAAAUGUAUUAUUUUAGCUUUAUUUAAAUAAUUUAUUUAUUUAAAUUUUAUUCAAUUUUAAAUUUAAUUGGUAGCAAAAUUAUUUUUAUAUUAGAUUUUGUUUUAUUUCAUUAGUUGGAGAGAAGUAAAAAAAUUUAAUUCGAAAACUAAUGCGUAAAAUGGUGGAUUGGAUAUGGAUUGAGUCAAAUCCGCAUUUGAUCCACAGACGUAUGGAUUGGAUAUGGAUUGAGUCAAAUCCGCAUCCGCAUCCGCAGAUGUAUGGAUUGGAUUUGGAUUGAAUUGAUCAAUUCGUGGAUUGGAUUGGAUUGAAAAAUUAUAAUCCGCAAAAUCAUGGAUCAGAUAUGGAUUGAUGUUCAAUCCGUAAAAUCUGAUCCAUGAACACCCCUACAUCAAGCUAUAACAUGUAUGAUUAGGGACAUGCAUGAGAAAAGUCUUUGCAAAUUAAGAUGAGACAUGGACUUUUGAAAAGUGUCUAAAUUUGUAAAAAUGAAGGCCUGUGAGCAUUAUUUGGUAUGUAAGAAAACAAGGGUCAAGCUUGGCAUGGCUAAUCACGAUACUUAUGAGAUCUUUGAAUGUUCACAUCGAUGUAUGAGAACCAACCAUGACUACCACAAUUGGUGGUAACAAAUAUUGAGUUUUAUUUGUUUCUCUAGAUGCAUAUACGUGCAUACCAUAUAACCAUAGGAUGAGAUUCUAGAGAUGUUUGUGAAAUAGAAGAAACUAGUAGAGGCUCAACCUAACAGAAAGAUCAAAGUAUUACGUACUAAUACGAAAUGAUAGACUCAUGGGUGGCUUUAAGUAUAGGCGAACAAGGCGGUCGCCUAAGGCCCCAAAUUUUAAAAAAGCCUUAGUUUUUUAGUAUUAGUUAUAAUUCUCUAGUUAAUAAAAUCUUUUAAAAAAAUUAUAUGUGUGGUAGAAAAGCAUAUUAGACAUAUCUCUAAUUAAUAAUUAUCCUAUAAUUAAUAAUAAUUAUUUUUUAUAUAAAAACCUAUAAUUGGUUAUCUUAUUGUUAAAGAGAUAUAAUUAAUAACAUUGUCUAACCAUUAAUUUAUUCAUUAUUAGUUUUUCUAAUAAAAAUAAGUAAAUUUUUUUAUCUUUUCAACUUCUUAAAAAAGCUCAAUUAUUCAACAUUAGAAUCUUUGAUUUUGAGUAUUCCUUUUAAUUUCUACUAAAAAUCUUAUAAUCUAGAAAAUUAUAGAUGAAAAAUUUCUUGUUCUCUUCUCUACAAUGAAGAUUAUUACAUGCAUUAGUUCAUUCAAAAAAGAAAAAGAAAAAAUUAGUUACUUGAAAUACAAAGUCCAUAUCCAUUUUCUAACCAUCAAUUCAUGAUCUCAACUUUUUAUGUGCUACCAUUUUAAAUAUUCUAUUUGAAAAUAAUAUUGUUCUCAUUUAUUCGUUUGCUUCUUUUUGUAUAAUUUCUAAUGGUAAAUUUUAGAUUUUUUUUUUGAAAAUUUUUAGAAUCUUCUUGAUUAUUUGUUGAAAUUCAAGAAUUAAAACUGAAAUGAAUUUUUAGUUCUUUAUUGUUUUAUUGAGUAUUGAAAAUACUAAAUAAAAAGAGGCCUCAUACAAAAAAAAAAAAAGUUCGCCUAAGGCCCCUGAUAUUGUAAAGCCGGCCCUGGAUAGACUUGUGAACCAUUUUUGCAAAUAUGCCAAAAUGAGAGUCUAAAAUGACGUUUCGUAAUAAGAUGUACCUGAGCGUAUAGACCAUACUUUAUUGGAGAAUGUACGAUGUAUCUUAUCUAGUGCUGGUUUAAAUAAGAGGUUUUAGAUAGAUUUUGUAAGCUACACAAGUCACUUAGAAAAAAAGAUUUGUAAUCUGCUAUAAUUAGAGGUAAGACAUUUUUGGAGAAGUGGUCUGAAAAGAUGCAAAAGACUAUGAUUCUCUUUGUAUGUUAUCUUUGCGGGAUUCAAAGGUAGAGUUUUGAGAUCUCGAAGAUAAAAAGUUUGUGUAUCGCAGUGAUGUCAGUUUUGAUGAAGCUUUAAUGUAGAAAACUUCUAGUUCUCAAUAGGUGGAUAACAAGUCUAACGAGAUAUUGUAGUUGGUGGAGUUUAAUGCAACUCCAUAUGACCAAAUGGUUCCAUAUUAGAGAAGAGUUUAACUUCGGGUCUUACUCUAAGAGUUGAAGAAGAAAUUAUUCUAUUGAUGUUUCACAAGAAGAAGAAACAAUUAAUGAUGUAGAUAAAGAUGAUAACAACAAGGAGACUAAGAACAGAAACCUGGAUGGCUUAUAUGGUAGUAACCUUUGCACUUUCAAGUGCUAAUAAUGACAUCCUUAACAUUUUCAGUGAAAUAGUACGCAACAAUGAAAGUGAUCAAUAUAAGUUAGCCAUAAAGGAAGAAGUGAAGUCUAUUCAUCAAAAUCAAACUUGGAAACUUGUAAAGUUACCUAGGGCAUUGAGGGCUAGUGGCAAUAAAAGUGGUUACACUAAGAAAUAAAGAUCUCUAAAACAAGCAACCCUUUGAUAUAAAGCAAGGCUCAUGACAAAAAGAUUUGCUUAUAAGGAAGGUUUUUUUUCUCCAGUUACGAAAAAUACUUCCUUUUGUAUCUAACUUGCCUUAGUUCUGGAGUAUAAGUUAGAGUUAGCUCAAUCGAAUGCUAAGAUGAUGUCCUUACAUGGGGACAUGGAAGAUGAGAUCUAAAUGACUCAGUCUUCUAGUUUCAAAGUUGCUGAAAGGAGAAUCAUGUGAAGGAUGGUUUGAUCUUUGUACAGACUCAAAUAAUCGAGAAGCAAAUGUACAGGGGAUUUGAUCGAUUCUUAUAAGGGCAAAAUCACUAGAAUUGAACACGAUCACUAUUUUUACUUUAGAAAACUACAAGAUGGAGCUUUCAUCCAUUUGGUACUCUAUGUCAAUGAAAGACUUGUAACUUCAAAUAAUAGAGAUGAAAUUGAAGAAACUAAUGGUUACUGAGUUCAAGAUGAAAGUUUUGAGUGAUGGACAGAGAGUACUUACGUUGGAGAUUUCAUAAAGACAGAAAGAAUAUGAGUAUGUAGUUGACUCAUAUUUUGAAGAAGUUGCAAGAAAGGUUUUCCUAUGUCUCCUAAGCUCUUGUUCAUGUCAUUCUCCUUAGGGAAAUUAUCAUUCAUAUACCCUAUAUUUGCUCUGUUAUAAAAAAUACUACAACACUUUGAGGGUGUAUCAAUCGUCCACCCUUAGUUGACAAAAUGUAUCAGCCGACCACCAAACCGUUAGUUGCUGUUUGAAAGUUAACGGAGUUACAAUGAAUUGACAAUUUUACCCUUGAAAAUUAUCACUUGUAUACCCUUAAAUUCUCUUUUUAUCACUUGUAUACCCUUAAAUUAUCACUUGUAUCAUAUGAAAAGACCAAAUUACCCUUCUGACGUCAUCAUACUUAAACGACAACUAACAGUUUGGUGGUCAGCUGAUACAUUUUGUCAACUUAGGGUGGACGAUUAAUACACCCUCAAAGUGUUGUAGUAUUUUUGAUAACGGAGUAAACUAAGGGUAUACAAAUGAUAAUUUCCAUUCUCCUUAAGUAAAGCACGAGUACAUGGCUCAUGUUUCGUAAGCUUAUGUUAUGGGUAGUCUUAUGGAUGUGAUGGUGAAUAGAAUGCACAAUAUAUCUCAAGCAAUGAGCUUAUUUAGUAGAUCUAGGUACAAUUCACUAGCCUGCAAUGAUAAGGAUUCUCUACAUAAAUAUAGUAUAAUUUGUGAAGGCGUUCUCUUAAAAAAUUAUAAACUACAGUUGACUUGAUCGUAGUAGGUGGAACGUAGGUAGUCGAAUCAAUACAACCGUUUUGGAUACAUAAGGGAAGAUCACUUUAGGGAUGAUGGUUUAUUGGUAGUCAACUUAAAUUUGGACAAAUCUUUGCCAAGGUGGAGAUUGUUGAAAAGUCCAAUGAAAACACAUGGCUUGCUUUUCAAUUCGGUGGCCAUAAAAAAUUGACAAUUUGGAGGAGUUGGAGCCGUAUCAUGAAUUUUUCAAAAAUGCAGAAAUUGGUAGAUGAUUUCUAAGACUUUUGAGUGCAAUAAUAAAAUGCAUGCAUGAUGAAACUCUCCUAUUAAUACCAAUCAUUUCCCUUGGUGUGAGUAUCCCACGAAAUAUAGAGAGCUUAUGUGAAGAGUCCUCCGAGACAGUGAAGAGAGAGAUCACUGUGAGAGUUUCCAAAGAUCGAAAGGGAGCAUCUGCGAAUGAGCUCUUAGAAAGUUGGGAGAGCAUUUCUUUGGGUAUUCAGUUGGGUUAUGCACUAUUUGUAGAGAUAUGAGAGAUGUGUGUUUUAAAGAAAUUGUUUCCUUCAAGAGUGUGUGAGAGUAUUAGGUAUAUUUAGGUAUUCGGGAAGUGAUGUUUUAUUAGUCAAAUUUGUACUCUGUUAAUUGUUAGCAGAAUAAUUAUUCUCUCUUACCUCUAUGGACGUAGGCUUUAUUGCUGAACCAUAUGAAAUUCUUAUGUCUUCUAUUUUUUCUGUGCAUAUUUGGUGCGUAUUGAUUCUGUAUUUGCGCACAAGUGGUGUCAGGCCAUAAAUGACGCUUCCACCGCACAAUAUAAACCAUAUUGAAUCAAUAAUAGAGAGAAUUUUAUUUUCUCUUUACCAUUUUGAGUUAAUAAGUGAGAAAAAUACCUAAUUUUAAUUUGUGCAUCCUCUCAAUUUUAAUACUUUAACACAUUACCAAACAUACAUGAAUUUGAUUAAGCUAAAUAUAUUUAAAAAUCAUGAAUCUUAACUAUUUUUUAAUCCUAUUAUGUGAUAUAAUUAAUUUUGUUGACAAAAUAAAAAAUAAUGAAGAAAUGAAUUAUUUAUUAACAACAGUUUUAUUAUGAAAAGUAUGUUUACAAAAUGUAUUCUAAAUGAUACUGAAACUCAAUUAAAAUUUUAUGAUAAUUUUAUGUCCUUUUAUGUAAUUUUAUAAAAGAAGAGAUUGAAAAGAAUGAAAAUUAGGGUUUCUUAAGAGUUUAAAAGGGGUGUUAGAAGCUCUACUCUUUAGGCGACUGCCUAGGCUUACCCCUAAAAUCAAGGUCCCAUCUUAAUAUAAUAUGGUAGAGUUGCCUUUGGUUUACGUAAAAAAUCCAAAGCAUAUGUUUUAUUUAAAAGUUGAAAUUAUAAAUUUGCUUCUUUGGAUUAAUUAAAUGCAUCAAAUUCAAGUUCAAAUUUAUUUUAAAAUCACACACAAUCCUAUCUAUUUAUGAAUUAUAUCUCCAAUUGUAUAAUUUAAAUGCCCAAAACCUAAUUAACUCCGUUAAAAACAAAGUCUAAGAUCUAUUAUAUCUGAUCCUAUUUAGUAAAUGGCUAAUUUAAUAUUAAAAAUCCAUCAAAAUAAAAUUUAUUAUUUAAAAAAGAAUAAUUUUUUUUAAUUUUCUUGUUUAAAAUGUCCAAUUUCAGUAAUUUUAUUUAUAUAUCAUUAAAUCUUUCUCAAAUUUAGGCCACUAAGAUUUAGUUAAGGAUAAUUCUCUAUUUUGAGAGUGAAAUUUCCAUCAAUAACCUAUUUGAUAUAAUAUAUGCGUCUGCCUAUAUAUAGAUUGAGGGUCUGCGCACCGUAGAUAACGAAUCAAAAAGAUCGAUCUUCAGUCUCAUUCCGCCAUAAAUCACGUUCCUAAUAGUUUUACAGAAACAACUGUAGAUAAAUGAGUAAUUAAUUUUAUAGUUAAAAAAAGAAUGGAAAAGAUGGAAUCAAUUCAAAUAAAAAAGAAUAGAAGAAUAAGAAUCAUUAGCUAACUGGUCAGCUCAUUUGUUUUUUUAUGAGAACAAGAACAAUAAUCGAACCGGCUAAUUUUUGUUUUCUAAGAAUAAGAAUAAUAAUCCAUUUGGCCAGAUUUUUGCAUUCCUUGAAAUAUUCUCAUGUUGACAAUUCUAUUUGAUAUUAUUUAUUACUAAAAUUUAAUUGACGUUUGCGUGAAGAAGAUAAUUUACUACUGAAUUUAAUUAACAAUUGCGUAAAGAUGAAAUGCAGUUUAUCUUUAUUAUUAGAGUUUGAGAAGUGAUAAACUUCGAAGCUAAGAGAUAAGUUUAAACUUCGGUUAAUUUUCAAUUUUAAUUAGGGGCUGUUUGUUUUUUUGACUUAAUGACUUAAUUGACUUAAUUUUAAUCCGUUAAGUCAUUAAUUCUGUUUGUUUUUUUUUUUCAACUUAAUCAAGAUUUUCAGCAAUUAAGUCAUUAAGUUAUUAAACUAAUCUUUUUAGUUUUUUAUUUAAUCUAAAAAGUUUGAAUACUAUCAUUAAAAGAUAUUUUCUAAAAUAUUCCUAUCUAAUUAAUUAAUUUUCAUUCUUAACUAAAUAAAAUUUAAUAAUUAACAUUAUCACCCAUCUGUAUAUAACUUUUGAUAAUAUAUAGUGGUAGAUUAUUAUUAUUUUUAUCUUUUAAUUUUGUUCAAAUUAGCAUUAUUUAUCUUCAUAAUUUUUUGUGAAUAUUUUUCAUAUAAAAACAUCACAAACUAUAAUAAAAUUAAUUAACAUAUAUGAUAUAAAAUAUUAAACAGUUAUACUCAAUUGAAUAUGAUUUGUGUUAUGAAAAUUUAUUACGUUAUUUAUAUUCUUUGAGAUAUUUAUUAUUUGUUUAACAUUAUAAUUUGUAAGGGCUUAAAUAAGAUUUUUUUAAGUUAAAAAAGCAAACAACUUAAUAUUUAUUUUUAGCUAUUCAUACAAAAAAAAAAUGUCAUUUACAUUCAGACAUUCAGCUCUAUUAAGAAAUCAGACUAAUUCAAGUCUAUUCAAAUUUCAGAUAAAAAAAUAAACGCCACCUUAAUCUAAAAACGUUAGGUUUUGGAGUUUAAAUUGCAAAAUUGAAAAUAAAUUAAAUCCUAUCCUUAUCAUUCUUUGAAUGCAGUUGUCCAAAUCUCCUAUACAAAGAGAAGAUCCAAAUUCUAUAUUAAUUAAUUGUGCGAACUACGCGGGUAUCAUUGGAUCCCAUGGCUCGCUGAUCACGAUCAUUAACUAGAAAAUUGUGGAUAAAAAGUAGAUAGAAACUGAAAAACGUAUAUAAAGUCUGUCGUCAAUAGUUCUUGAUUAUUGGUAACAGCUAAUAUGUUCAUGAUGACAGAUUAUUGAGAUUUAAAUUGGCAUUUUGCAACAAUUUCAGAUUUGCGUCCUUAUGGAGUUGUAGUUCUCAAACUGUAGUCUACAUUAAUUAGAAGACUUGGUGAUUUACUUAUUUUGCUAAAAUUAGGAUUUAUGUCGUUUUUGUCAGGGAGACUACCUGAGGAAUUAUGGUAGCAUAAUUCUUCCCUAUAAAUAGGAUGUAUCCUACACAUGGAAGACAGUUUCACCGUAGGAAUAAUAACUCUAUUUUUAAAAUAAACUAGAUUAAGCUUAACUAUAUAUUUAGCUAUAAUUUUCAAAGUAUUUUUUACCAGUCGUUUUCGACACCACGGGUGACUUCACUUAGGAGAUAGCAAUCGAGGGCAGACAAAAACGUCAAAGUGAUUUCUGAAAAAAUUAAGAAACAUGUUUCUAACUUCCUCAUUUUUCCCCCCAAAAAAAAAAAAAAAAACAGAAGACUAUAUCUCAUAGCAAAAUCAAAUUGUUCAAGAUCGUCUUAUAAUUUAAUUUUUCAAAAGAUAUGAAAAAUAUUAUGAUAUUUGUUACUUAAAUUUUUCCAUGACUGGGAUUGAAUUUACUUUGCACUUGCCUUGUUGAGCAAUAAAACUCAUUGUGUUAUUGGCUAAUCAAAAUUCUAAAACCAACAGACAAUUCGAUAACCAAUGUUUGGGAAACAAAAAUUCUCCUCUUUCUCAUAUUUCUUGUUCACCCAAACAAACUUUGAUAAUUGAUCUGCAAUAUCAAUAUUAUUCUAGGGACCAAAAUUGAAUCAAGAAUAAGAAAAAGAAACUAUUAUUUAUGCAUGCAAAAUAAUUUGCAAACUAACAGCAUAAGUUAAAUUGCAGAUACGUAAAAACAACAAGAAUGGAUUUAAUUCUAGCCUAAAAUUAAGAACUUUUCAAAAAAAAAAAUUAACUUGUUUUCGAUUGGGUAUUGCUGCAUAUGUAACUUUUAAUUCAUUUGAUGGCAUUAAAAAAAAAAAGGUUUGAAUUGCUAUUUCUUGGCACUCUGAGAAAGUGGAAUCGCAUCAGAAAAACAAAAUUCACGAAUCGCACGAGAAUUAAAUUAUCCGAAUUUUUUAAUAUUUUGAAUCCUUUCCGUCCUGAUAUUCUUUAUUGCUCAAAUUUGCUUGUCAAAGUUUUAGGCCUUUGAGAGAUAAGAAAAAACGUGAGAGAGAGAGGGAGAGGGAGAAGAAGAUCAGAAGAAGCACCAUUAAGAGAUAAGAAAAAAGUUAUGGGAUUUGGUGUGUAAUACGGAAAGCUCAAUGUAAAUUAAAUCCUAACUAUAAAAAAAUUUAAAUGACGUGGCAUAAUAUCUUACAAAAUUCAGAAAAAAUUAGAUUAAGAGAGGAUUCAUAUCCGAAUCAAACACCCUUCAGAUUUCAGUCAACGAUUAUUAAUAAUUAAAUGUAAUUUAAUCGGAUAAAAACACCAAAAAUUAAGUCCUCAAUUUUCUUGAUGAAAAUAUUACAGUGGGGUAUUUUCCAAACAAAAUACUACUAGACUUAAAAGACGGAACUCUACAAGUAGCAUGGAAGCAGAUUCUAGGAGUGCAGGUAACAAGAUUACCCGGCCUCCAAAUCCAAUGGGAAGUGGUCAUAUACCAGAUGGCAAUUAAAAUAGUGCAGCUUUUUCUAAUUCUUUUUCCAUUUUCUUUAUUUUUUCAGAAAACAACUGCUUAUUUGAUGAUGUUUUUGUGCCUUGCGAAGCUGCAAAUAACAUUACAGGAUGUCGUAGAGGUAGAAGAAAUGAUUGUUCCGGUUACAAAAUAGUACAAUUUUUUUACCAUCUUGGGGCUACAAUAUCCUUUAUGGCGGAUCAAGAGGAUAUUGUCGGUAAAUGAAUAAAAUGUAACCUUUCAUAUAAUUGAAAGGUAUAUUGUCUUUUUACACAACAAAUGUGUGAAUUUAUUUCAGAACAAUAUUUAGGAAGAGAAAGCGUAAUUAAACCGAUAUGUAUAAACUAACAUAACCAAUAUGUUGACACACACAGUAACUUUUAUUUAUUUAUUUUCCUUUUAAGGAAAUCAUUUUGUAAAUAAAGAAAACCUCUUUUACAUAUGAAGAGAUUUUAUAAGCUGAAUUGAACCGAACUAAGAUACUAACAUGAUUGAUAGGUAACAAUAUACCUAUCAUUUAUUUAAUUAAACAUAACAUUAAAAAAUAUCACUACACUUAACCCAUACGGUCGGCGUUUCUCCCAUAUUGAGGGACAACAAGAAGAUCAAGGUUGUCAUUCACCAUAUCAUCAUCAGCAAUACUGUGCCACGGCUGGACGUUCACAGUCUCCGACCACUUAUUACCUGAAAAAUUCAUAUUAGAAAAUAUAUUUAUAAAUGCAUAUACUAAAAUAAGAAUUAUAAAUGAAAUAAACUGAAAUGAAGUUGGCCUGUAAACCUGCACAGGUAGUUUCCAUGUUCACACAGAAAGAUCUCUGCUUACGGGGAAGAAAGCUCAAAAGUAAUUAAGUUGCUUUUGCGAUUUCUUGCUUCCGGUUUGAUAAUUUGAUGUAAUAUAUAUAGGUGAUUCAAGUAUGCCUCUUGAUUCCCAAAAGAAAAAAAAGGUAUGCUGUUG
RNAcentral lists this long non-coding RNA (93514 nucleotides) under Citrus maxima (pomelo). RNAcentral describes it as "long non-coding RNA (CMAX_LNC001731)". Lineage: Eukaryota; Viridiplantae; Streptophyta; Magnoliopsida; Sapindales; Rutaceae. The record is from RNAcentral.